This 100928-nucleotide long non-coding RNA is filed under the name Citrus x clementina. Its description in RNAcentral is "Citrus clementina (C. clementina) long non-coding RNA (CCLE_LNC002740)". The stretch from base 56452 to 56558 matches the Rfam family "Plant small nucleolar RNA R71". The record is from RNAcentral. Lineage: Eukaryota; Viridiplantae; Streptophyta; Magnoliopsida; Sapindales; Rutaceae.
CAGCGUACACGCAGAGAGUGCCUACAAUAUUCAUCAAACUAUAAGGUGAAAACCCAAAUAUUACGAAAGGUCGAUGUACGGACCAAGUCAAGCCCCCUCUUUUCUCAACUUCUUCAAACAAUAUGUCUUCUUGAUUAUAGUAAAAAAGUUGUACAUUUAACCUUGGCAAAUCCUCAGUAAAAGGCGGGUCGUGAGACGGUAUCUUGCCAAUACACUCGAAUGGUCCCAGGUAAUGUUUGCUACCCGUUUGGAGACAGACGUGGCGAAGAUUUGGUGCGUUUGGGAUUACAGAACGGAGCACGUUACGAAACAUUGCGCUGUUGAUCUCGCAAUUCUCCGCUUGAGCGGGACGACCUGCCCACGUCAUGUAGAAAAUGUGGGUGAUGUUAGUGAGUUUUGAGAGCUUGGAUCGUGUCUCGUCCGGGUCGGAAAUGUCGCAUUGGAUGUACUCAAUAGGGUAUGCGGCGCUCCAGUCAGGCCUAGGACGUCGGGCCACUCCGUAGACCUUCCACGGGCCACCGGGGGUGUCUGACCGGGGCAAAAUCUCAGCUAGGCAAUUGCCUACGAUUCCUGUCACGCCUACUACAAGUCCCACAUUCUGGUAGUCCCAAGGUUGCUCAUAUUCUUCCAAUUUUUUCUGUACAAGUGAAAAUUAAAUAACCAUCGGGGGGUUUAAACAUAGGCAAAUUAGACAAUUGGUUAGGGUUUCAUAUGUUAAGAAAACCCUAUUUCAGCAGUCUAAAUUUUAUAUUAUUAUAAUAGAAAGACCUUUUUUCUUUUAGUAUUUUCUUGAUAUACUCAAAUUAAGGGUCCGCCUAUGUUGCAACAGUUGCAACAUACCACUACUUUUGUCAUUUUGUAAUUGAACCAUUGGAUCCAAGGCAAGAGUGGUAAAAAUAAAUCUAACGGUAGGGUGUAUUUAUUUUGGUUUUUUUCAUUCCAAACCCUCUUGUUUUUUGAAAUACCAGGAAAAAAAUAUAAUAAUUAUUAUUUUAUUUAUUAGCUUAGUUGUUAAAUGAUAUGAAUAAGAAAUAAGUAUGAAAUUUAAGAGAACUUUUAUUAUUGAUAUUAGGCAAUUACAAUACAUGAUUUAAUACUAGUUUAUUUAUUCCACAAAUUCAUAAAUAUUUCAUAAUUUAUUAAUUAUUACUAUCAUUUCUAGAUCUACUCUCAUUAUUUAAAUUUAUUAAUAAUUAUAUAUUAAUAAUUAUUUUUAUAUUAAUUAUUACUAUCUAUGUAAUAUGAUAUAAUAUAAUAAUAUAAUUUAUUUUUAAUAUUAUAAUUAUUAUAGUAAAAAUAAAAAUAUAAUUUAAAUAUAUUUAAUGUUUCAAUUAAGACAAAAGUUAGCACACUGUAGUGAAUGAUAUAAUUGACUACAAUCUAACUUUUAAAACUUUCAAACAUAGGUAAGUAAUAAAUUAAUGUAAACAAUAUUAUAACAAUAUACAAUAUUAUGUUCUAAACACAUUCUAAUAGUGCCUUUAUUAAAUAAGAAUUGAAAUGAGCUAGAAUUGUAAUAAGGAAUUUGAAUUAGAAUAAAUUAUUUACUUGAGCUAUAGGAAUUGGAAUCAGAAUGAACAACAUUCCAAUUGAUGUGUUUACUUUAUUUUAUAAUUGGAAUAAACUAUUAUAAGUUAUUAAAAUGCCUUUUAUUAAUUGUGUCCCUAAUAUUAUUUGUAUAUAUUAUAAUUAAAACAAUAAUAAUAAUAAAACUAAAAAUAAUAAUUAUGAAAAUAAUGUUAAUUAAAGCAAAAAAUAAAAAAAUUUAACAAUAAUAAUAACAACAAAAUUAACUGAAAUAAUAAUAUUAAUAAUGAUAAUAAUAAAAAUAAUAAAAAUAAUAAAAAUUAUUAAUAAGUUUUAAUAAUAAUAAUAACAACAAUAAUUAAUAAUAAUUAAAAUAAUAAAGUUAAUAUACUUUAAUAACAAUAAUUUUAAUCAUAACAAGAUAAAUAUUAAUAUUAAUAAAUUAAUUACAGUAUAAUAACAAUUAAAAUAAUAAAAGUAAUAAAUUUUAAUAAUAAUAAUGACAGUAAUAAUCAUAAAUAAUAAUUAAAAUAAAUAAAAAUAAUAAAAUUUAAUAGUAAUAAUCUUAUAUAAUAAUAAUGAUAAUAAUAAUAAUAAUAAUAAUAAUAAAUUAAAAUUCUUUUCAAAUGUCAUUUUAUUCCAAAAAUGGACUUAUAUGUAAAAGUUUAUUAUUUUUAGUGGCUAUUGAAUUUUACAGAAAAUAUAAGGUAGUGUAGUGUAAUCAACCAUAAAAAGACAAAAAUUAUUGUAUGUUGAAACUGUUGCAACAUAGGCGGCUCCUCAAAUUAAUAAAUAUUUUCAAUUUUAAUAGAAAAGCUUAUUUUUUAUGCAUCUUUUUAAUUGAAAAGCUUAUUUUUUAUGCAUCUUUUUAAUUAACAAUUAUCCUAUAAUAAGAAUUAUUACACAAGUUCUAUAUUUGAUAACAUUAAUUUUAAAGAGCUAUAGUUAAUAAUAUUAUCUAAUAAUUAAUUCAUUAUUAAUUUUUCCAAUAAAAAUCAUAAAAUUUUUUGUGUUUAAAAAAAUUAAUUAUUAAACAUUACAAAAUUACUUACCUUAGCAGCGCCAAUAGCACCUGUCCGGCACCAGCUCAUUUUUUGCUUAAUUUGGAAAAUUGAUGGUAAGUUUGGUUUUCGCUUCUAGCUAUAUAUAGAAGACUGCUGGCAUAUAAACAAUUUCACAUGCCCUUUUCUAGUUGACGUGGCAAAGUAAGUUAUGAUACGGAUAUGCACGAUUUUUCUGUAAUUGAAUUGAUAAAUAUUGACACAAAAAAUAAAUGGGUUAACAAGACAUAACAUGAUGAAUAACCAUAUCAUAUUCAUGUUACACUACUCCUCAACACGAUUACGUCCGAAUGACAAGAAUAUUAAUUUGUCAAUUUAUCAUAUUUUACAUUUUGAUCAUGAAUGAGCUCUUAUUUAUUAAUUAUUAUGCUAUAAUGAUUUAAAUUUAUAAUUGUUAGUUUAUCUAAUGAAAUUUUUAUCAUAUCUUGGAUUAGUUUCAAUUUGUAUGUCAUUUAUUAUUUUUUCAAUCAAAUGAUUUAUUUUUUAUUUUUUAAAAUUUGAAUUAUGAUAGUAUUUCCACCGAGAAUUGGGUUGUCAAAUGUGUUGCGUCCUAUCAUGUCACCUGUUUAUUAUGUGAAUCGUUUCCAUAUUUGAUUUUUUUGAUAUGAUUAUUACUCGUGUCUUAUCCCUAAUUUUUUAAAAUUUAAUACGACGCAAUUACAACACGACAAAUGCGACAUAGCUAGACGAAUUGCCACCUUACUUUCUAGAGGGUAAUUGAGUUUGAGUUAGAUUAUGUGAUCAAUAUUGAAAGAUCUAAUAUUAUAAGGUGUGGUGAAAUAAGGAUCCGACUAAAAGGCCGAGCUUCCUACUAUCAUUGUUAGACGAUUUGCAUGCUCGCAGAUUUAGAAGUUGUUACUUAUUUAACAUGUUUCGACUCUUGAAGAUCUGCUAUUGAGGCAUUUCACAUGUUUAUAAGGCAAUAAUUGAUAUGACUCUAGAAGCCGCAACAUCGUCUAUUUCAUUACUAGAUGGUGUAAAACUUCAAACAAACACAACAUGCAUAUAUGGUUCGGUUAUUGCGAAAUUAUCCAAAUUAUCCUCAAAUUAUGAAUCUCAAUCAUUUACUCACAAGAACUUAGUACAUGUUGAUAAAGGAACCCACACAAACAGUUACAAAUUAAGUGGAAAAAAAAUCUUUCCUUCUUUGUGUGAUUAAAAUAGAAUGUGUAUCACAAAUAAAUAACUAAUAAAUCAACACAAUCAAAAACAAUAAAUUAGUCACAAGAGAUACAGAUUUUUAUGUGAAAAACCCAAAAAAGGAAAAACCAGGGACCGUAGUCUAAUGUAACCUUUUGUUGGAGAAUUAACGAAUAAAACACACAAAAAACACACUAUUUUAUUUCUUCAACAACACUCCUCACCAAUUACAACGCUUAUUUUUCACUCUUUACACCUUAGAGAUUUUGCUACUUCACUUGAUUCAUAAACCAAAGGGGAGAGGUGGUAUUUAUACAUGAAACAAACUAAUAACAACCAUUCAUUUAUUCAACUACUACACAAAUCCUCACUAUUCAUUAAAACCUACCACUCACCUACUUCACCAACCACACCUAACACAAAUAAUUCAAACCUCACCAACCAUACCUACUCAUGGAACCUUCCAUGAGUUGGGCUUGAAUUUAUUCAUCUUGGAUCAAGUUUAUGAUCCAACACCUCCCCUUAAACUUGAUCAUGUGACACCAAGCAAACUUCUUAAUCUUACGAAGUCUUCUUGCUUGAGUGGGUUGGUGAAGAUAUCAGCUACUUGAUCUUGUGAUUUUACAUACUUGAUUUGCACUUCUUUUCUUGCAAUACUCUCUUAUGAAAUGAUAGCGAGUAUCUAUGUGUUUGCUUCAAUCAUGAAAGACUGGAUUCUUGGAUAGGGCAAUUGCCGAUUUGUUAUCAACACAAAUCUCGUUUGGCUCUUCUUGUGGCAAACUCAACUACUUCAGCAAAUUUCUGAGCCAAAUUGCAUGACAAACACUUGAUGUGGCAGCUACAUAUUCAGCUUCACAGGUGGAUAGCGUGACAAUUGGUUGCUUCUUUGACAUCCAUGUGAAAGCAGUAUCUCCCAUGAAGAACACAAAUCUUGUGGUGCUCUUUCGAUCAUCUACAUCUCCACCCCAAUUGCUAUCGCUAUAUCCAACAAGCUUGUAGUCAUUAGAAAAUGAGUAUAACAAGCCGCAAUUAGUUGUACCGUUGAUAUAGCGAAGGAUUCUUUUUGCAGCUUUAAAAUGGGUGGUCUUUGGAUUCUUCAUGUAUCGGCUCACAAGUCCAACAACAUAAAGGAUAUCUAGUAUUGUCCAUGUCAAAUAACGUAGGCUUCCGACCAAACUUUUAAAGAAUGUUGGAUCUAUAUCUUCGCCUUCAUCAUGUUUGGAUAAUUUGACUCUGCAUUCCACUGGUGUGCUUAUAGGCUUGCAAUCAUUCAUCUUGAACUUUUUUAUAAUCUCUUUUGCAUAGCUUUCUUGGGAGAUAAAUAUGUCUUCUUCUUUUUGCUUGACUUCAAUGCCAAGAUAAUAUGCCAUCAGUCCGAUGUCAGUCAUCUCGAACUCUUUGAUCAUCACUCUCUUGAACUCUUCAAAUAAGCUUGGAUCACUUCUAGUGAAGAUGAGAUCAUCCACAUACAAGCACACAUUCAAAAUGUCUCAAGCUUUUUCUUUGACGUAGAGAGCAUGUUCAUAUGGGCAUUUGGUGAAGCCGUUCUCUUGAAAAUACUUGUCAAUUCUGCUAUUCCAUACCCUUGGUGCUUGCUUUAACACAUAAAGAGCUUUCUUCAAUCUCAAAACUUUGUCUUCAUGUUAUUUCACCACAUAGCCUAAUGGUUGUUCGAUGUAAACUUCUUCUUGAAGGAAUCUAUUCAAGAAAGCAAACUUCACAUCCAUUUGAAAAAAUUUCCAUUUGUUCUGAGCAGCCAAAGAAAUAUAAUAAUAAGUCUAAUAGUUUCAAGUUGAGCUACAGGAGCAAAUACCUCGUCAUAGUCUAUGCCAGCCUUUUGACUAUAGCCUUUUGCAACUAGCCUCGUCUUGUGCCUUUCAAUUUCUCCCUUCGAAUUUCUUUUUGUUUUAUACACCCAUUUGACACCGAUCGUCUUGUGACCUUUGGGAAGUGUAGUAAGCUCCCAAGUAUAAUUUUUCACAAUGGUUUUGAUUUCUUCAUCCAUUGCAAUUCUCCACUUCUCAUCUAGUGCAACUUUUUGGAAGUUGACUAGCUCACAAUCAGCAAAGAGGCAAAAGAGAGUGAGAUUAUCAUGUCUCUCAGUUACCUCAUAAAGAUCUUGAAGACUCCUUGUACGUUCUUCGGUUCUUUCAUUUAAGAAAGAUGGCGGUGAAUCUCCGCAUAUGGUUGAUACUGGUGAGAUAGGUGGAGUAGCAGGCUCUUGUUGUUCAUCUAUUUGUUUUAUCUGUGUAUGAUCAUCUUCUUCAAUGGGAAAGAAGUUGAAAUCAUUCACACCAGAGCCAAAAUCCCAUUCUCCUUCUUCAUCAAAAACUACAUCUCGACUGAUCACGAUCUUCCCGUUGUUUGGAUUAUAAAGCUUGUAUCCUUUGGAGUUGUUGUCGUAGCCGAUGAAGAUGAACUUCUCACUUUUGUCAUCUAGCUUGGCUCUACUUUCGUCUGGUACAUGUACAUGGGUAAUACUUCCGAAAACUCUUAGAUGGGAGAUGCCGGGUUUUCUUCCACUCCAAGCUUCUUGUGGCGUCUUGCCCAACACGCUUCUUGUUGUAGAUCGAUUGGAUAAGUAGACUGCACAUGCAACAGCUUCAGCCCAAAAUUCUUUAGGUAGCCUCUUACUCUUAAGCAUGUUUCUUGCCAUGUCGAGGAUGAUUCUGUUCUUCCUUUCUGCAACACCAUUUUGUUGGGGGGAUCUUGAAACUGUCAAAGGGCGUCGAAUUCUAUUUGCUUCACAAAACUCUUAAAAUUCUUUGGAAGUGAACUCUCCACCUUGAUCAGAUCUCAUGGCUUUAAUCUGGCAUCCACUUUCUUUUUCCACUGCAGUUUUAAAACUUCUUGAAACCUUCAAAGACUUCUGAUUUUUACUUAAAAAAAUACACCCAAAUUUUUCUUGAAAAAUCAUCUAUGAAGAGAUGGAAGUAGUUACUUUUACCAAGGAAGUUUGGAUUGAAUGGACCGCACACAUCAGUCCGAGCUCUUGAGUUUGACUCCUUUGGAAAGCUCUUUCUGAACAUCCUUCACAAAGUUGAUCAAGGUGAUUGAUGUAUGGUAAGCCUUUCACCAUGUUCUUCUUAGAUAGUAGCUCCAGUCAGCCAAAGUAGAGAUGCCCAUAUCGAAGAUGCCAAGUCCAAGAUUGAUCUUUGUGACAGGCUUUGAGACAUUUUGCAACAUCAUUUUGAAUAUUUAAAAGAAACAUUCUCACCUUUGUAAUUAGAUUUCCUUUGUCAUCUCUUAGGAAAAGACUAUAAUCUUUUAAAUAAAAAUCAUAGCCUUUUUCUAAAAGUUGACCUAAACUAAGGAUGUUGCUUUUUAUAUUAGGCAUAUAGUAAACAUUCAAAAUUAUUUGAUGACUACCAUCUUUUGCAUGAAAAAGAAUGUUACCUCUACUCUUCACUGGUACUUUUGAAUCAUCUCCAAAAGCAACACUGUCAUUCACAGAUUCACUUAGUUGCACGAACAUGCUUUUGUUUCCACUCAUAUGAUUGCUAGCACCUGUGUUAAAAUACCAUGUAUUUUCUUGACCUCCACUUGUGUCAUUGCGUGCUAGUAAAAGUGUGCUAUCUUCACCAUUUUUCUCUUCAGCAUAGUUCACUCUCUCCUCAAUUCUGGUGCUUGGCGCUGGGCAUUCUAAAACAUAAUGCCCAAACUUUUGACAAUUAUAGUACUGUACUCGGGAUUUGUCAUACCUCGAUCUUGGAUUGCUUCUGCCUCGUCCUCUGGUUGAGCUUUCUCCUUUGGCAUAAUUGGAGUUGUUGAUGAAAUUCCAACCUCGUCCAUGACCAUGACCUCUACCUCGCCCUCGACCUCUACCUCGGACGUAGUGCAUUCUCUCGUUAUCGGAGCUUUCUUCUCUUUUCUUUGGAUUGACUUCCAUUGUGAGAAGUUGUUCUUCCAUUCCUUACUUUUUUUUUAGUUUUUCUUCAUAGGCUUGCAACUUUCCUUGAAGUUGCUCGAUCGUCAUAUCCUCCAGAUCUCUUGUUUCUUCAAUUGUCACAACAAUAUAGUCAAACUUCGAGUCUACUGAUCGAAGUAUCUUUUCAAUGAUCUUUACCUCUUUUAACUCCUCACCAUUUCUUUUUAAUUCAUUGGAAACAGUCACUACCCGAGUAAAGUAGUCAGAAAUUGACUCCGACGCCUUUAUGUGUAAGGACUCAAGUUCUCCUCGUAAUAUUUGGAGACGAACCUUCUUAACUUACUCCGCUCCUUUGUAAGAGGUCUCUAGUUUCUCCCAUGCUUCUUUUGAGGAGGUUGAACCAGCAAUAUUUUCAAAAGCAUCUUCAUCUAAUGAUUGAAAGAUGAGAUACUUUGCUUUAUUCUUUUUUUCUUCAAGUCUUUUAAAUUCUCCUUCUGUGCCGCAUUUAAAGUGGUUUCAUUUUCUGGCACAAUAAAGCAUUUCUCCAUGACAUCUCAUACAUCAUGUGCACCCAAUAGAGCCUUCAUUUUAAUACUCCAGUUGUCAAACUUACUUUCUUUUAAUUGUGGAACUUGAAAUGACAUCAUACCACCGUUUGCCAUAACUCACAAAUUGAGUGAGAAUUUGGAGAUUUUGAAUGCACAGAUGAAUCCGGCACGUCGAAAAACCUUGGGAAGGACUCGGGUCAACGUCGGUCAACGAUUAACGUCGGUCAACGAUCAACGAUCAACGUCGGUUUAGUAGUCUUGGUUCGAUCUGGCUUGGUUCAGCUCUAGUUGGCUCAGUUCCACUUGAUUCGGUUCGGCUCAGCUCGGUUUGGUUUGGUUCAGCUCAGCUUGGUUCAACUUGGUGAGUCGACUCAGCUUUAGGACGGAAAAGUUCCGGCGGUGAUUGUGGGCGUGUCCGGCCUCCGAUCGGGAUGACUUUUAUGGCGUCAUGUUCCUCUCAUCUAGAUCUUCGAUUUGAUAUGCUAUAUGACUAUAUAUAGCAUCGAAAACUAGCUCUGAUACCACUUUAUUGGAGAAUUAACAAAUAAAACACACUAUUUUAUUUCUUCAACAACACUCCUCACCAAUUACAACUCUUAUUUUUCACUCUCUACACCUUAGAGAUUUUGCUACUUCACUUGAUUCAUAAACCAAAGGAGAGAGGUGGUAUUUAUACAUGAAACAAACUAAUCACAACCAUUCAUUUAUUCAACUACUACACAAAUCCUCACCAUUCAUUAAAACCUACCACUCACCUUCUUCACCAACCACACCUAACAUACCUAACAUAAAUAAUUCAAACAUCACCAACCAUGCCUACUCAUGGAACCUUCCAUGAGUUGGGCUUGAAUUUAUUCAUCUUGGAUUAAAUUUAUGAUCCAAUACCUUUCACUAUAUUAAUAAUUGGAUUAUAGCAUAAAUUAUUCUCUAAAUAAUGCUAGAGGUUAACAAUAUCAAGAAUCUUAAUAAUCUUGGCUUAUAACAGGCUAAUAUAUGUCUCUCUAACAAAUAAAUAUUUUAAAUAAUAGUCAACGAGAAAAUAAAACAAAAAUCAAGACUAGUAGGAAUAUAGAGGGCAAUACGAAUAAUUUACCAUCCAAUUUUGAAAGAAAAACGGGCUUGAAAAUACCUUCCAAUUGUCCAAUCAAAAAUUGAAACUCUUAGCCCCAAAUUCUAGUUUACGCCAUUGUUCUUCCUUUUCUCUCUCUCUCUCGUCUUUUUGCGCUAGACAAUACCAUUGUUGCUGCUUGCUUUGUUUUCUUUUGUACACGUGAUUUUCAAAGCCAAUUUAAUGGCAAUUGUCUAUUGUGCUAAAAAGUCAACACCGAAGCUAACUUUUGUUGAGCAUAUGCAUAUGGCUAGCAACUUUGGACCGCAAUUGCAUGUGCUAGCAUGAAAUUUCUUACUCUUCACCAAAGUCAGCACUGAAGCCAUCAAAAUUGAAAGAUGGCCAAGAUUUUUUCCAUGCAUUCAUAUUGUAAGUUUCGCUUAUGAAUAGAGAAGUAGAGAAAAAUUCAUUUACGUGGACAUAGGAUUUACAUUGAACCACAUAAAUCAUUGUGUCCUAUUUUCUCAGCACUUUUUUAUCACCACAUUUAUAUUUCUCCAGAAGCCGCAAUUAUCAUAAUAUUGAUAAUUGCUCAAUUUGCGCUUCCACAACAUAUUGGCUUCAACUUGUUUCCUUUAAUUACUUAACCACCCAAACUAAUGCAAGCUUUGGGCCUUGGCUACCCAAAUAAGAUGGACCCCAACAGUACAAGUGAUUGUGAAUCUUGGUAUACUAAUAAUUGAAGAUUUCUUUUUCUUAGUUUCAGGAAAUAGUAGAAGUUGUUUGUAUGAAUGGAAGUGAAACUAGGUUGGUUGUGGAGGAUAAGCAGAGUACCGUUUAGAAGUCAUAACUUAAAGUAUGGGUGUCUGUUUUGCAUGUGCAAUAUGCUAUUCUGAAGCUUGCAACAAGAUGAACCAAAGCCAAAAUCAUGGCCGAGCUAGAAAUUCCUUUUUUUUUAGGUUGUUUUGCAGUUUAUUUAUUUUUAAAAUUUUUCCUAUUGCUUUCAGGAUUUUUUUAUUUUUAAUUUAGAUAUCGAAUUUGAGUGCCGUUUGCUUUAUUUUCCUUAUUUAGAUAAAGAGAAUUUUAUUAUAUAAUAAUAUUUCAGAUUUGCCUAUUCAGACUUUUUGAACAAUAUUUUUAUUAUUCAGAAACUUUGUUUCUUUUAGUUAUCAAUCUUUUAUGUUUUCGCAUCAUCAAUAAGAUUUUUUUUUUUUGCUCGUCUCAUUGAUCCAUAUGAAUAUUCAUGAGGGUUAUUUGAAUAAAUUUUUUUUCUCAAUAAAUCUACCAUCAUGCAAAUUGUGUUUGGUCCUUGUGCAAAAUGCAAAAAUCAUAGAAAAACAUAUGUCAGUAAAAUAAUUCUAAUGUAAUUUAUAUUCAUCAAAUAAUUAAGAAAAUAUAGUAGAUAUAACUUUUAUGAAAUCAACAAGGGGAGAUUGAAAAAAGAAAAAGCGUCUAAAGCUUCAAUUUUAUUAUGGUUUGAUGACAAGUUUGGUUUCUUCUUCUAGUCUUAUGUACAUGGUAAAAGCUUAUUUAGUCCUAUAUUUGGAGAUUAGUGUCUAUUUAGUCCCUGUAUCUUUAAAAAUACCUCAAAAUAUCCUUGCUGUCAAAUUAUUGAUACCACUGCCAUUACUUUCUAUUCCUUUUGACAUGUUUAUACAAUAUUAUCCUCUUAUAAUAAUAUUUUUUCGACGUUUAUAAAAACAAAAAAAUUAAAUUACCAAUUUAAAUUUAAAAAUAAAAUAAAAAACAAAAAGAAUAUAUAUUAAUUUUUUAUAAUAUCAUGUAUAUACAAAAACAAUAUUGUAAAAAAAUUAAAUUAUCAAUUUUCUAAAAAUUUAAAAAAAAUUAACGUAUUAACUCCUCAGCAGAUUGUUUCACAAAAAUUAUUAUAUAAUCUUUUUGUUUUUAUUUUUUUGGGAUUAAAUUGGUAAUUUCAUUUUUUUGUGAAUGACAGUGUUGCUUUUGAAGAUGAUUCAAAAGUACCAGUGAAGGGUAGAGGUAACAUUCUUUUUCGUGCAAAAGAUGGUAGUCACCAAAUAAUUUCGAAUGUUUACUAUGUGCCCAAUAUGAAAAGCAACAUCCUUAGUUUGGGUCAACUUUUAGAAAAAGGCUAUGAUAUUUAUUUAAAAGAUUAUAGUCUUUUCCUAAGAGAUGACAAAGGAAAUCUAAUUACAAAGGUGAGAAUGUCGAAGAAUAGAAUGUUUCUUUUAAAUAUUCAAAAUGAUGUUGCAAAAUGUCUCAAAGCCUGUCACAAAGAUCAAUCCUGGACUUGGCAUCUUCGACAUGGGCAUCUCAACUUUGGAGGACUGGAGCUACUAUCUAAGAAGAACAUGGUGAAAGGCUUACCAUACAUCAAUCACCCUGAUCAACUCUGUGAAGGAUGUUUACUUGGCAAGCAGUUCAGAAAGAGCUUUCCAAAGGAGUCAAACUCAAGAGCUCAGAAGCCACUCGAGCUCAUUCAUACUGAUGUGUGCAGUCCAUUCAAGCCAAACUCUCUUGGUAAAAGUAACUACUUCCAUCUCUUCAUAGAUGAUUUUUCAAGAAAAACUUGGGUGUAUUUUUUGAAGUAAAAAUCAGAAGUCUUUAAAGGUUUCAAGAAGUUUAAAGCUGCAGUGGAAAAAGAAAGUGGAUACCAGAUUAAAGCCAUGAGAUCUGAUCGAGGUGGAGAGUUCACUUCCAAAUAAUUUUUAGAGUUUUGUGAAGCAAAUGGAAUUCGACGCCCUUUGACAGUUCCAAGAUCCCCUCAACAAAAUGGUGUUGCAGAAAGGAAGAACAGAACCAUCCUUAACAUGGCAAGAAGCAUGCUUAAGAGUAAGAGGCUACCUAAAGAAUUUUGGCCUGAAGCUGUUGCAUGUGUAGUCUACUUAUCCAAUCAAUCUCCAACAAGAAGCGUGUGGGGCAAGACGCCACAAGAAGCUUGGAGUGGAAGAAAACUCGGCAUCACCCAUCUAAGAGUUUUCGGAAGCAUUGCCCAUGUACAUGUACCAGACGAAAGUAGAGCCAAGCUGGAUGACAAAAGUGAGAAGUUCAUCUUCAUCGGCUACGACAACAACUCCAAAAGAUACAAGCUUUACAAUCCAAACAACGGGAAGAUCGUGAUCAGUCGAGAUGUAGUUUUUGAUGAAGAAGGAGAAUGUGAUUUUGGCUUUGGUGUGGAUGACUUCAACUUUUUUCCCAUUGAAGAAGAUGAUCAUACACAGAUAAAACAAAUAGACGAACAACAAGAGCCUGCUACUCCACCUAUCUCACCAGCAUCAACCACAUGCGGAGAUUCACCUCCUUCUUUCUUAAAUGAAAGAACUGAAGAACGUACAAGGAGUCUUCAAGAUCUUUAUGAGGUAACUGAGAGACAUGAUAAUCUCACUCUCUUUUACCUCUUUGUUGAUUAUGAGCUAGUCAACUUCUAAAAAGCUGCACUAGAUGAGAAGUGGAGAAUUGCAAUGGAUGAAAAAAGCAAAAUCAUUGUGAAGAAUAAUACUUGGGAGCUUACUACUCUUCCCAAAGGUCACAAGGCGAUCGGUGUCAAAUGGGUGUAUAAAACAAAAAGAAAUGCGAAGGGAGAAAUUGAAAGGCACAAGGCGAGGUUAGUUGCAAAAGGCUAUAGUCAAAAGGCUGGCAUAUACAAUGAUGAGGUAUUUGCUCCUGUAACUCGACUUGAAACUAUAGACUUAUAUUCUUUGGCUGCUCAGAACAAAUGGAAGAUUUUCAAAUGGAUGUGAAGUCUGCUUCUUAAAUAGAUUCUUGAAGAAGAAGUUUACAUCGAACAACCAUUAGGCUAUGUGGUGAAAUGACAUGAAGACAAAGUUUUGAGAUUGAAGAAAGCUCUUUAUAGGUUAAAGCAAGCACCAAGGGCAUGGAAUAGCAGAAUUGACAAGUAUUUUCAAGAGAACGGCUUCACCAAAUGCCCAUAUGAACAUGCUCUCUACAUCAAAGACAAAGCUGGAGACAUUUUGAUUGUGUGCUUGUAUGUGGAUGAUCUCAUCUUCACUGGAAGUGAUCCAAGCUUAUUUGAAGAGUUCAAGAGAGUGAUAAUCAAAGAGUUCGAGAUGACUGACAUCGGACUGAUGGCAUAUUAUCUUGGCAUUGAAGUCAAGCAAAAGGAAGAAGACAUAUUUAUCUCCCAAGAAAGCUAUGCAAAAGAGAUUAUAAAAAAGUUCAAGAUUGCAAGCCUAUAAGCACGCCAGUGGAAUGCAGAGUCAAGUUAUCCAAACAUGAUGAAGGCGAAGAUAUAGAUCCAACAUUCUUUAAAAGUUUGGUCGGAAGCCUACGUUAUUUGACAUGCAAAAGACUAGAUAUCCUUUAUGUUGUUGGACUUGUGAGCCGAUACAUGGAGAAUCCAAAGACCACCUAUUUUAAAGCUGCAAAAAGAAUCUUUCGCUACAUCAAAGGUACAACUAAUUUCGGCUUGUUAUACUCAUUUUCUAAUGACUACAAGCUUGUUGGAUAUAGCGAUAGCGAUUGGGGUGGAGAUGUAGAUGAUUGAAAGAGCACCACAAGAUUUGUGUUCUUCAUGGGAGAUACUGCUUUCACAUGGAUGUCAAAGAAGCAACCAAUUGUCACGCUAUCCACCUGUGAAGCUGAAUAUGUAGCUGCCACAUCAAGUGUUUGUCAUGCAAUUUGGCUCAGAAAUUUGCUGAAGUAGUUGAGUUUGCCACAAGAAGAGCCAAGCGAGAUUUGUGUUGAUAACAAAUCGGCAAUUGCCCUAUCCAAGAAUCCAGUCUUUUAUGAUCGAAGCAAACACAUAGAUACUCGCUAUCAUUUCAUAAGAGAGUGUAUUGCAAGAAAAGAAGUGCAAAUCAAGUAUGUAAAAUCACAAGAUCAAGCAGCUGAUAUCUUCACCAAGCCACUCAAGCAAGAAGACUUCGUAAGAUUCAGAAGUUUGCUUGGUGUCACAGGAUCAAGUUUAAGGGGAGGUGUUGGAUCAUAAACUUGAUCCAAGAUGAAUAAAUUCAAGCCCAACUCAUGGAAGGUUCCAUGAGUAGGUAUGGUUGGUGAGGUUUGAAUUAUUUGUGCUAGGUGUGUUAGGUGUGGUUGGUGAAGUAGGUGAGUGGUAGGUUUUAAUGAAUGGUGAGAAUUUGUGUAGUAGUUGAAUACAUGAAUGGUUGUGAUUAGUUUGUUUCAUGUAUAAAUACCACAUCUCCCCUUUGGUUUAUGAAUCAAGUGAAGUAGCAAAAUCUCUAAGGUGUAGAGAGUGAAAAAUAAGCGUUGUAAUUGGUGAGGAGUGUUGUUGAAGAAAUAAAAUAGCGUGUUUUUUGUGUGUUUUAUUUGUUAAUUCUCCAACAAAAGGUUACAUCAGACAACGGUCCCUGGUUUUUCCUUUUUUGGGGUUUUCACAUAAAAAUCUGCAUCUCUUGUGACUAAUUUAUUGUUUUUUAUUGUGUUGGUUUAUUAUUUAUUUAUUUAUGAUACACAUUCUAUUUUAAUCACACAAAAAAGGAAAGAUUUUAUUUCCACUUAAUUUGCAACUGUUUGUGUGGGUUCCUUUAUCAACAUGUACUAAGUUCUUGUGAGUAAAUGAUUGAGAUUCAUAAUUUGAGGAUAAUUUGGAUAAUUUCGCAAUAACAGAACCAUAUAUGCAUGUUGUGUUUGUUUGAAGUUUUACACCAUCUAGUAAUGAAAUAGACGAUGUUGCGGCUUCUAGAGUCAUAUCAAUUAUUGCCUUAUAAACAUGUAAAAUGCCUCAAUAGCAGAUCUUCAAGAGUCGAAACAUGUUAAAUAAGUAACAACUUCUAAAUCUGCGAGUAUGCAAAUCGUCUAACAAUGAUAAUAGGAAGCUCGGCCUUUUAGUCGGAUCCUUAUUUUACCACACCUUAUAAUAUUAGAUCUUUCAAUAUUGAUCACAUAAUCUAACUCAAACUCAAUUACCCUCUCGAAAGUAAGGUGGCAAUUCGUCUAGCUAUGUCGCAUUUGUCGUGUUGUAAUUGCGUCGAAUUAAAUUUUUAAAAAUUAGGGAUAAGACACGUGUAAUAAUCAUAUCAAAAAAAUCAAAUAUGGAAACGAUUCACAUAAUAAACAGAUGACAUGAUAAGACGCAACACAUUUGACAACCCAAUUCUCAGUGGAAAUACUAUCAUAAUUCAAAUUUUAAAAAAUAAAAAAUAAAUCAUUUGAUUGAAAAAAUAAUAAAUGACAUACAAAUUGAAACUAAUCCAAGAUAUGAUAAAAAUUUCAUUAGAUAAACUAACAAUUAUAAAUUUAAAUCAUUAUAGCAUAAUAAUUAAUAAAUAAGAGCUCAUUCAUGAUCAAAAUGUAAAAUAUGAUACAUUGACAAAUUAAUAUUCUUGUCAUUCGGACGUAAUCGUGUUGAGGAUUAGUGUAACAUGAAUACGAUAUGGUUAUUCAUCAUGUUAUGUCUUGUUGACCCAUUUAUUUUUUGUGUCAAUAUUUAUCAAUUCAAUUACAGAAAAAUCGUGCAUAUCCGUAUCAUAACUUACUUUGCCACGUCAACUAGAAAAGGGCAUGUGAAAUUGUUUAUAUGCCAGCAGUCUUCUAUAUAUAGCUAGAAGCGAAAACCAAACUUACCAUCAAUUUUCCAAAUUAAGCAAAAAAUGAGCUGGUGCGGGGCAGGUGCUAUUGGCGCUGCUAAGGUAAGUAAUUUUGUAAUGUUUAAUAAUUAAUUUUUUUAAACACAAAAAAUUUUAUGAUUUUUAUUGGAAAAAUUAAUAAUGAAUUAAUGAUUAGACAGUAUUAUUAACUAUAGCUCUUUAAAAUUAAUGUUAUCAAAUAUAGAAUUUGUGUAAAAAUUCUUAUUAUAGGAUAAUUGUUAAUUAAAAAGAUGCCUAAAAAAUAAGCUUUUCUAUUAAAAUUGAAAAUAUUUAUUAAUUUGAGUAUAUCAAGGAAAUACCAAAAGAAAAAAGGUCUUUCUAUUAUAAUAAUAUAAAGUUUAGACUGUUGGAAUAGGGUUUUCCUAACAUAUGAAGCCCUAAGCAAUUGUCUAAUUUGCCUAUGUUUAAACCCCCUGAUGGUUGUUUAAUUUUCACUUGUACAGAAAAAAUUGGAAGAAUAUGAGCAACCUUGGGACUACCAGAAUGUGGGACUUGUAGUAGGCGUGAUAGGAAUCAUAGGCAAUUGCCUAUAGGGAUGGCAAUGGGGCAGAUAUGGGUUGGAUCUACUUUGCUCCAGAUCCAAAUCCAUAAUAACAAUCAAGAUCCGUAUCUGCUCCAGAUUCGUUAUGAAUCCAUAUUUUUCGCUCCAUAUCCAGAUCCAAAAAAGAAAUAAAUAUCUAUAUCUGCUCCAAAUCUGAAAAAAAAUUAAAAUCCAAAUCUGCUCUAGAUCCGUCAUGAAUUCUAAAAUUCCGUAAUAAAAAAGUAAUAAUUUUUUAGAUUGAAAAUUGAAGGCUAAAAUGUAUUGAUAACAAAUAAAUUAUAUAAUUUUUCUCAAAAAUAUAAUAAAUAUUGUAACUUAUACUUCUACACCAAAACAACAAAUAAGAAAGAUAAUAAAAUAUCAUUCAGAAGUAAUUGCAAGAGUAAGAUCAACCUAAUAUUCUAUUGUCUCUUUCAUCAUUUUAAUAUCCACGAUACAUCUACCCUCAUUCCUACAACAUUAGAUAAUGACAUAUAAAUUAAAUAUGAUUUAUAUUCAGUCCUUUAUUAUUUUUAUUAUGACCAUAUUUGACUAAAUAUAUGAAUAACUAUAUUCCUUAAAAAUUAUUUGGCCAAUAUGAUAAAAUAAAUUACCAGGUUAUAUUACUUGGAUUGCAAUUUGAAAAUUGCAUGUACAUGCUUUGAGGCUGGUUGACCUUUAAAUUUACAAAACUAACCUUUAAGUUUUAAGAGUUUAAAUUCAUGGUAAAUACUACUAAUAUGUUAUGAAUAAAAUUUAUUAUCAUUAUCAUUCCACAAUUAUUAAGAAACUUUUAAAAUAAAAUAACAUUAAAAUAUGAGUGGAUAUGGAUAUGGAUUUAGAUAUUAAGAUAUAUCUAUAUCUGCUCCAGAUCCGUCUUAGAUCCGCUCCAGAUCCGUCUUAGAUCCGCACAUCGAUAUCCUAUGUUUUUCUGCUUUAAAAAAUACACCUAUGUUUUUCUAAAAAAAUCAUCAAUGAACAGAAGGAAAUAGUUACUUUACUAGGGAAGCUUGGCUUGAUUGGAUCACACGCAUCUAUAUGAGUGAGCUCAAGUGGCUUCUGAGCUCUUGAGCUUGACUCACUUAGAAAACUCUUUCAAAACUGCUUGCCAAGCAAACAUCCUUCACAAACUUGAGUAGAACGAUUGAUUAAAGGUAGGUCUUUCACUAUGUUCUUUUUUAAUAGUAACUCCAGUCUACCAAAGUUGAGAUGCCAUAUCGAAAAUACCAAAUUCAGGAUAGAUCUUUGUGAUAAGUUUUGACACAAUUUGCAACAUCAUUUUGAAUAUUUAAUGGAAACAUUCUAUAUUUUAAUAUUUUUAACUUCAUGAUUACCAAGAGUUAUUGAGAAUAGGCUUCGAACACUCAACGUUUAGUUUUUAUAUUAGCUAAAUGACAUAAGUCCCGAAGAAUAGUUGAUAUCGAAGGGCACCGAAUUGCAUAAAAAGUAUAAUUUUCAAGAUUUGAUCAUUUACAACCCUUUACAAGUAGUAAUAUUAGUAAUUUAAAUUAAAAAUAAAUAAAUAGAUGUCAAAGUGUUACCUAUGACCCCAUGAACCAGUAUCAUAGCAUGGUUUAUUUACUUAAUUUGAAUUAAGAGAUCCAAUAGCUUAUGAAGAUAAUAGAAUAUUUAGAUUUAUAAAUCGAUACUUAUCAUAGUAAGAAACUAACUCUAAAUAUAUAUAAUAUGAACUGUAACAUAAAAGGAAACCUUAGACACAAUUUACAUGCAGAAAAUUCACAGUUAAAUAGUUUAGUUGAUUUGUUAAUAAAUUUAUUGUUUGAAAGCUUUAAAAUGAACAUGUUAUUUUGUUUUGUAAUUGAGAAAAUUGGAGCAUAUAUAGUAUUUAAUCUGAGCUCGUUUCUGUAAGUAAAAUAUUGAAAGCAUACUUAGCAUACAAACAUAGAAUAACAAGUAUGCUUAAGAACUUUGUUGAGCUAGAAUAUACACUUAACUAACUCUGCUGACUGGACUUAAACUUACAUGUGCUAAGUAUGUAGCUCUCUUAUAUGAAAUAGGUGCUUCCUUAACAGCCCCCUUAAAACUUAAGAGGCAUAUAUGCACGUUGAGUUUUGCUCUAAAAUAGUUUAAGCGAACAAAAGAGCUUUUGUCAAAAUGUUUGCAACUUGCUUUUCACUUUGCUAACGCUUUAUCUUUAGCGGAAUGCAUAUCCAACUCAAUAUAUUUGGUUCUUGAGUGAUAAAUUGGAUUUUUGCCAUCUCUGUUACAUUAACAUUAUCACACCAAAUUAUAGGUAAUAAAGUGCAUUCGACCUUGAGUUCCAUGAACAGUGACUAAAGUCGUGUUAUUUCUGCACUUGCAGAGGUAAGGGCUUUGUAUUCACUUGCUGCACUCGACCUUGUAACUACUGAUUGCUUCUUAGACGAUCAGGAUAUUAAGUUGAUUCCUAAAUAAAUGCAGUAUGCACCUAUUGAUCUCCUGUCAUCAAUGUCACAUGCCCAGUCUGCAUCAAUGUAACCUAUGAGUUUCAUUUCUCCCCCAACUAAGAAUUAUAGCCUAUAAUCAUCAAUUCCCUUUAAGUAUCUAAGAAUAUAGGCCAUUAAAUAUUGAAGUGUUGGAGCUAUCAUCUACUAACUUAGUUUACAUAUAGCAAAGCUAUUUCUGGUCUGGUUAAAACCAGAUACCGUAAACGUCUAAUUAAGCUUGCUAUAACNNNNNNNNNNNNNNNNNNNNNNNNNNNNNNNNNNNNNNNNNNNNNNNNNNNNNNNNNNNNNNNNNNNNNNNNNNNNNNNNNNNNNNNNNNNNNNNNNNNNUCGGUUAAACUCCUUCUGAAGCAUUGAUACUGCAACCAUUGGAGUGUCAUAGCUUUCUCAUUCUAACAUAUCAACUUUAUUCAAAAAAUCCUUGAUGUACUUCUUCUGAGACAAAUAGAUACUACUCUCAGCAUAAGAAACUUCUAUUCGAAGGAAGUAUGGUAGUACUCUCAAGUCUUUCAAAGCAAAUAUUCCACUGAAAUCUAAAAUGAACUUUUCUAAUUCUUUAUUGUUAGGGCCUAUGAUCAUUAACAUAAAUCAAGAUUGGGCCUUCUAUCUCUUUUUUUCAAUAAAAAAAAAAGAUGUAUUAGUCGUAGAAUUCUGAAAUCCCAAUUAGUAGUCAAACAAUUCUUCAGCUUGUUACACUAAGCUCUGGGAGCUUAUUUUAAGCCAUACAAUGCCUUUUUCAAUUUGCACACAUCGCUAAAUUUUUUAAUAUAAAAAAAUCUUUUAGAUCAAUUCUCCAUUUAGAAAAACAUUGUUCACAUCAACUUGUCUUAUCAUUCACCUACAUAGUACAACCAAACUUAAUACCACUCUCACUGUAGAAGCAUUUAUAACAAGGCUGAAUAUUUCAAAAUAAUCAACUCUUUCAAUUUGUUGAAAUUCCCUUGCAAUAAGCCUAAGUUUGUACUUAGUUAUGCUUUUAUUAUUGUUUUGUUUAAUUCCAAAAACACAUUUGUUGCCAAUAAUCUUAAAGUGGUACUAAAAUCCAAGUCUCAUUCUUUAACAAGGCUUCUAUAACACCGCAGCCCGAACUCCGAGGGCAAAUCCGAUCACAACUCGCAUGUGAAUUUAAAUAACCCUUUACAAACGAAAAUAAUUCAAACCUCCAAUAUAAUAGGCAGCGGAAUAAUCUGAAAAUUUGGCCAAACCAUCUAUCAUCCUCAAUUCAAGUCUACCUUCUCACUCAUUAUGAAUCAUUCCUGACUUCUGGAAACCAAAUCAUAAUAAACUAUAAUGAGUAUAAAACUCAGUAAGCAAACUAGUUUUUCUUAUAUCAAAAUACAUCCAUACUUAUACAUAAUGCAAUUGGAUGAUAUGUCAUGAUCUUUUGGAAAUACUGUAAAACAAAUUCAUAAACAUCUAUUUAUGUCGCUUUCAAACUUUUUCAUUUUCUUUCAAUGAAAUACAUAUUCUGCAAUUGUGGCACUUUGUAUUGUGCGUGGCACUUUGCACCAUGCAUGGCACUUUACGGCACUUUGACCCUCAAGAGGUGGCCCAUGCAUAGUCUCAAGAGGUGGCCCACACAACUUCAAGAGGUGGUCCCCAAUGCAAAAUCUCAUAGAACAAAAAUUUCAUUUGUUAAAAUCCACUUUCUCAUUCAUAGAAAAAUCAAUGCUUUUUCAUACUUAUGCCAAUGAACCAUCACACAUACAUAUGCCCAUAUACAUAAUCAUGUUCAACACAUACCAACACAUCACAUAGACACAUGGGCAGAGACAUCUAAAUCCAUAUUCGUAUAUGUAUCAAAAUAGGCUUUUCACACAAGUCAAACAUAUAUAGAAUAAGUUAAUAAUUGUCAUAUCUUGUAUUUGUUUAAGGUGUUGGAGGUGAUUGAGGCUCUUAGAGGCAUAGAGGUGUGUUAAUUUAAAUUCUUUUGUCGAGGUAAGUAACUUCAUUCCUAGUAUACUGGAUAUGUACAAGUAUUUUGAUAUUAUUAUUAUAAGUAUAAAUGUUUUUAUACUACUUAAAAGAUUAAUGGAUUUUCAUAACAAAAUUAACUUAUGAAAAUGUUUUCAAAACCUAAAUUCUUUUUAACAAAGUAUUUUAUAAAUGCUUUUAAAUAUGUAAAUUAUUUAUGACAUGACUACCUUUUAUGGUUUUAUCUAUAAAAUAAUUUGCAAGCCUAAAUUGUUGUUAUGGACAUUUAUGAAAUUGAUACGAAUGUUUUUGUGCUUAUGAAUGUUUUUGUCCUUAUGAAUAUUUUCAAUUAUUUAUGAUUGUACGGGGGCCACCUCUUGGGACUAUAUGGGGGCCACCUCUUGGGACUAUAUGGGGACCACCUCUUGAAGGCUAAAGCAUCGCAAAGUGCCACAUACAGUGCAAAGUGCCACGUAUAAGUCAUUAUGUUUUGGCUCAUUGUCCGUAGUUAUUCUGAUUAUGAUUCUGAUCGUAUAAUACGAUAUAUGUUUGUUCUGGACCAGUACUGGGUUUUUGUUAUGAGUGUGCAUAUGAUAUUCUGAUUCUGUUUCUGGCCGGGUCACCGGUACUAUAGGUGACACUAUGUGACAUGAGCUAACCUUUUGUUUUCUGUGAAUGUGAUAUAUGAUUUGCUUUCGUAAGUAACUAUGCUUUUGAUAUUCUGAAUUACAAUGAAUUUAUGUUAUUUUAUCAUGAUAUAUCGUUUUAUGAAAUUUAUGGAUUAUGAUAUAUGUUUUAAUUAAAGGAAGGCUUGCAAUAUUUUUGGUAUCGAUAGGCUUAGUGAGUUAGGAAUGGUUUUACUUACCGAGUUGACGGCUCACCCCUCGUCAUUACUUUUUGUAGAUUAAGUUCCAUUUGAGAGGUGUGCUUAGCUUUGGAGUUAGAGAUUUUGUUUAUGUUUGCUGUUUGAAUAAGAAGAGGAAUAGACUCACGUUUUUUUUUAGUUUAUUUCUGUUAUGAACUUGUAAUUUGGAGUUUGAGACUUUUGUUAUUGCUAUGUUUCGGGAGAGAUUAUUUAGUGUUAGACGUAUGAAUUUGUGGAUUUAUUUGAAUAAGAAUUUGAGGUAUUUUCAGUUUGGAAUUUAUGAGUAAGGAUUACGAUUUGUAAGUAACCUCCUUCUUUACGUGCUCCGCACGUGUUAGAUUUGUAACACCCCAGCCCGAACGCCGAGGGCAAAUCCGACCACAACUCACAUGUGAAUUUAAAUAACCCUUUACAAAUGAAAAUAAUUCAAACCUCCAAUAUAAUAGGCAGCGGAAUAAUCUGAAAAUUUGGCCAAACCAUCUAUCAUCCUCAAUUCAAGUCUACCUUCUCACUCAUUACGAAUCAUUCCUGACUUCUGGAAACUGAAUCACAAUAAACUAUAAUGAGUAUAAAACUCAGUAAGCAAACUAGUUUUUCUUAUAUCAAAAUACAUCCAUACUUAUACAUAAUGCAAUUGGAUGAUAUGUCAUGAUCUUUUAGAAAUAUUGUAAAACAAAUUCAUAAAAACCUCUUUCUAUCGCUUUCAAACUUUCUCAUUUUCUUUCAAUGAAAUACAUAUUCUGCAAUUGUGGCACUUUGUGUUGUGCGUGACACUUUGCACCAUGCGUGGCACUUUACGGCACUUUGACCCUCAAGAGGUGGCCCCCGCAUAGUCUCAAGAGGUGGCCCCCAAUGCAAAAUCUCAUAGAACAUAAAUUCCAUUUAUUAAAAUCCACUUUCUCAUUCAUAGAAAACUCAAUGCUUUUUCAUGCUUAUGCCAAUGAACAAUCACACAUACAUAUGCCAAUAUACAUAAUCACGCUCAACACAUACCAACACAUCACAUAAACACAUGGGCAGAGACAUCUAAAUCCAUAUUCGUAUAUGUAUCAAAAUAGGCUUUUCACACAAGUCAAACAUAUAUAUUGUUUAUUGUGAUUCGUUUUAAAGUCUAGUUUACUUACCUCUUGGCAUCCUCAUGCAACAAAUGUGUAUUGAUAUCAUCAACCUAAAAUCAUCAAUAAAUAUCUCAUAAGAUAUAAUCAAGUCUCAAUCAUAAACUCUAAUGUCCUCAACUAUCUCAAUUUAAGCAUCUCAUAAGCUCAACCUCAAAUGUCCUCAAUAAUCAGUUCUCAAAACAAAACAGUCCAUAUUCUCCGAUUUUUAAUAAAUUAUUCCCUCAUUGGAAAAAUCUCAAAUUUUACAGAUCAUAUGCUGACAUAUUGAAAGUUUAUUGAUAAAAAUUUCAUAAUUUGAUUCCUUCAAAAACUAUUGAAAAUAAUUAACAUUUCAGACAUCAUCAAUACUGUCAAACAAUGUUCUGUUUUGAACACACUUGUUUCAAAAAUCCAAAACAAUUUAUUUCUUUAUCAUAAAAUCCUGAAAAUUUACAGAAUCAUACUAGACAUGUAUAAAAAUCAUGGAUCCAAAUUUCAUAAUUUUUGAAGAAGUACAGUUAUGGUAAAAAUAAUUUCGUAAUUCACGUUAUUUAUUGAAAUCAGAAAUUUCCAGGUUUUCAGACUUGAUUUUGAAAAAUCGUAAUUAAUUGAAAUCUUAUCCGAUUAACUUGAAACAAGUUUCAAAACAUUCUAGAUGAUGUCUAGUUUAACAAAUCCAAAAAUCAGAAUCAAAAUCAAUUUGUAAAAAUUACUAUGAGUUUCGUAAUAAUUCACUCUCAGCAUACUUCUGCAAAAUCUUAGGUUUCUACUUCUAUUGCAAUCAUGCUUGUCCACAACAAUUUAAUAGAAACCAAUAAUUAAAACUUACCUCCAAAACUUCUCCCAACAAUAACAACUUGAUCCCAUAUGUUGCCUAUGGCAGAACUAAGAAGAAGAAGAAGACUUUCUUCUUCUCUUUUUCUUUUUUUUUUCUCUUUUCUCUCCAUCUCUCUCUCUCUCUCUCUCUCUCUCUCUCUCUCUUUUUCUUUUCCUUCCUGCCGUUUUUUUUUCAACCGAUCUCUCUUUCCCUCUCUCUCUUAUAAUGGAAAAUACAUCUUAUUCUAUUUAUACUAGGGUAAAAAAGAUUACUAAAAACUAAAAAGACUUAAAUACCCUUAGGAGAAUUGGGGUAUUACACCUUCUAUGUAACAAUGUUAUAUCAUCUAGUUUGUAAUUACAAUUAUUUGGAAUAGAAUUAUAGCAAGCCUUGGUAAAGGCAUUUAAAUUUAUGAAAAUCAAGAGAGACAUUUGUAAAAGAAAGCAUAGAGAUUGGUUUAUUCAACUAAAAAUGAGAUAGGUAAGAUACAGGUGAUGAGGAAAAAGGAUUGAUCUCAACAACAGAUUGUAAACACCUUUCUGAGUAAGGCCUUGUGGAAGAACUUGUCCCUUUCUACCCUUCACAAAGCAAAUAUUUCUAUAUAAUUUAAAAAGGGAGGAUUAUCGGAGUUGAGUUUAGAAAUGCUCAACAAAUUCAUUGUAAUUGAAGGAACAAGUAGCAUGUCUUUAAGUUUUAUGGUAGUGUGCAUGGAUGAAUUAUUAGAAGCUUUAAAUGACGAAAAAACAUGUCCAAUAUGAGUCAUAGACAAAUCUUGACCAUUUUUAAUAAUAAGCUGCUCAGUAUCUUUAAACUCUUCUUUGAGAUACAUAUUCUCCAUGUUAUUGGUCCAAUGAUGAGUUGCUCCAUUGUCCAAAUGCCAGCCAUCAUCAGUUGUCCCUUCAAAAUUAGCCACAUAAGCUACUCCAGGUGCAUAAGCUUCAAUCCUAGAGUACUAGUAAGCUCCAAUGUAGGACUAUAUGCCAAUGGCAUAUAAUUGAAAUGUUCAUAGUCAUCAUAACUUUGAUGAGAAGCAGAACCAUCAAAGUUAGCAAAAUAAGCUGCUCUUAGUCUUUUGCCUUUGCCAAAACUCCUUGAAAUACAAAUAUAAUCUUUAACAAAUCUGCCAACAAAUAUCUACACUAUGACCCGUCUUGAAACAAAUCUGACAUAUUAGUUCUUCUAUAUUUACAAGAGUUCCUCGUGCUCCAUUCAAUUUAGGAAAUCCAUUCUUAGCAAAUGGAGAUGAAUGCCUAGGUACUUGAAAUGAAAGAAGACCAUCAGAGUUUUGACUAAAAAAUUGUCCUAUACCAUAUCAAUUUUUAAAGUUUCCAACAGGCAUUCUUUGAGUAUGAUUCUUGCUUCUUCUACCAAAGAACAUGUUUCUACCUUCAAUGUGUUGUUUUCUCCUAAAAUUGUCCCUAAGUUGAGCAUAGAAUGCCUUGGGAUAAUAUGCAUUGCUAUAUGUAUAAUUUGCAUUAAACACAUUCUUAUAAUCCUAUUCUUGCUCUAAUCUAGUUUCAUGUGUGAGCAGCAAAGCACAUGCAUCAUCGUAAUUCAUAUAAGGACCAGUUAUAAGAGUAGCAAUAUCACGAUAUCCUAGUCUUAGUCCAUUAAGUAUUGUUAAUAUAAGAUCUUUCUUUGUUAGAGAACUAUUAGCACUAGCAAGCUUUUUAGCUAUUGAUUUCAUUUGGUCAUAGAAAUCUUAAACACUCAAUGAUUCUUUUUUAAGAGUCUUUAAUUCAUACAUAAGUUGAACUACUCGAGCUUCAGAUUGCACUCCAACUUUCUUUUCUAGAGUCCUCCACACAUUAAAUGAACUUUUGCAAUUUAUAACAAGGCUUAGAGUAUCUUCACAAAUCAAUGAAAAUAACCAUUCAAGUAGAGUCUGAUCCUAUGAUCUCCAAUUUUGAUAUUCAAGAUUAUCAACUUUCUGAGUAGAUCCGUUAGCUUCAGCCAAAAGAAGAUGCUCCCAAGGUGCUGAUUUUCUUCCAUCAAUGAAGUCCUUCAAUCAAUUGCCUAUAAUGGAGGCCAAGACCUGAGAACACCAUAGCAAGUAAUUCGAAUGAUCUAGCUUCAUCAGAUUAUUGAAAGAGAAAUUAAUUUGAGUUUGCUAAUUUGUAUUAUUUGUCAUUGAGUUUCUAGUGGAUGUGUGCAUAUUACUAGAACUAGCUUUGUUUGCCUCUAAUAUCAUGUUUGAAAGCUUUAAAAUGAACAUAUUAUUCUGUUCGGCAACUGAGAAAAUGAAAAAGAAUGUUCUAGAUUUUUUUCUAAAUCUUGAUUCUUUUUCACUAACUACAAAAUCUAAAACAUUACAGCAUAUACGGCAUUUAUAAUGAGCUCGUUACAGUAAGAAAAGUAAUGAAAACAAACUUAACAAACAAAAAUAGAAUAACAAGUAUGCUUAAAAAUUUUGGUGAGCAGGCAUAUACACACAACUAGCUCUGCUGACUAGACUUGGACUUGCACGUGCUGAGUGUGUACUCUUUUAUAUGGAAUAUGUGCUUCCUUAACAGGUAGAAAUUUAAAAUUAAAAUUUGACAAGAUUAAUAAUAAUCUUAAAUUAUUUUUAGAUAGUUUAAGAGAAAAUAGAACUAGUUUUAAAAAUUUAGAAGAAGAAUUAGAUUUAUAAAAGAUCAAAAUAUUGCAGAAUUAGAUAAGAUCUCAAGAAUAGAAGAAAAAAGAUUAAAGCUAAAACAAGUAGAUAAAGCUAAGGAUUUAGAUGUUAUACCCAGUUGAAAAACUUUGGAUUAUUUCAUUUCAAUCGAUUAUAUUUUCACAAUCAACUUUUACUUUUUCUUUUUCUAGCCAUGUGAAUCGGUUGGUUUGAAAGGAAGUGGUUUCGACGACGAACCAUUUAGAAAAGUUUUGGUCUUGGAUUAGGCUUUAAUUCAACAUUGGGUUUAGUUAUAACUUGAAGGCAUGUAAUCAGAAAUGUGUUAUGAAUGUUUUUUCUAGGUUGACAAUUUAGUACAGUAUAUUUAUUUAAUACAUUAACAAAUAACAAUAAGAAAAGGCAGCUUUUUGACUCUUUCUACCUGAAAUGAAACUUUUGAUUGAUUGCAAAGCAAAGAACAAACAAGAGCUGCAUUUAUUCCAGCCAAACAAUCACGGCUUGAACUAUUAAUUAAAAGUUUUAAGUGAGGCACCAAAUUCAAAAAAGAAAAUUACGUAAGGCACAAUCCUCUGACUUUGGAGCCUAUUAAUCCAUGUGAUAAACGAAUUCUUAUAAUUCCGGAAACCCGUGCUCCUUACUCUUGUUCAUGCUAACUAAAUAACCCGCACCAAUAGUCAUCACCAUAUCUGUAUAUGACCAAACAACAACCUCAUUCAAUUUCGUUGGCCGAAGCUGAUUAUCUCUCACAAUCUCCUCCCACAGACUUUCUUUACCUUUCAUAAAAUUUUAGGAAAUUAAUUGACAAAAUAAUAAUAAAAAGAUGAGAUUGAGAGAAGUGAAAUUAAGGUUCAUGGUAUGGACAUGACAAAUGGGUAUGUUGAAUUAAUUUUAGGGAGAAUAUCCACCGUCCACCUGUUUUUUACACAUUUUUCAAAAAUACACAAUUCUUUCAUUUUUUGGCUGGAAUCCACCUAAAGUUAUAUUUUGUUUCACUUUUCCACUUCCGUUUGAAAUCCGUUAAGAAAACUAACGGAAACUUAAAAAAUAACUAUUUUAACCCCAAAACGAAAAUUACAAUUUCACCUUAAAAAUUACCAAAAAUAAUCAGAUUAAAUCUAAUUAUUUUUUUCAUUGGUCAAUAAAGAAAUUAAUUCCACAACCAUCAAAUGCAGGUUUUUUUUAAAUAUGUUUGUAAUUAAAAUGCUAAAUUAUAACAGUAGUAUUAAAAAUAGCCCAAUCUCGCAAACCAUCAAUUGAAUUUAAGAUAAGUAGAGUUUUAUUAUUCUUUGAAUUAUAAUCUCUAGUAGUUAAGUUUUUUUGUACUUCAUUAACGUACCAAUAAUGAUAUUCAUCAUUAAAUCUUAUUAUUUUUGGCAUUUUUUAGGGUGAAAUUGUAAUUUUCGUUUUGGGGGUAAAAUGGUCAUUUUUUUAAGAUUCCGUUAGUUUUCUUAACGGAUUCCAAACGGAAGUGGAAAAGUGAAACAACAUGUAACUUUAGGUGAAUUCCAGCCAAAAAAUAAAGGAAUUGUGUAUUUUUAAAAAAAAGUGUAAAAAACGGGUGGACGGUGGAUAUUUUCUCUUAAUUUUAACAUUUUCGCUUAAUUGUAUAAGGUUGACUUCAAUUAUGGGAAAUUUAAGAAUACAUAUUGUUGUUAAAAAAUUAGUCCUCAAAAUAGUUUUUGAUUGCAGUAUUUAAACCCAUCAACUUCUUCUAUACACCCAUUUUAAAAAAUAAAUUUAUCAUUAAAGUUUUAAAAUUUUAAAUUUUAAAUUUUAAAAUUACCCCUCACUAAUCACUUUCUUUCUUACUUUACAAUUACAUACUCUCCCUUUAAUAUUAUGCAAAUUAAACACUUAAUUUCACUAUCUUUGAAUUUUUAUUUUAUUUUAUUUUAUUUUUUUAUCUUUCUGAGUACAUCAUGAUCUAUAUAUUUCAUGCUUUCUAUAUAUAAGAAUUUUUUAAUUUCUUAAUAUUCAUUAGCUUUUAUGCUUGGUAAAAAUUAAUUUCUUAAUAUUCAUUAAUUUUAAUUACUAAUAAAAUUUUGUUGGUAUUCAUUUUUAAAUGAUGGGUUUUGUUCCUCUUAGUUAGUAAUACUAAUUAUCUACAAGUAAAAGAAUAUAUCUUAAUGGAUGAUAAGAAUGAACUUAGAUAAGAAGAAGUAGAAGUCGAAAAAGUUAAGGAAAAAGAAAGAAAAUGAAGAGUUCUUUUUUGCUGAAAAUAUGUUUUUUGUUCCUAGAUGCCUUUGGCUAUUUAUAGCCUUACAAACGUGACCAAUAAUGCAGCAAAACAACUGCAACAGCAAAGCAAAAUAAUAGGAAACAAACAUGCUACCACUUAUGCUUAAGUUAAGCAGCUUAUUCAUCCAACUACCUAACUAAGUUGACUAAGUCUGCCGACUUGACCAUCUCAACAAAUGUGACUUUAUCUGCUUCAUCAUCAACAAUGAUUUUGCCACCCACGAACAUAUUGCAUGCAUGCAUAAUUUGCACAUAUCAUUCCCCCCCCCCCCCUCCCCAAGGAUCCUUGUCCACAAGGUUGAAAUCAAGGUUGAAAUUAAGAUAGGAUUUGGAGAAACGCCAUUCAGUUUCCCAGGUUGCAUCUUGUAAGGGUGCACCCACCCAUUUGACCAAAAUUUCUGAUUUAGGCUGGUAUUUUCCCUUGUGAAUCACACGGCGAUCAAGUAUCGUUUCUGGUUGCGGAAGGAUGGUCAAAGCAUCUGAAACCGGAGGUAGAUGUGCUGAAGUAGGAACAAUUGAGCCUAAAUGCUUUUACGAUAGACCAACAUGGAAUACGUUGUGGAUUUGGGAGCCAGGGGGUAAAGCCAAUCGGUAAGGUACCGUUCCCACUCUUUCUACAAUUCGGAAUGGACUAAAAAACCGAGGGGCGAGCUUCGACGACUUGUCAAAAGCCACAGAAGUCUGGCGGUAUGGCUGUAGUUUCAAGUACACAUAAUCUCCCACAACGAAAGUGACUUCACGUCGGUGAUGGUCUGACUGACUCUUCAUCCGUUCUUGAGCUAGUCGAAGGUUGUGACACAGUUCGUAUGAUAUAUCGAUCACGUAGGUACUCAUCUACUGCUUGCACUCGAGAAGUGCCUCGAACAUAGUUCAAUAUGCUUGGAGGUGGAAUUCCAUAAACUACCUCAAAAGGUGUCAUCUUGGUGGAAGAUUGAACAGCCCAAGGAAGCCAUUCCAACCGUUUCUUAGGAUGAUCACCCACAAAACACCACAAAUACUGUUCCAGAGAGUGAUUAACUAUUUUAGUUUGACCGUCGGUCUGGGGAUGGUAACUGGAGCUCAUGCACAACUUAGUUCCUUAUAACGCGAACAAUGCUCGCCAAAAAGAACUAAUAAACACCUUAUCUCGAUCAGUAACAAUUUAUGUUGGAAUACCAUGGAGUCGUACAACAUUGGCCAUAAAUGCCUUGGCGAUAACAACUGCAGUAAACGGAUGUUUGAAGGCCACAAAGUGAGCAUAUUUGGUCUAUUGAUCAACUAUUACCAUAAUAACCGUAUAUCCAUUAGAAGAUGGUAAUCCUUCAAUAAAGUCCUUUGAGAUGGCAGUCCACAUUUGAGCCGGAAUGGGCAAUGGUUGAAGUAAUCCUGCUGGUCUCAUACAAUCAGUUUUGAACCUCUGACAAAUAUCACACUAUUGUAAAAAUUCCUUCACUGAACGUCUCAUUUGGUUGGGGCAAUAUAAAACUUUGCUUGAGGUGUGAAAGAGUUUUAUGAAACCCAAAAUGCCCACCAAUGGGUGAAGAAUGACACUCGCUCAUUAUUUUGGGAAUUAACGUCGAGGUGGGACUUAAAUAAACUUUAUUGCAUUUGAACCAAAUACCAUCACGUUGGAGAAGCUGGUAAUGUGAAUGGGAAGGACUCCUUUAAAGUAAAUCCUUGUAAAAUGAAUCAUGUUGAACUUCUUCUUGAAAAUUGGUCACCAAUCUGCUCGUGGCAUAGAAAUUGAUAACAAAUGGAACUUAACUACGCGUGAUAAUGAAUCUGCACCCUGAUUCUCUGGCCCUUUCUUAUACUUAAUUUCGUAAUCAUAUCCUCAUAUUUUUUGCAACCAUCGAGUUUACGCUGGCGUAGUAAUCCUUUGCUUUUUUGGUCGGUGUGAACUGUAAACGGUUUCCCAAGCACGUACGGGCGCCAUUUUUUUAUGGCUUUAACAAUUGCCAACAUCUCCUUCUCAUAGGUGGAUAAAGUUAAAGCUGAUCCCUUCAAUGCUUCACUGAAAAAAGCUAUUGGUCGAUCUUGCUAAGAGAGAAUUGCUCCAAUACUAAUGCUGCUAGCGUCACACUCAAUCAUAAAUCAUUAGGAAAAAUCGAGCAGGCGUAAAAUUGGUGGUGAUGUUAAAGCCUCUUUUAAUUUCUUAAAAGGUUUCUCUAUCGCCUCAUUCCAAUGAAAUCCAUCCUUAGUUAGAAGCUGAGUUAAAGGAGCAGCAGUGCCCCCAAAAUUUCGAAUGAACUUCUUGUAGUAUCCAGCCAGCCCCAAGAACCCACGAACCCCUUUUACUGAUAUUGGCCUAAGCCAUUAAAUGACAGGUUGGAUUUUGGCCGGGUCCACUGCGACUCCUUUCUCCGAAAUUAUAUGCCCUAAGUAUUCAAUCUGUGAAACACCAAAUCGACACUUAGAUUCUCUUGCAAAUAAAUUGUUAGUGGAUAAAAUUUGUAAGACAAUUUGCAAGUGAGUAAGAUGGUCUUUCCAUGACUUUGAAUAGACCAAGAUGUCAUAAAAAAAAACUACGAUAAAUUUUCGAAGAUAAGGACGGAAGAGGUCGUUCAUAAGACUUUGGAAAGUUACGGGUGCAUUUGUGAGACCAAAUGGCAUUACCACAAACUCGUUAUGUCCUUCAUGUGUUUGAAAUGUUGUUUUUUGAAUGUCCUCUUCUUUGACUCAAAUCUGGUGAUAUCUCGACCGUAAGUCUAAUUUAGAAUAAAAUUUGGCACUAUGGAGCUCAUCUAAUAAUUCAUCAAUCACAGGAAUGGAACACUUAUCUUUGAUAGUUAUAUUGUUCAAGGCGCGGUAGUCAACACAAAAUUGUCAGCCUCCAUAUGCCUUUUUUACUAACAAAAUAGGUGAUGAGAAUGGACUGUUACUUGGCCUUAUCAACCCGGAUUGUAAAAGUUCUUGCACUAUCUUCCCAUUCUCAUAUUUCUGGUAAUAAGGAUAACGAUAUGGCCAUACACUCACCGGUCCUGUAUUAGGCUGCAGUGGAAUUGAAUGGUCAUGGAAACGCCUUGGAGGUAAGCUUGUGGAUGAUUCAAAUACAUGGGAAAAGUUGGCUAGGAGUUGAGUAAUUUGGGGUGGAUAUGUUUUUGGUUGGCUGCUGCUGCAAGAGGGCAUUAUUUGGAAGAAGAAACCAGUGCUGUGUAUUCCAUUGAGCUCUUUAUCAGUUAACGCACCGAUGCUGGUCCGCUUCAAUCCUUAGAAAGUGUAAGGUACUCCUCCGACUUUAAAAUUCAUAGUUAGCUAUUUGAAAUCCAUUUCUAUGGGACCAAGAGUUUCAAGCCAUUAUGCUCCCAAAACUAAUUGGCAUGCAAUAACAGGGAGAACAUAAUAAUCCGCUGUCACCGAAUGCCCCUGAAUGGUGAGGGUGAGCGAUUGACACUACCCAACACAGUCUAUCUUCUCAUGAUUUGCAACCAUAACUUGAAACUUCGUCUUUAGUCACAGGUAUGCUGAACUUGGAGACUAUGGAUUGAUCAAUAAAAUUAUGAGUGCUGUCACCAUCUAUCAACACCAUUACAUCCUUAUUUUUCAACUUGCCAAGGACGCGUAUAGUCUGGGGAUGUUCUGUUCCAGCAAUUGCAUGAAAAGAUAUCUCAAGUACAGUGUCAUGGGCUUCUUGUUCUUGCUGAAUGUCGUUGACAUCCUCACUGUCCAAAUGGGGUAAAUCUUCCAUCAUAAAUAAUCGUGGACAUUCACACUGAUGGCCUGGAGUAAAUUUCUUAUAACAGUAGUAGCACAACCCAUUUUCACGCUGUUCUCAUGCCUUUUGAUUUGUGAUUCGGCAGAAUGUUAGUGAUGGAUUUAUAGAAUUUUGGUUCAGGCGCUGGUUCGGAGGAGGUUCUAACACACUUGCCGUUGGGUUGGGCAGUGGCCUUUGCGUGAUCAAGGAAGAUUGGGAGUGAAUCGGUUGGCUUGGUUUCCGUUGAAGUUGGUUCCGUUCUUCAAUCAAUCGCGCCACUCCUAUUGUAUCAGCCAAAGUACGAGGUUAUUUGAUCUUAACAUCCAAACGAAUAUCAUCACGGAGUCCUGCCACAAAGCAACCAAUUAAAAAAUUCUCAGGUAAGCCAUCAAUUCGGUGAGAGAGUCUUUCAAAAGCCUCUUGAUAUGCUGCCACAGUUGUGGAUUGCUUAAGACGAGUCAAAGCCUCCGAUGGGUCCUCGUAAUUCGUUGGGCCAAAACAAAGGUGCACUGCCUUAGUGAAUUCGUCCCAUGUGAGUGGUCCACAAAACUUUGUUAGCCAUAUGUGCCACUGUAGUGCAAUACCUUCUAGGUGAAAAGAGGCAAUCUGAACUUGUUGGUCUAACGGGGUAUUUUUAAAGUCAAAAUAUUGUUCUGCUUUGUGGAUCCAUCUGAUUGGGUCAUAUCCAUUGAACUUGGGAAAAUCUAACUUGAGGUGGUGGUGGGAACGUUCAUGGAUGGUGUUUUGAUGAGAGGUUUCUUCAAGUGCAAACGGGUUGGUCUCGAGUUGGCUGGUAUUUGCUUGGCUGGUGUUUUGGUUUUGGGAGAGACAGAGAGCUUGAAGUUCGGUUAACACGGCUUGUAAAGCAGCAUUGACUUGAUCGAAGCUUGCCUCGUGUCGCCCCAAGGUUGUGGCGAUGUCGUUGCAGAGUUCUGCAUUCGUUUUGCCACAAGUGUCCAUCGUUGAAACCUGGCUCUAAUACUACUGAUAAGAAUGAACUUAGAUAAGAAGAAGUAGAAAUUAAAGAAGUUAAGGAAAAAGAAAGAAAAGGAAGACUUUUUUUUCGCUGAAAAUCUAUUUUUUAUUCCUAGAUGCUUUUGGCUAUUUAUAGCCUUACAAACGUGACCAAUAAUGUAGCAAAACAAUUGUAAUAGCAAAGCGAAAUAAUAGGAAACAAACAUGCUACCACUUAUGCUUAACUUAUUCAUCUAACUACUUAACUAAGUUGACUAAGAUGUUGUUUGUUAAAUGUCUGAAUUCUGAAAUUUUAUUAAUUUCAGACAUUUUUUAAAAUAUGAUUGUUUGUUUUUUGGAACUUAUGUCUGAUUUUAAGACAUUUACAUCUGAAUAGAAAAAGUAAACUUUUGUGACUUUUAUCUGAAUGGAAAAAGGUCUGAAUGACAAGUAAAUAUUAUAUUAUGAAAAUAUCUCUGUAAAAUAACUUAUUUCCUAAAAUAUAAAAUCUAAUCCUAUUUUUUUGUUUUAAUUUAUAAGAACAUAAAUGUCAAAUAACCAAGUUUAAGAUUUUUUUAUUGUAAAAAUAAAUAAGAUGCCACUUAUAUUCAGAUAUUUAAAAAAGAAAAACAAACAUGUCAUUCAGAUUUUUGUAUUCAGACCCAUUCAGACUUUAGAAAAAUUCAGACCCAUUUAGAUUUCAAACAAAAAAACAAACGCUACCUAAGUCUGCCGACUUGACCAUCUCAUCAAAUGUGACUUUCUCUGCUUCAUCAUCAACGCCGCUUUUGCCACCCACGAACAUAUUGCAUUUGCACAUAUCAAUGGAUUGAUGGGAAUUUGUAAAAUUGAAAGAGAAAGAGAAGACAGGAUAAAUUACGUAAUUUUUUAAAAUUAUUUAGUUUAUAAAAUUUUUAAUUAAAAUGAGGAUUUAGAGAGGAAAUUAGUGAUUUCAUAUAGCCUUAUCCUUAAUUUUUAGAGUACAAAUAUUAAUACCCUAAUAAUUUUGUGCGUUAUAGCUCCUUGAGUAUCUUGUAUUACAAGUGAGUGAUCCAAAUUCAAAUUGAUAUUUGACUUUCCACAUUAUGGUAGGACUAUACUGCAUAAUCAAUACAAAGGGCACACUCAUGUUUGGGCUUACAUGUAAAUCCUAAUGACCUAGAUUAUAUCUAAACCUAAUGUUGGGGGAUUUUAACUCCACCGAAGAUCUUGAAAGCAAAAAUCCCAAACAAAUUAUUAAUAGAACAUAUAGAUGAACAAUAAAACCAAUCAUAUAACACAAAAAUUUAUGUGAAAACUCCUACACUCGACAAAAUUAUGCAACUAAGGAUGACGAGAGAAAAAUUAACUAUGUGCAAAAUUAUUACAAUUACUUUAGUAUUUUCCUCAAACCCAAAGCCCCAAUAACACUCAUUCUCUCAAUAGUCUUAUUGUUUCUCUCAUAUUAGAAAUUGUCUACUUGCUUAUUUUUAUAUGAACAAGCAAAAUGAACAUCCUUAUAUAGUGAUUGUUUCUUAUAAGAGAAGUAUUCAUUAUGUUAUACAAAUUGUAUUCCUCCUUGAAUAAGUUAAGUCUCAAAAGAGAAAUUAUUUAUUCUUUAAAUAAGAAUACUCUAAAAUAAGAAAAUAACCUAGAAAAUCCUUAUAUUGGAAAAAGAGACACAUUUCCUAGCAAUCUCGACCUUGGCAAGUUUUUCAAUCAAGCGAUAAAAUAUAAUCCACCGUGUAUCCACAAAGCAUAUUGUCUUCAUCUUCUUUACUGUACUAAAAUCACAUUCACAUAGGGCUUAUAAGAAUCACUCUAUCAUGGGUAAAACCUUGUUUUCUAUUCAGCAGCCAUAAUUCACCACACUGAGAAUCAUCAUACUCCACUUUAUCUAGAGUACGCAUGUUUAACACAUCUUGAUCACCUUACUAAAAAUCCCACUCUCAUGUUUCCCUUCUUUGAGUGUCCUCAACUAGUAACAUAAAAAUUCUGCCACACUCCUUGUAUAAAUGUCAAACUAUGCCUUGCGUGCAAAUCUUAUAGACCCACUUGCAAUAACAUAUCCUCUUCCAUGGCAUGCUAAAAAGGAUAAAUCAAUCUAUUGUAGAGAAAAAAGACACGCCAGUAGCUGAGAUAAUCAAUUUUUCAUAUAUUAAUUUAAAGCUACUUGCUAAAAUUGCUUCAUUCUAACAAUCUUUAUUAAGGUGCCUUGAUUAUCUACACAUCUCUAGGAGUUUUCACUAGUGGGAACAUGGUUUACAUCGCAUUUGCUUUCAUUGUGUAACAUAGAUUGGAUGAACAUAUGUCUUUGACUUCAACAUGUCCCAAGCCAAAAUUUGUUCUCCCAUCAAACUUUUCUAUUUUACCUUUACUAGUUUUGAAAUCCUCAUUGUUGACAUAUUUGCUCUGUAUUGCAACCUUAGCUCUAAUAGCACUUGUUACAAAAUUUCAAUUUCACUCAAGAUCUUGCAAGUAGAAAUAUCAAACAAAUAAUAUAUAGAAAAUAUAGAUGAAGAAUAAUACUAAUCACGCAAUACAAGAACUUUACAUGAAAAACUCUAAUACCAGAGAAAAACCAUGCUGCCAAGAAAAGUGAGAGAAAAAUUAUUAUGUGAAAAUUAUUGUAACUACACUAGCAUUUUCCUCACACCCAACACUCUAAUAGCACUAAAUCUCUCAAUAGACUUGUCGUUUCUCUCACAUUAGAAAUUGUCUACUUACCAAUUUUUAUAUAAACAAGUGAACCCAACCUCCUUAUAUUUAGUGAUUAUUUCUUGCAGGAGAAGUAUUCAUUUUUCUUAUACAAGCCGAAUUCCUCUUCAAAUAAGUUAAUCUCAAAGGAAAAUUUACUUAUUUCUUGAAUAAGAGUUCUCUUAAAUUAAAAAAAAAACAUAGCUAAGAAAUUAUUAUUAAAAAAAUGACACAUAUUUCUUAACACCUAAUGUAGUAGUAAAGAACCAACCGCAACACUAUUUUAAUUUUGUUUACAUUAUAUCUAUUGUUAAAGUUUCGAUAAGAUUAAAUAUAAAUGUAAAUUUUUAUGCAUACGCAUUAAAAUCGACAUAAACAAUUUUCCACUCUUCCCCAAGAAUAAUGAUAGUAGGCUAUCAACAAUCUUUUAGAUUUUCUACUAACUUUGAGUAUUGACCCUUUUGACCUAGUAAAAUUACAAUUAUACCCCCAACCUUAGGGAAUAAUUAUGAAAAGAUGACAUAAUUGCCCAUAAACUUUAUUUUAAUUUCAUUUUCUAACCCAUUUUCUUUCUCUCUCUGAAUAAAGCUCUCCAGUUAAAAAUUUUUGGAUGAUUUCAUUUUAAUCAGUUAUAUGUUCACAAUCAACUUUUCUUUCCCUUUUCCCUCUUCUUGUCCUUUGAAUCAGUUGGUUUCGACGGACGAAGAAAUUAAAGAAGCAUUGGACUAGGAUUAGGCUUUGAGCAUCGAGUGGUCAUAACUUGAAGGCAUAUGAUUCAGAAAUGUAAAAUGAAUGUUUUCUCAGCUCGAAAUUGAGUACUGUAUUUAUUUAACUCAUUAACAAUAACAAAGGCAGCAGUGUAUUUUUAUAUCUUUUUUCUGCCUGAAACGAAACUUUUCAUUUAUUGGAAAGCAAAGAACAAACAAAAACUGCAUUUCUUCCAGCCCAACAAUCACAAUUUGAACUAUUAAUUGAAAGUUCUAACUAACGCACCAAAUUGAAAAUAAAAAAUUACUGAAGGCACAAUCCUGUGACUUUUUAGCCUACCACUCCAAGUAACGAAGGAAUUCUUAGAAUUUCUGUGACCCAAGAACCCGUGCUCCUUACUCUUGUUCACGCUAACUAAAUAACCCGCACCCAUAUUCAUCACCGUAUCUGCAAACGACCAAACAGCAACCUCAUUCAAUUUCGUUGGCUGGAGCUGGUUCUCUCUCACAAUCUCCUCCCACACACUUUCUUUACCUUUCAUAAUUUCCUCCAAUCUCACUCUCUCACAACCCUUUCCAUCUUCAAGCCCAUAAUCCUCAAUCUCAAACUGCUCAGCCAACACUUUCCUAAAAUCUUCCACUUAAAAACAUCUCCAUUGGUGCAGUUAAAAUCUUCGUUCCUUGCAUUUGAAUCCAGUGCCGCCCAAAUUUGCUGCUCCGCAAUCAACUCUGCGUCCGAAACUUGUUGGAAGCCUUCCCAAGUAUCUAUAGUGCCAUAAAAUAGUAAAGGAACGCCUUCGUGAUUACAAAUAGCAGCGUACACGCAAAGAGUGGCUAUAAUAUUCAUUAAACUAUAAUGGUGCGUUUACUUCAUGGAAUGAGAAUUGGGUGGAAUGGGGUGGAAUGGGAAUGAACUGGGAAUAGGAAUGGACAUUUUCAUUCCCAACCCUCCAUGGGAAUGAGAUUCUCAUUUCUUAUUCUCAAAUUGUGUGGGACCCAUAUAUUUUUUUCUCAUUCUCAAAUUACAUUUUACUAAGUAAACAUAGAUUUUAUUAUCAUUCUCCAUUUCAUGAAGUAAACACGCCAAAAGAUAAAAACCCAAAUAUUCCGAAAGUUCGGUGUACGGACCAAGUCGAGCCCUCUCUUUUGUCAACUUCUUCAAAUAAUAUAUCUUCUAGAGUAUAGUAAAAUAGUGAAAUGUUUAAACUUGGCAAAUCCUCAGUAAAAGGCGGAUCGUGAGACGGUAUUUUACCAAUAAACUCGAGUGGUCCCAUGUAAUAUUUGCCUCCGGUUUGGAGACAAAUGUGGCGGAGAUUUGGUGCGUUUGGGAUUACAGAACGGAGCACGUUAUGCAACAUGGCGCCGUUGAUCUGGCAAUUCUCAGCUUCAGUGCGACGACCGUCCCACGUCACGUAGAAGAUGUGGGUGACGUCAGUGAGUUUUGAGAGCUUGGCUUGUGUGUCCUCUUGGUCGGAAACAUCGCAUUGGAGGUAUUCAACGGGGUAAGCGGCGUUCCAGUUAGGCCUGGGGCGUCGGGCCACUCCGUAGACCUUCCACGGGCCGCCGGGGGUAUCUGGUCGGGGUAAAAUCUCAGCUAGGCUGUUGCCUACAAUUCCUGUCACACCUACUACAAGUCCCACGCUCUGGUAGUCACGAGUUUGCUCAUAUUCUUCCAAUUUGUUUCUGUACAAGUUAAAAUUAAACAAACAUCAUUUUAAAUAUCAACAUGCUAUAUGUACAUAAACUUAGAGUAGCUCUUUGCCUUAGCAGCGCCAAUAGCUCCUGCCCACCACCAGCUCAUUUUUUUUUUUGGUGAGUUUGGUUUCUGAUUCUAGCUAUACAUAGGAUACUCCUGUGCAAGAGUAGGCCACGGAUAUGCACGAUUUUUCUGCAUUUAUGUUGAUAAAUUUUAACAUGAUUAAGAAAUAAGUUAAAAUGACAUGACACUAUAAAUAUCUGUGUUGCAUCCGUGUUGAACUAUUUCAACACAAUUACGUCUUUAAUUAUGACAUGAAUGCUAAUUUUUCAGUUUAUUAUAUUUUAUAUUUUGGCUGAGUUAUUAUAUAUUAAUUAUUGCCCUAUAAUGAUUUAAAUUUAGAAUUGGUUUAUAUAAUUAAAUUUUCAUAUCUUGGAUUAGUUUGAGUUUUUAUGUCAUUUAUUUUUUUAAUCAAAUAAUUUAUUUUUAUUUUAUUUGUUAAAAGUUAAAUUAUGAUAGUAUUUCUAUUGAUAAUCAGGUUGUUAAUCGUGUAGUCAUAUCAUAAUCGUGUCAAAUAGUAAUAUGUGAUACUCAUCAUGUCAUGUCACCCAUUUAUGAAGUGGGUUGUAUCGUGUUUGAAUUUUUUGAUACAAUUAUUAAACAUGUAGGAUCUGUAUUUACUAAAAUUAACAUGAAACAAUUACAACACAACAAAAAUACGAUUCAGCUACACGAAUUGCCACUUUAGAAGGUAAUUAAGUGUUCAGUUCGAGUUAGAUUAUGUGAUCAAUACUGAAAGAUCGAAUAUGUUUAGGUGUGGUAAAAUGAGGCUCCAGAUAAGGUCCAAGCUUCGUACAUAUCAUUGUCAGACAAUUGGUGCUCGCAGAUUUAGAAGUUGUUACUCAUUUAAUGUGUUUCACUUCUAUAAGGGUCUAAUAUUGAGGCAUUUCGUUAUCGGAUGCUGUAAAACUUCAAAUUAACACAACAUGCAUAUGUGGUCCCAUUAUUGUGAAAAUGUCAAAAUUAUCCUCCAAUUACAAAUCUCAGUCAUUUAAUUUGCUCACAAGAACUUAGUACAAGUGCUUGUGAAACUUGAUAUACGAAUAAAUGAAUAUUUCCUUUCCUUAAUUUUAGGAAAUAGCUGAACUUGUUCUAUGAAUGAAUAGAAUAUUUUUUUCUCAUUGAUUAAUCCUUGUGAAUAUUUACGUGGGUUAUUUGAAUGAGCAAUUUUUUUUCUCUAUAAAUAUACCAUUAUGAAAACAUUUUGGCCCUUGUGUAAAAUAUGAAAAUCCUAGAAGAAAAAUGUGAAUAAAAUAAUUCUAACGUAAUUUAUACUCACCAAGAAGGUGAGAUAGAAAAAGAAAAAGCGUCUGAAGUUUCAAUUUUGUUAGUGGUUUGAUGAAUCUCUACUCUCACCUUGUUAGGUAAUUAAUAGUAAAACAAAUUAAUACUUAAAUGAUGAGAUAUGGAUAAACGAAUUUAUGAUUUAUGGUACAGAUGGGGUGAAAAAUGGUCUUUGUUGACACCAUUUUGGUGUUAGCAACAUGUUUUGCUGGCAUCGAGUUUUAUUAUAUGCAUAGCCCGAGUCAAUGUCACACUAAAAUUAGAAAACAGCAUCAGCAAUUUACGUUACUAUGGCAUAUAUGAAAACCAUUUUGACUCCACGACAUCACGUACAUAAUGAUUUUAGGGCGUGUUUGGUAUCCCGCACAACAUAGUAUUAAAACACUGUUUCGCAUUAACUUAAUACUAACUCAUGUUUGGCGUUAAAUUCAACUGGCGUGGUAUUGCAUUAACUUGGGAAACUAAUGCGGUCAGAUCCGCAUAAACCAAACCCGAGGGGGGGUUCGGGUUUACGCCGCAUCGUAUUAGAGCAAAUCAAGAAAAUAAAAUUGAGAAAAUUUUACAGCAUGUUCACGAUGAAAUUCAUAUCACCCAAUCUAGUACCACCAAAUCGACUUGGCAAUCAUCGCUCGACGCCAUCACCGACGCUUUUACACUGCCGCGCGACACCAUAGCCAUUGCUCCAUGAAGACACCUUCACUGUGGAGAAGAUAAAGCUCAGAGAAGAAGAAGAAAGAAGGAGAAAAAGAGGAAAAGAAAAAGGGAAAACAAAUUGAAGAAGACAAAGAAAAUAGAAGAAAAGGAGGAAAAAAAAGAAAAUGAAAUGAAGACGAAGAUAAAGCCCAGAGAAGAAGAAGAAAGAAGGAGAAAAAGAGGAAAAGAAAAAAGGAAAACAAAUUGAAGAAGACAAAGAAAAUAGAAGAAAAGGAGGAAAAAAGAAAAUGAAAUGAAGACGAAGAAAGAGAAAAAGAGAACAAAAAUGAACGAAGAACAAAAAGAUCUGGAGAAGACAAAGGUAGGAGAAAGAGUAAGCAGAUAAUGAUACAUUGAAAAGCAUUACCUAAAGAAAAAAAAAGGAGAGGGAGGAAAUUAAAAUAAAUAAAUAAAACGUUAAUAACUAUUAUUUUCUAAAUAUAUAUCAUUUAAAUUAAUUAAAAAAAAUUAAUACAGUGAAGUACCAAACACAAUAUAAUUAAAAAUUAUAAAUAUUAUUUUAUAAUUUAUAUAAUAUAAAUUAAUCACAAAAAAUUAAUACAGUACAGUGUAACACCAAACAUAGUAUAACUAAAAAUUAAUACAGUACAGUGCAACACCAAACAUUGUACAACAUUAUUAUAAUACAGUGCUAAUGCAAUACAACAUAAUACAAUACAGCAGUAUAAAAAUAAUGCAAUACAGCAUAAUACAAUACAGUGUGUCAAACGCACCCUACGGUAUCAAAGGAAUUCUGAUUUUAUGAUAUCAAUGGAUUGAUGAUUCCAUGGUAUCAAAGAAAUUAUAGUUCUGUGGCAUAAACAUUUAUUUGAGAAAAAUAAAAAAUAAUGCAAAACAGAAAUUACAAAUUUACAAUUGUAAUUUGAUUUUUAGUCUCCAUUGAACAAUAUGAAAGAGAAUUACAUUGUUUAUAUGUACUCAAAGUGCCAUAAACAUCCAACAAAAGAGAUACAUAGUCUUAUUUAAAAGUAUAAUCUAACAACAUUAACAAUUUAAUCAAUUAUGCUAAAGUUCAUAAAAUAAUCAAUGAAAAAAUCCAUAAACUUUCUUCAAAAUCUAACAGCAGCAACAUACUUGAGAAGUCAGCAGCAUCUUUAAUAACUAACAACCAAAUUUAACCAUCACAAGCAAAUCAACACAGCACAUUCCUGAGAAGUAAUAGAGGAAUAAAAAGGCAAUUAUACAUCAUCGUUCCCAGCAAAAGCCAUAGAAUAAAGGCAGCCAUAUAGUUCCCCAAAUAGAGUAACAUCAACCAAAACAAGACAAAACACAUCUCUUUUUAACAAUCUACAACUCUUCCUUGACAAAACCUAUCAAACUGAAAGAAAAAAAUAAUUUAAUGUGGAAAAUAGCACCACCUUUUUUAGAAGGUGGUGCCCACCACUUUUCCCUGUUUUGAAUGCGGUUGUUGCUGCAUUCUUUGAAUCAACAAAAAUAAAAAGAAGAAGGAUUUGGUGCCGACCAAAAAAAAAAAAGAGAGAAGAAAAAAGAGAUGCCGGGCCGAAGAAGGAAAAGAAAAAAAAAAUUAAAUAAUUGAUGAAUAGUGCCAAAACUUGCUCUAUAAAUAGAAACGAAGAGAAUGAGCAAAUUCAUUCCAUUGAGAGAGAAGCAUUUCUUUCUUUUAGAGUUGAGAGUAUUAAGAGUUUAAUAAACUCUUGAGUGAUUAGUGUUCUGAGAGUUUGAGUGGAUUGAGAUUUUGGGAAAUGAGCUAAAGUACUACAAUACUUGUAACUCCUUUUCACUAGUAAAAUAUUUCCUUCUGUUUUCGCCCGUGGACGUAGGCUAAAAGUCGAACCACGUAAUUUCUAGUGUCCAUUUUUGUGCUUGUUCUUUAUUUUUCUUCCAAUUUUACUUUAGCUGCGUGUCUGCUUCACCCAUCAAUUUCCUAACAGUGGUAUCAGAGCUAUUAGUUGUAUUUUUGGAGUUGGGUACUAUUCACGUAAGGGUACUAUUCACAUAUACGGUAUUGUUCACGUAUACGAUACUAUUCACGUAUAUGGUAUUGUUCACGUAUACGGUACUAUUCACGUGAAACGGUGGGAGCGAUUCAAGAAUUUGGCGGUACAAAAGAAGGGAAUAGUGGUGUAAGUAAAGCAACUGUGUGAUUUUGUACAUGUCUAGGAAAGUUCUGUCACAAAGGCGAUAAGAGCUUAAGGAGUUUGGGUUUUAAGUGAGACCAUUGUGACCCCUCCAAUCUUUCCUGGGAACUUUCCUGGUGUGCAUUCACACACAUACUCACAACUAUUCAAGGUGGUACACUAGCUUGUGUGCAGUAUUUAUCAACAAAAUGGCGGCAAAGUAUGAAAUUAAGAAAUUUAACAGAAACAAUUUUUCGUUGUGGAAAAUGAAGAUGAAAGCUGUAUUGAGGAAAAAUAAUUGUUUGGCAGCAAUUGGAGAAAGGCCCAUGGAGAUAACUAAUGACAAGUGGAACGAGGUAGAUGGUAACGUCAUUUCUGAUCUACACUUGACACUUACAGACGGAGUAUUAUCCAGUGUGGCAAAGAAAAAUACAGCGAAGGAAAUAUGAGAUACUCUCACAAAAUUGUACGAGGCCAAGUCACUACACAACAAAAUCUUCUUGAAGAGGAAACUUUAUACUCUUCGGAUGGCGGAAUCUACAAUGGUGACCGACCACAUCAACACCUUAAAGACUCUAUUUUCACAACUCACAAUGUUGGGUCAUAAUAUAGAGGAAAAUCAAAAUGCAGAGCUUCUACUUUAAAGUCUACCAGAUUCGUAUGAUCAACUCAUCAUCAACCUGAUGAACAACAAUCCAGUGGACAGUCUAGUUUUCGACGAUGUUGCAGCCUCCGUAUUAAAUGAGGAGAGCAGGCGGAAAAAUAAGGAAAACAAACAAGUAAGUUCGCAGCAAGCGGAGGCACUAUCGGUGACGAGAGGGAGAACAACGGAACGUAGCCUCAGUGGGAGUCAAAAUCACGGUAGAUCAAAAUCCAGAAGUAAGAAGAAUGUUAAAUGCUACAACUGUGGCAAGAAAGGGCACGUCAAAAAAGAGUGUUAGAGUAACCAGAAGAGAAGAGAGGGCAAAGAACCUGAGUCAUCAAAUGCUCAGGGUUGUGUAGCAAGUACCUCGGAUGAUGGCGAAAUUCUUUACAGCGAGGCAACAACUGUUUCAGAAGGCAGAAAAAUGACUAUCUGAUGUCUGGCUUAUAGACUUAGGAGCUACCUGGCACAUGACCUCUCGGAGAGAAUGGUUCCACACAUAUGAACCUAUCUCAGAAGGAUCUGUAUAUAUGGGUAAUGAUCAUGCCUUGGAGAUCGCUGGUAUUGGUACUAUCAAAAUAAAAAUAUUUGAUGGUACAAUUCGCACAAUUGGGGAAGUACGACAUGUCAACGACCUAAAGAAAAAUCUAUUGUCUUUGGGACAAAUGGGUAGUCAUGGGUAUAAAACUCAUGUGGAGAAUGGAAUUAUGAAGAUCGUUAAAGGCGCGCUUGUAUUGAUGAAGGCAGAAAAGAUCGGUGCUAAUUUAUUCAUACUUAAAGGAGAAACACUACAGGAGGCUGAUGCGUGUGUCGCAUCAAAUGGAGAAGAGUCAACGAUGAUGUGGCAUCUCAAACUUGGCCACAUGUCAGAACAAGGUUUGAAGAUUCUCUCUGAGCGAAAAUUGCUUCCGGGGCUCAAAUCGGUAAGUUUACCAUUUUGCGAGCAUUGUGUUACAAGUAAGCAGCAUAGAUUAAAAUUCAGUAGAUCUAUUGCUCGAAGUAAAUGCAUUCUAGACUUGAUUCAUUCUGAUGUUUAGGAAUCACCGGAUAUAUCCAUUGGAGGUGCAAAAUACAUGGUGACUUUCAUUGAUGAUUCUAGAAGAUGUUGGGUGUAUCCAAUUAAGAAAAGUCAUAUGUAUUUCCAAUAUUUAAAGAAUACAAAGCGCGAGUGGAACUUGAAUCUGGUAAAAAGAUCAAGUGCUUGAGGAUAGAUAAUGGUGGAGAGUAUACAGACGGCAAGUUUCUUGCUUUAUGUAAGCAAGAAGGUAUUUAGAGACAGUUUACGGUGGCAUACACUCCUCAACAAAAUGGAGUGGCAGAGCGGAUGAAUAGAACUCUUACAGAACCGAUAAGAGUUAUGUUGAGGACUGCUGGUUUACCCAAUUCAUUCUGGGCAGAAGCAGCCAAAACUGCCUGUUAUAUAGUAAAUCGAUCGCCAUCUACAGCUAUUGGGCUGAAGACAGCGAUGGAGAUGUGGAUUGGAAAGCCAGCUGAUUAUUCCUACCUACAUGCAUCUGGAUGUCUUGUGUACGUGGUGUACAAUGCCCAAGAAAGAACAAAGCUGGAUCCAAAAUCUAAAAGAUGUAUCUUCUUGGGAUAUGCUGAUGGAGUAAAGGGGUAUCGUCUGUGGGACCCCACUGCCCACAAGAUCGUCAUCAGCAGAGAUGUUAUCUUUAUAGAAGAUCAACUGCAAAGGAGAGAUGAAAAUGAUAACAGUGUAAAAGAAAAGUCAGAGACUAUACCGGUAUAUGUGGAAAAUAAUCCAGAAGAUUCAGAUUCUUCUGAAGCAACACCAGAGCACGAGGAACAAGAACCAGUUGAGUCCGAGGCUCCAGAAGUUCGUCGGUCAACUCGUGAGAGACGACCGCCAACGUGGCACUCGGAGUAUGUCACAGAGAUCAACGUUGCAUACUGUCUUCUAACAGAGGAUGGAGAGCCUUCAACUUUCUAUGAAGCUUUAAACAGCUCAGAUGUUGCUUUGUGGAUGACAGCAGUGCAGGAAGAAAUUGAAGCUCUACACAAGAGCAAGACAUGGGAACUUGUACCACUACCACACGGAAGAAAAGCCAUUGGAAACAAAUGGGUCUACAAGAUCAAGCGUAAUGGCAAUGACCAAGUGAAGCAGUUUCGUGCAAGAUUGGUAGUGAAAGGAUAUGCUCAGAAAGAAGGUAUUGACUUCAAUGAGAUAUUUUCGCCGGUGGUUUAACUCACAACAGUCAGAAUAGUCUUGGCAAUGUGUGCUACAUUUGACCUACAUCUAGAGCAGUUAGAUGUGAAAACUGCAUUUCUUCAUGGAGAACUUAAAGAAGAAAUAUAUAUGCUCCAACCAGAAGGUUUUGCAGAAACAUGAAAGGAAAACUUGGUUUGCAGGUUGAACAAAUCUCUAUACGGUCUCAAACAGGUGCCGAGGUGUUGGUAUAAGAGAUUUGAUUCCUUCAUCAUGAGCCUUGGAUACAAUAAACUAAGUUCAGACCAUUGUGUAUAUUACAAAAGGUUUGAAGAUAAUGAUUUCAUUAUUUUGCUGUUGUACAUGGAUGACAUGUUGGUAGCAGGCCCCAACAAAGAUCGAGUCCAAGAAUUGAAGGCACAGUUGGCUAGGGAGUUUGAAAUGAAGGACUUGGGACCAACAAACAAGAUUCUAGGGAUGAAAAUUCACCGAGACAGAAAUAACAGGAAGAUUUGGCUUUCGCAGAAGAAUUACUUGAAGAAAAUCUUGCGGCGCUUCAAUAUGCAAGAUUGUAAGUCAAUUUCUACCCCACUUCCUAUUAAUUUCAAAUUAUCCUCAAGUAUGUGUCCUAGCAAUGAAGCAGAGAGGAAGGAGAUGUCUCGAGUACCAUAUGCAUCAACAGUGGGAAAUUUAAUGUUCGCUAUGAUAUGUACUAGACCAGACAUUGCACAAGCAGUGGGAGCAAUCAGUCGAUACAUGGCGAAUCCUGGUGGAGAGCAUUGGAUAGUUGUGAAGAGGAUUCUGAGAUAUAUCAGAGGAACCUCAGAUAUUGCAUUAUAUUAUGGAGGAUCAGAGUUUACUGUCAGGGGCUAUGUGGAUUCAGAUUUUGCAGGAGACCUUGAUAAAAGGAAAUCCACUACUGGUUAUGUGUUUACACUUGCGGGAGCAGCUGUAAGCUGGGUUUCGAAACUGCAGAAUGUUGUGGCUUUAUCUACAAUAGAAGCAGAAUACAUGGCAGCUACACAAGCUUGCAAGGAAGCUAUUUGGAUACAAAGAUUAUUGGAGGAGCUCGGGCACAAACAAAAGAAAAUUUUUGUGUUUUGUGAUAGUCAUAGUGCCUUGCACAUUGCAAGGAAUCCAGCUUUUCAUUCCAGGACAAAGCACAUAGGAGUUCAGUAUCACUUCGUUCGAGAAGUAGUGGAAGACGGAAGUGUGGAUUUACAGAAAAUCCAUACCAAGGAGAACCUAGCAGAUGUUUUGACUAAGCUGAUCAAUGUUGACAAGUUUAUCUGGAGUAGAUCCUCUUGUGGCCUAGCAGAAACGUAGGCAGCAUGAUUAUGGCGAAGCAGAAAGGAUGGUGUAGAGAUUGAUUGUUUUUCAAUCUAAUCUCCAAGUGGGAGAAUGUGGAAAAUAGCACCACCUUUCCUAGAAGGUGGUGCCCACCACUUUUCCCUGUUUUGAAUGCGGUUGUUGCACUCUUUGAAUCAACAAAAACAAAAAGAAGAAGGAUUUGGUGCCGACCAAAGAAAAAAAAAAGAGAGAAGAAAAAAGAGAUGCCGGGCCGAAGAAGGAAAAGAAAAAAAUAAUAAUUAAAUAAUUGAUGAAUAGUGCCAAAACUUGCUCUAUAAAUAGAAACGAAGAGAAUGAGCAAAUUCAUUCCAUUGAGAGAGAAGCAUUUCUUUCUUUUAGAGUUGAGAGUAUUAAGAGUUUAAUAAACUCUUGAGUGAUUAGUGUUCUGAGAGUUUGGGUGUAUUGGGAUUUUGGGAAAUGAGCUAAAAUACUACAAUACUUGUAACUCCUUUUCACUAGUAAAAUGUUUCCUUCUGUUUUCGCCCGUGGACAUAGGCUAAAAGCCGAACCACAUAAUUUUUAGUGUCCAUUUUUGUGCUUGUUCUUUAUUUUUCUUCCAAUUUUACUUUAGCUGCGUGUCUGCUUCACCUAUCAAUUUCCUAACAUUUAAAACAAUGCUUAAAAACAAAUUAUCAUAUUCAUAUAAAACUAGUUUUGGCUCUUUAAACCAUUAAACAUGAGCUUCCUGAAUAGCAAAGCAUAUCAGUAAAACUAUAAAAAAAGAAAAAGAAAAAUUAAAACACUUGGAGUAGAAUAAAGUACAUCAGUGGCCUUAUCUAACAACUAGUUAGUACACUUGCGGAAUAAAUGGUUGGUAAAGUCGAAGAGUUUAUGAAGUAUAACAAACAAGUACGUUUAUCAAAUUUAGAGAUGAUUUAAAAUUUAAUAUUGUUUAUCUCAACUUCCCUGAAUGUCUGGGUACUCAUAUGAAUAAUUUAAAAUAAAUCAAGCACUAGAGACAAACUUUAAUGUUGUCAUCAAUGGUGCACUUUCCUUUGUAAGCAUACGUUGACAUUUUAAAGCAAAAUAUUCUGAUCCAUCCGUAAUGUAUAAGAGCUUUGCCAUUUGAAUAUACGACAUUGCAAUUUUAACAUGUAAUUUAGCAGAUAAUAGUCACGUAUGGACCUGUCCUAAUAUCCAAAUAAGAUUGAAAAACUAAAUUGUAGAUCAAACACAUAAAAGUUGAUCAUCUAUCCUUUCAAUAUUUAUUUUUAAUAAAAUCAACUUCCAACUUGUAGGCUUGAAUAAAACAAGUGAUAACCUGAAUUCCCAAAAGAGAGAGUUAGGCAAUUGUACAUUAUUUAUGCCUUGGAGUCUUUUUGUUAAACACAUGAUGUGUUAACAUGAAAUGAACACCUUAAUCAUUUCAAACAACCAAAUUAAGUACAUGAUGGCUCUAGUGGAAAAGGUACAGAAUGCGAAAUUACAAAAUGUAAUUAUAACAUUAUUGAAAAAUUUUAGUGAGUCAACAAUUGAAAGUAUAUUGAUCAAAUUGUAAUAGAACAUAAAUUCAUAUAAGUAAACAACAAGUAAAAGUUAGUAAACAGGCUGCAGUAAAUCGUUGGAGCAGCAAUAAAAUAAACAAUAGAAAAGAAAAUGAAAAACAUAAAGUUUAGAAAAAUCCCGAGGCCUGUUAAACAACAGUCUCCUUAAAACAGAUUUACCACUAUUACGGUGCUUUUAGGUUUAUUGGUAUCUGUUUCUCAGGAUACAACGGGAACAAAUUAUUCGUCAAGCACGCACAAAUAAUUUUGGCAAACAGUAACAAUGCAGAAUCUCGAUCAAAACAGAACGUCAGAGGAGGAAAAUUUUUUUUUUCAAGUGCUCUGUGUGUUUGUUGUGUAUAAAAGAGAAAAUGAAGACUCGCUUUUAUAUACAUGAGGGUAUGUAAUUGUUGAAUAAUAAAAUUGAAUAUUUGAAUUUAAUAUUUGAUUUAAUUUGCUUCUGUAACAGCCCAUUUGAAUUAAAAAUAUUCAAUUUUGUAACAGUUCAAAAUUUAUUCACAAAUCAAAACUGCUUUUGAUUUUUAAUUGUGCAAAACUGUUACAAAAUUUAAAAGGAAAGGAAAUAAAAAAACGUGGCCAUGCAGGCCUGGAUGAUUUUGGGCCGACAUUUGUGUAUGCAGGACGUGUGGACAUACACGAGUUCAACCAAAUUGGGCUUGGAUUUGCACCCCCCUGCACACGCGCGAACGGAGAGAGUCUCUAUCUUUAAAAUUCUUACUCAUGUAUGGAUGAUUAUCUAUAUAUAAACACAAAUCAUUUAGCUUAUUUUUCCCUCAUGGGAUAAGUUUCCAUUUCCUUUCAAAUUUCCAACUACAAAAGUGCACUUUGAGAGUCAAUUUCUCAUUCACCUAAGCAUCAUUUUUAGUAUAUAAAUAUACCAUUUCGAAGUGUUCACAGAGUAGAAUCCGAACCUCUCCAGAUUUUCAACUUUCGCUAAGUGGGUCCCACUCAAAAUGUGCCCUUAAAAUAGCUUCCUAAUAUGUUAUUUUUUCAACAAUCCCCCACAUGAAUGAAAAUUGGCAGUAAAACAAAAAACCGCUAAAUUUGACAUCAAAACCACUUUUGACCUUAAUGAUUGAUAACUCUAUGAAAUGAGAGUUAUUAUGGCAAUUUUAGACUUAAAUCAAGAUCACUUAGAGAGUAAAUGAUGUGUUUUUAUUGCAUUUUUGUUACAUUUUGCAUAAACAUUCAUUUUAGUUUAGUCUUAAUAAGUUUUGCUUGAUUUAAAGUAAUUCGUGCUCAAAUUGUGUGCAUAAUUGUAGGUUUCAGAAGCUUAUAAUUCAUGGAAGGAAUGUCGAUGCAAUAGGUUGGCAAAAAGGAGGAAGAACAUGACUAUAAAAGAAUUGAAACAAAUCUGGAACAGUACAGUUGUUGUAGCAACCAUUGCUGUAGCCGUUGUUGUAGCAAUCCUGGAACAACGACAGAGAAAAUUCCACGCGGGAUACUUGCAGAAUUGCGAUCUGCAGUUUCCUAAUCUGACUUAUGCGCACCUUAGGCUUCCGUUUACCCUAAUUUUCAGUUAUAAAAGAAGCACACAUCAUAAGGAAUAGAGAGAGCCGUCACCCAAGGAGAAAAACACAAAGAAACAAAAGAAAAACAAGAUUCAAGAGAGAGAUUAAGGGCUGCACAAGAGGAGAAUUUGCAUAAAUCAAUUGGGAGCUCAAUCAUUCUUAUUCUUCUAUUGCUUUCUCGUUUUCUAUUUAUUUAUGGGGAUGUGUUUCAUGGCUGAAACUUUGUUCUUUAUUUUUCUUUUAUAAACCAUGAACUAAAUUUAUUUGUGGUUGAGUGAUAAACAAUUUUGAUAGUUUAUUGACUGAAUAUAUGUGUUGCUGCAUGUUUGCUGUAGCAGUUUGUUUUGAUAGUAUUUAUUUUUAUUCGUUAUUUCGGUUGAUCACCCAUUUAAUGAUACAAGUUAUGAGAGAGCCGCAAAAAGGCCUAUCUUAGUGUAACAUAUCAGAACAAUACUUGAUCUUAAAUUGAGUUUCCCGGAUUAAGUUUUACUUGAGUCCCAAAAGGGCCAUGCUUGAUUUAAGAUUAGUGAUGAACUAGACAUAAGGAUUCACCUUGUAGGGUAAAUAGAACCUAAGCGUGUAAUGCUAUGUCUUAUGUUGGCAUAGCAACUGAUCAUUGUUAGGUUGCAUAUAGAUAUAAGAUAUCCAACAUGCGACGGCUAAGGAUACAUAAGAAUUCUGCCUAAAAUGUUGUAGCAACCGAAUCAAACAUUAGAAAAAUAGUCAAGACCAUUAAGAAAGUUUAUUCACUCAACUACUUUAUAAUCCCAUUGAUUUUAUCCUUGAGAUUGAAGUGAUAAUUUACUUUGUUGCAUUUUAUUUAUUGCGUUUUUAUUUUAAUUAGUAUAUUAGUUUCAUCAAUUGUUUAUCUUAAUUUAGACACAAAAUCUGCACUGUUACGAUUGCUGUAGCAAAUCUGAUAACAUUAAUCCCUGUGGAGACGAUCUUGAAUACUCAUCACUUUAUUACUUGUUGUGUACACUUGCACAUUGACACCAAUAGCAUUAGUAUUUAUACACCAACAAUGAUCGAGUUCACUGAAUCGAAAUCUUGCAUAGGAUAGGUAGGUCUCAUCCUUUGAACCUUCCCUUGUGAUAGUAUAUUUACUUUACUAGCUAAUCAGUAGAUGCGAUGUCUUUGAACUGUUAUGCCGUUUGUGUAAACGAUGAUAUACUACACACGGAUAUCGCUCUUAACAUUGUUGAGUUCUAAUGGUUAUGUUCGUUUUGGCCUUGAACAUCUACCUAGUUCUACAAGAGUUUCUAAGAAUUGAACCCUUAUCAGUUCCUUUUUAAGCGACCCUACUUCUCUCUCACAUAUCUUAAUUAAGAGUAACCCGCAUUACUCCAUUUGGAUUUCUGACGUAUAAGAAUCAUUAAGAGCCUAGCUUAACCUUUCCCAUGCGAGCAUCAUUGUUUCAUCGUAGAAAUGGUCAAAGAGGUAACCCUCACAAGAAUAUGACCCCCACAGUGAUCCAACUUUAGUCUUUAAUAAUUAGGUUGUCCUUUGAACCUAGAUCUUGGGAUCUCCAGUCAACUAAGUUGCGUAUUCCUUCGUUAUUGACUUAUCAUUCUAAGGGUUUUAGUCCCAUUCCCCUCAAGGAUUUUUCUACUAGCUCUUGUUUUAAUCCUUUGGUUAGUGGAUCCGCGAUGUUAUCCUUUGACCUUCCAUAGUCAAUAGCAAUAACUCCAGUAGAAAUAAGUUGUUUAAUGGUAUUAUGUCUACGACGUAUGUGUCUAGACUUACCAUUAUACAUGUUGCUUUGUGCCUUACUAAUAGUUGAUUGACUAUCGCAAUUAAUACAAAUUGUAGGCACAUGCUUUGGCCACUUUGGAAUACCCUCUAAAACAUUUUGUAGCCAUUAUGCUUCUCACCAUAUUUAUCUAAUGUAAUAAAUUCAUAUUCCAUUGUAGAUCUGGCAAUUAUUAUCUGUUUAGAAGACCUCCACGAUACAACUGCACUUGCUAGUGUAAACACAUACCUACUAGUGGGUUUUGAGUCUUUUAUAUAUGAGAUCUAGUUAGCAUCACUAUACCUAUCUAAUAUGCUGGAUACCUAGUAUAAUGAAGUCCAUAGUUAUGAGUGUAUCGAAGAUACCUGAGUACUCUUAUGAUAACUUUUCAAUUAUCAGCUCCUAGAUUACUCGUAUAUCUGCUAAGUUUACUUAUUGUAUAGGCUAAGUCUAGUCUAGUACAGUUGUUGGUGUAUAAAUACUAAUACUAUUGGUGUCAAUGUGCAAGUGUACACAACAAGUAAUAAAGUGAUGAGUAUUCAAGAUCGAUGCCACAGGGAUUGAUGUUAUCAGAUUUGCUACAACAAUCUUAACAGUGUAGAUUUUGUGCUAAAAUAAAAUAAACAAUUAAUGAAACUAAUUUACUAAUUAAAAUAAAAACACAAUAAAUAAAAUGCAACAAAGUAAAUUAUCACGUCAAUCUCAAGGAUAAAACAAUGAGAAUAUAGAGUAGUUAGUGAAUAAACUCUCUUAAUGGUCUUGACUAUUUUCUAAUGGUUGGCUCGGUUGCUGCAGUAUUUGCUACAGCACUGGGCAGAAUCCUUAUGUAUCAUCAGCCGUCGCAUGUUGGAUAUCUUAUAUCUAUAUAUAACCUAACAGUGAUUAGUUGCUAUGCCAACAUAAGAUAUAGCAUUACACGCUUAGGUUCUAUUUACCCUACAAGGUGAAUCCUUAUGUCUAGUUCAUCACUAAUCUUAAAUCAAGCAUGGCCUUUUUGGGACUCAAGUAAAACUCAAUCCGGGAAACUCAAUUUAAGAUCAAGUAUUGCUUUGAUAUGUUCCACUAAGAUAUGCCCUUUUGCGGCUCUCCCCUAACUAGUAUCAUUAAAUGGGUGAUCAACCAAAAUAAUGAAUAAAAAUAAAUACUAUCAAAACAAACUGUUACAACAAACAUUCAGCAACACAUAUAUUCAGUCAAUAAACCAUCAAGAUUGUUUAUCACUCAACCACAAAUAAAUUUAGUUCAUGGUUUGUAAAAGAAAAAUAAAGAACAAAGUUUCAGCCAUGAAAUACAUCCCCAUAAAUAAAUAGAAAACGAGAAAGCAAGAGAAGAAUAAGAAUGAUUGAGCUCCCAAUUGGUUUAUGCAAAUUCUCCUCUUGUGCAGCCCUUAAUCUCUCUCUUUAAUCUUGUUUUUCUUUUGUUUCUUUGUGUUUUUUUCCUUGGGUGACGGCCCCCUUUUUUCCUUAUGAUGUGUGCUUCUUUCAUAGUUGAAAAUUAGGGAAAACGGAACCCUAGGGCGCGCAUAAGUCAGAUUAGGAAACUGCAGAUCGCAAUUCUGCAGUUAUCCCGCAUAGAAUUAUCUUUGUCGUUGUUCCAAGAUUGCUCCAGCAAUGGUUGCUACAGCAACUGCACUGUUCCAGAUUUGUUUCAACUCUUUUGUAGCCAUGUUCUUCCGCCUUUUUGCCAGCCUAUUGCAUCAACAUUCCUUCCAUGAAUUAUAAGCUUCUGGAAACCUACAAUUAUGCACAAUUUGAGCACGGACUAAACUAAAAUGAAUGUUUAUGUCAAAUGUAACAAAAAUGCAAUAAAAACACAUCAUUUACUCUCUAAGUGAUCUUGAUUUAAGUCUAGAAUUGCCAUAAUAACUCUCAUUUCAUAGAGUUAUCACACCCCCAAACUUAAAUCGUUACUUGUCCUCAAGUAAUGACAACAACACUCACUCUGUAAUCACACAAUCAUGCAACAAAUAACUUAACUAUGUCAUCAAAUUUGCAAGGAUUCUUCCACCCUCAAAUCACACUCUUAAUCAUACAAAAUUGCCAUAGUAGUUCAGUUCUAGACGUAGGCUUCAUUCUGUCCAAAGUGUGUAUGUGCCACUUUGAUCAAAUUCUAGAGGUGCUACAACAUGGCACAAACUUUGUAUACAAUUCAGAGGUAGAACACAAAUAUAUUCACAUAUGGGGGAGCAGAACUCACAAUUAUAUUCAAACUGUGCUACAACAAUAAUAAUUUUUUUUUUCAGUUAAACCCUUCAAUGCAACAUUAAGCUUUCAUGUGAAUGCCUAUCACUUGUAAUGACGACACCCAAUUACUCAUUCAAAGUACAUGUCAGAGUUGCUACAGCAACGCAUUCAGGAUGUUAUAUUUAGGUCAUACCUGUGGACACCUUUGACUCAAGGCUGAAUAUGGGGCUCAUGAACAGACCAAGUUACUCAGUAUUCUAGGUAGCAGACCUCUUUAUAAUCAUUUUUUUUCUUUUCUUCUUUUUUUUUUAUAAUUGCUGCAGCACUGCCCGUAGCUCAUGUUGCCUUUAGACUCAAGUUUGCAUAUGGGGUGCAUACUCAACCCUGGUUACUCAGCAACUUAAACUAUUGGAGCAGAAUUUAUUUCAUAACAGGCACAGUCCAACAAAAAUUUUUCCCCAAACUUGAGAUAUUUUAUACUCUUUUUUUUUUCUGGCUCUGCUACAGCAUUCUCAUAAAACUCAACCAAAGUCUAAGUGUCGGGACAGAAGUUCAACCUUCAUCUAUAACUAUUUUUACUUGGCUUUCUCAUAAAUACUGAAUAACACUCAAUUUAUCUUCAUUAGGUUUUCAAAUCCAUACACAAAUAUUAGAUAACAGAGCUUUACACAACACAAGCAUAAACAUAUGCACUCAGAAACACAACCCCCCCAAACUUGAGUGGUGUUGUGUCCUCACAAGCACACAAAAUAAAACCACAUAAACUAGACAUGCAUACACUAAAUAAAAGGACAUGCAGAAUGAAUUAGAAAAUUAAAACUAAAUGAAAGAAAAUUUUUGCAGCAAGAAGUAAAAUAAACUAGCGGUUAGGGGUACUGCUAUGUUGCUAGAAGCACUGUUGCAGCACAGGCCAUAAAGGGGUCACUUCUUCUUUGAUCCACUUCUCAAACACUCAUCAUAAAAUUUGAUCAAUCUAUUUGCUGCUGGAAAAGCAAGAAAUGCCUCUGUUGUUUGAGAAUCUUCUGUUAUAUGUCAUGUUGUAAGUGAUGCUGCAGCAAUUCCUUCAUGUUCUUUUUGCCCACAUUUUUUUCUUACUGUAAUUUAAUACAAAAACAUAAAAAAAAAAAAUUAGAUGCACACUUAAAAUAACAAAAAGACAAACUAAAUAAUUUAAAAGCUAAAUUCAUGCCUUAAAAACUUGAAACAACUUCCCUUAUUGGGUUGCCUCCCAAUUAGUGCUUGAUUUUAGGUCUUUCAGCCUGACUUUUCUUGUUUGCUCAACCUGGAUCAUUCAAGAACAUAUCCGUCUUUAGGCUGUUCACAUCAUCUCUCAUACAGUGCUUCAUUUUCGACCCAUUAACCUUGAAUUCUUGUUGGUAUGGGGUGAGUUCCCUUUGUUGGAUUUGCUCGUCAAUUCUGAAGGGUUGCUUCUCUCCUGACCAUGUUAUGUUAGCUGCUUCAUGAUCUUCACCAUCAAGUUCUUCCAAUGUUACAGCAUUGAUUGCUUCCUCACUGCAGCAACUGUGUAAUUUCUCUGCUACAACAAAGUCCACAACACUGAUAAAAUUACAAUCUUCAAUCUCAUCGGAACUCUUCAUGGCAUCCAGCACAUUGAAUUUAACUUGCUGGUUAUUCACCCUCAUGGUUAAUUCUCCUUUUUGAACAUUAAUUAAAGUCUUUCCCGUGGCUAAGAAAGGUCUCCCUAGAAUGAUUGGCACUUCUUUGUCUGCCUCAAAGUCUAGCACAAUAAAAUCUACUGGAAAAAUAAAUUUAUCCACCUUCACCAACACAUCUUCAAUCUUACCUUCUGGAUAUACAUGAGAUCUGUCAGCAAGUUGUAAAGUCAUUGUUGUUGGUCUACAUUCACCAACUCCCAAUUGCUUAAACACUGAUAAAGACAUGAGAUUGAUGCUAGCCCCUAAAUCACAAAGUGUUUUGCCACUGUAUUUAGUGCCUAGGGAGCAUGGGAUUAUGAAGCUUCCUGGAUCCUUCAUCUUCUGCGGUAUCUUACUCUGAAGCAUUCGGCUACACUCUCGUGUUAGAGCAACUGUCUCAAAUUCUCCAAGUCUUUUUUUCUUUGUCAAGAUAUCUUUCAAAAAUUUCACAUAAUUUGGCAUUUGCUCUAGAGCUUCCACAAAAGGAAUAUUGAUAUGUAGUUGUUUCAGCACUCCUAAGAUUUUGUUGAACUGCUUAUCUUGUUGCUGCUUCUGAAAUCUUUGAGGGAAGGGUGGUGGGUGUCUAAACUACUGUGCUGCAGCAGGUUGUGCAGGCUACUUCUCUUUUGCUUUACUCGGUUCUGUUGAUGUUAAUGUUGUAACUGCCUCACCGCUAAGUGUUGGAUCAUAACUUUCUGCAAAUGUUGUAGUAGAACUGUGUCGAUUUACAUUUUGAAAAGUGAAAAAUUAUGACUCCUUCUCUACUUGAGUGUCUUCUUUACCUUUGUUGGAAUCAAUUCUCCUUUUUAGUACACCAAUUGAACUAUCAAUAUCUUUUCCAGAUCUCAAGUUAAUCACUUUGCAGUGCUCUUUCCCUUCUCUUCUUGGGUCUUCUGUGUUGCUGGGUAAACUGCCUUGAGGUCUGUUGCUUAAUGCUACAGCAAGCUGUCCAAUUUGAUUUUCCAAGUUUCUCAAAGAUACAGUAUGACUUUGGACAACUGCUUCAUUCUUCACAAUAUAAUCCUUAAUCAAACCUUCAAGGGAGCUGAGUUGAUCAUUGUUGAUGCUUCUUUGCUCUUGAUUUUACUGAUAAAAUCCACUAGGUUGAGCAAGUCUGUUCUGUCCACUGAAUGUUGUAGCAGGUUGAUUCUGAUUACUCCAUGAAAAGUUCAGGUGCUGUCUCCAUCCAGGGUUGUAAGUGUUUGAAUAUGGAUUGUCCUGGUUCUGUCUAUUGAAGCUGCCACAUAAUUGACUGAAAUUGGAUUCCCAGGACAAUUGUCGAAUAAAUGCCCUUCUCCACAAUAAACGCAAGACACAUCAGAAAUUUGGUUAACAGUUGCUGGAGCAAUACUCAUAGCCUUUACCAGCUUUGUUAAUGAAGCUACUUGGGCUGACAAUGCUGUCAAGGCAUCUACUUUAUGAACUCUUGUUGUUCCUCUUGCUGCAGCUUGUCUGGUUGAUGGCCACUGAUAGUUAUUGUUGGAUAUCCUCUCCAAAAUUUCAUAAGCCUCAUUGUAAGACUUAGAUAACAAGGCCCCAUUUGCUGAAGCAUCCACCAUCAAUCUAGUGCUUUGGUUGAGACCAUUAUAGAAAGUUUCCAACUGUAUGCAGCAAGGAAUACCAUGAUGAGGACAUCUCCUGAGUAACUCCUUAAAUCUCUCCCAUGCAUCACACAAGCUCUCAUCUUCAAGUUGAUGGAAAGAUGUGAUCUCGUUCCUCAACUUUGCAUUCUUGGUUGGCGGGAAGUAUUGCAUCAAAAAUUUAUCAGCCAAAUCAUUCUAUGUAGUGAUAGAAUCUAGUGGUAGAGAAUUCAACCAUGCUCUUGCUCGAUCUCUCAAAGAAAACGGGAAAAGUUUGAGUCUCAAUGCUUCCUGCGAUGCUCCAGCAAUCUUGAAAGCAUCACUCACUUUCAGAAAUAACUUAAGGUGUAGAUGAGGAUCUUCGGAUGGCAAACCAUUAAAUUGCCUCACUGUUUGAAGCAUUUGAAACAUCACGGGUUUGAGUUCAAAAUUGUCAGCUUGAACGUCGGGUCUAACUAUUCCCGGAUGUAUGGCUUGAGGAGUCAACACUACGUAGUCUCGAAUGGCUCUAUCUCUAUCGUUCGCCAUGUGAAUAAUGUUGUUGUUCCCUGGUUGCCUUUGAACACAUUGAUCAUUCAGACUUUCAUGUACAUUGACUGGUUGUAUCCCCUCUCAACGGUUCAAGUUUCUCAAAUCUUACAAAUCAUCAAUUGCUACAGCAGCUUGUAAUUCCCGAUGCUCUCUUCUCAAUCUCCUUGCAGUUCUUUCAAUUUCUGGAUCAAACUGGAAGUCAAUAGAUUUAUAUUUGCGCAUGUAAGGGUUGCUAGAUCACCUAUGUCAAUAAAAUAAACAAAUUAAAAUAAAAUAAAAAAUUAGCACCGUUAAAACUAAUUUCACAAAUCACAAUGAACAAUCAAUCCCCGGCAACGGCGCCAAAAACUUGUUGGUGUAUAAAUACUAAUGUUAUUGGUGUCAAUGUGCAAGUGUACACAACAAGUAAUAAAGUUAUGAGUAUUCAAGAACGUCUCCACAGGGAUUGAUGUUAUCAAAUUUGCUACAGCAAUCUUAACAGUGUAGAUUUUGUGCUAAAAUAAAAUAAACAAUUGAUGAAACUAAUUUACUAAUUAAAAUAAAAACACAAUAAAUAAAAUGCAACAAAGUAGAUUAUCACAUCAAACUUAAGGAUAAAAAUAAUGAGAAUAUAGAGUAGUUGAGUGAAUAAACUCUCUUAAUGGUCUUGACUAUUUUCUAAUAGUUAGCUCGGUUGCUACAGUAUUUGCUACAGCACUUGGCAGAUUCCUUAUGUAUCCUCAGCCGUCGCAUGUUGGAUAUUUUAUAUCUAUAUGCAACCUAACAGUGAUCAGUUGCUAUGCCAACAUAAGAUAUAGCAUUACACGCUUAGGUUCUAUAUACCCUAUAAGGUGAAUCCUUAUAUCUAGUUCAUCACUAAUCUUAAAUCAAGCAUGGCCCUUUUGAGACUCAAGUAAAACUCAAUCCGGGAAACUCAAUUUAAGAUCAAGUAUUGCUUUGAUAUGUUCCACUAAGAUAGGCCUUUUUGCGGCUCUCCCCUAACUAGUAUCAUUAAAUAGGUGAUCAACCGAAAUAAUGAAUAAAAAUAAAUACUAUCAAAACAAACUGCUACAGCAAACAUGCAACAACACAUAUAUUCAGUCAAUAAACCAUCAAGAUUGUUUAUCACUCAACCACAAAUAAAUUUAGUUCAUAGUUUGUAAAAGAAAAAUAAAGAACAAAGUUUCAGCCAUGAAACACAUCCCCAUAAAUAAAUAGAAAACGAGAAAGCAAGAGAAGAAUAAGAAUGAUUGAGCUCCCAAUUGAUUUCUGCAAAUUCUCCUCUUGUGCAGCCCUUAAUCUCUCUCUUGAAUCUUGUUUUUCUUUUGUUUCUUUGUGUUUUUUUCCUUGGGUGACGGCCUCCUUUUUUCGUUAUGAUGUGUGCUUCUUUUAUAGUUGAAAAUUAUGAAAAACAGAACCCUAGGGCGCGCAUAAGUCAAAUUAGGAAACUGCAGAUUGCAAUUCUGCAGUUAUCCCGCACAGAAUUAUCUCUGUCAUUGUUCCAAGAUUGCUACAGCAAUGGUUGCUACAGCAAUAGCUACAGCAACUGCACUGUUCCAGAUUUGUUUCAACUCUUUUGUAGCCAUGUUCUUCCUCCUUUUUGCCAGCCUAUUGCAUCAACAUUCCUUCCAUGAAUUAUAAGCUUCUGGAAACCUACAAUUAUGCACACAAUUUGAGCACGAAUUACUUUAAGUCAAGCAAAACUUAUUAAGACUAAACUAAAAUGAAUGUUUAUGCAAAAUGUAACAAAAAUGCAAUAAAAACACAUCAUUUACUCUCUGAGUGAUCUUGAUUUAAGUCUAGAAUUGGCAUAAUAACUCUCAUUUCAUAGAGUUAUCAACAGUUUGUCAAGUACAUUAGGCUGCCUAUCACUCUAGCGUAUUCUACUUUAGAAAUUCCCUCUCCACUAUUUAUAGAUAGAUGUAAACUCGUAUCUAUAACACAAUAGUAUCAUCUUUAUUAACUUUUCUAAGAAUUUUAUCUACAUGAUGAGUUUGGCUUAAAAAAUGUCCAUUAGAAGCCCUUAAGAUUUUAAUCCCCAGAAUGACAUCUGCAAGACUGAUAACUCUAUGAAAUGAGAGUUAUUAUGGCAAUUUUAGACUUAAAUCAAGAUCACUUAGAGAGUAAAUGAUGUGGUUUUAUUGUAUUUUUGUUACAUUUUUCAUAAACAUUCAUUUUAGUUUAGUCUUAAUAAGUUUUACUUGAUUUAAAGUAAUUCGUGCUCAAAUUGUGUGCAUAAUUAUAGGUUUCCAGAAGCUUAUAAUUCAUGAAAGGAAUGCUGAUGCAAUAGGCUGGCAAAAAAGAGGAAGAACAUGUCUAUAAAAGAAUUGAAACAAAUCUGGAACAGUGCAUUUGCUGUAGCCGUUGUUGUAGCCGUUGCUGUAGCAAUCAUUGCUGUAGCAAUCCUGGAACAACGAUAGAGAAAAUUCUGUGCGUGAUACUUGCAGAAUCGCGAUCUGCAGUUUCCUAAUCUGACUUAUGCGCGCCCUAAGCUUCCGUUUACCCUAAUUUUCAACUAUAAAAGAAGCACACAUCAUAAGGAAAAGGGAGAGUCGUCACCCAAGGAGAAAAACACAAAGAAACAAAAGAAAAACAAGAUUCAAGUGAGAAAUUAAAGGCUACACAAGAGGAAAAAUUGCAAAGAUCAAUUGGGAGCUCAAUCCUUCUUAUUCUUCUCUUAUUUUCUCGUUUUCUAUUUAUUUAUGGGGAUGUGUUUCAUGGCUGAAACUUUGUUCUUUAUUUUUCUUUUGCAAACCAUUAUCUAAAUUUAUUUGUGGUUGAGUGAUAAACAAUCUUGAUGGUUUAUUGACUGAAUAUAUGUGUUGCUGCAUGUUUGUUGUACCAGUUUGUUUUGAUAGUAUUUAUUUUUAUUCAUUAUUUCAGUUGAUCACCCAUUUAAUGAUACAAGUUAGGAGAGAGCCGCAAAAGGGCCUAUCUUAGUGGAACAUAUCAAAGCAAUACUUGAUCUUAAAUUGAGUUUCCCGGAUUGAGUUUUACUUGAGUCUCAAAAGGGCCAUGCUUAAUUUAAAAUUAGUAAUGAACUAGACAUAGGGAUUCACCUUGUAGGGUAAAUAGAACCUAAGCGUGUAAUGUUAUAUCUUAUAUUGGCAUAACAAUUUAUCACUGUUAGGUUCCAUAUAGAUAUAAGAUAUCAAACAUGCGACGGCUAAGGAUGCAUAAAGAUUCUGCCUAGUGUUGUAUCAGAUACUGCAGCAACCGAGCCAACCAUUAGAAAAUAGUCAAGACCAUUAGGAGAGUUUAUUCACUCAACUACUUUAUAUUCUCAUUGAUUUUAUCCUUGAGAUUGACGUGAUAAUUUACUUUGUUGCAUUUUAUUUAUUAUGUUUUUAUUUUAAUUAGUAUAUUAGUUUCAUUAAUUGUUUUAUUUUAUUUUAGCACAAAAUCUGUACUAUUAAGAUUACUGUAGUAAAUCUGAUAACAUCAAUCCCUGUGGAGACGAUCUUGAAUACUCAUCACUUUAUUACUUGUUGUGUACACUUGCACAUUAACACCAAUAGCAUUAGUAUUUAUACCCAACAAAGACCCAUGUCUUUCAUGUCAAACUUAGACUUCAACAUAUUCUUGGUAGAUUUAAUCAUGUCAUCAUCACUCCCAACAAUGAGCAUGUUAUCACUCCCAACAAUGAGCAUGUUAUCAACAUAUAAAUAUAAAAUGACAUAGCCAUUUUUUGUUUCUUUGACAUAAACACAUUUGUCACAUCCGUUGAUCUUAAAGCCACUUGUGAUCAUUAUACGAUCAAAUUUUUCAUGCCAUUAUUUUGGUGCUUAUUUCAAGCCAUAUAACGACUUUACCAAUUUGCAGACUUUCUUUUCUUGUCCUGGAGCUAUAAAACCUUCAGGCUACUCCAUGUAGAUUUCUUUAUCUAAAUAUUUAUUUAGAAAAGCUAUCUUUACAUACAUUUGAUGUAUUUCAAGAUUACGCAAAGCUGCAAUCGCUAUUAUCAUCUGAAUGGAAUUUAUGCUCGUAACAGGAGAAUAAGUAUCAAAAUAAUCAAGGCCUUCUCAUUGCCUAUAACCUUUAAUUACAAGUCUAGUCUUGUACUUGAUCCAUCGGCUUUCAUUUUCCUUUUAAAAAUCCAUUUAUACCCUAAAGGUUUACAUCCUGGAGGAGGGUCGACUAGCUCCCAGGUAUACCACAAAGUGCCUUCAGGUGAAGUUAUAGCUUCUUUGAAGCUUUGAGGUUCACUUUCUAACAAAAACGUCAUAAAGUCUAGACCAAAAGACUUUUCUAUUCGAGCUCUUUUGCUACAUCUAACCCCAAAUUCUUGUUCUUCUUCUUGAACUUCUUAUUCUUGAGCUUCAUUAUUUUCAUCAUUUUGACUGUUUUCAAUGGUAGUUUCAUGAAAUUGUCGUAGUUUUCUCGAUUCCAUAACUCUAGAAUUACAAAGAAACAUAUGUUUGAAAAACGAUGCAUUUCUUGAUUCUAUUAACGUAUUUUUGUGGACAUCUAGAACUUUAGACUUAUGCACAAGAAAUUGAUAAGCACUACUAUUAUGUGCAUAAUCGAUGAAAAUGCAAUCGAUAGUUUUUUGUCCUAUUUUUACCUUCCUAUGCGAAGGAACCAAUACUUUAGCAAGACACCCUCACACUCGUAAGAAUUUAUAAGAAGGUGCUCUACCUUUCCACAACCCAUAUGGGGUUUUAUCUUCUUGCUUAUAGGGUAUCUUAUUUAACAAAUAAUUAGCUCUUUUCCAGAAGCUUCUCCCCAUAUAUUCUAAGGUAACCCAGAAUUUAUCAGCAUUGCAUUCAUCAUUUCCUUUAAGGUUUGAUUCUUUCGUUCUGCUAUCCCAUUAAAUUGAGGUGAAUAAGGGUCCGUGAAUUGAUGUGUGAUUCCACUUUGUUCACAUAAUGUCCCAAAUGGAACAAUACACUCACCACCACGGUCACUCCUUAAUUCUUUGAUUUUCCUGUUAAGUUGAUUCUCAACUUCAUUUUUAUAGAGAAUAAAUUUCUCUAAAACUUUAUCUUUACUUUUCAACAACUAUACAUAGUAAUAUUUUGUUUGAAUAGAUUUAAAAUCACAUAUAUCACUAUGUUUUAAAUCAAGUAGUUCAGUGUUUCUUUUAAUUGUUUGAAAAGAUAACCUUGUUAGUUUUGCCUCAACAUAAGUUUCACACUUAUGUUUUAAAUCAAUUUAGAAAUUGGGAAUAUGUUUAAUGUUAAUUAAUUUAUGCAAAGAAUUAAAAUUAACAUUUCCUAAUCUACCAUGUCGAAGAUUAGAAGACUCAAGCAAAUAAGCAGAAGAACUAGCUUUAUCAUCAAUUUUUGGUUUUACAGUCAUUACAUUAAGCAUAAACAACCGAUCAUUGACAUAACCUUUUCCUACAUACAUUCAAUUCUUAGACAAAACUACCCUAUCUUACUCAAACACCAUCUAGAAGCCAUGUUUAUUCAACAAUGAUUGAGAUACCAAGUUCUUCCGAAUCUCUGGCACGUAGAGCACAUUGUUCAGAGUCAACUCUUUUCCAGAAGUCAUCUUCAGAAUCAUCUUCCCUUGACCCUUGAUCUCAGACGUAGCUGAAUUCCCCAUAAAUAGCUUCUCUCCAUUGCUAACAGCUUCAAAUGAAAUUAACAACCCUUUGUCUGAGCAUACAUGUCUAGUUGCUCCUGUAUCAAUCCAUCAUUCUUUCGGAUUAGAGCCGACCAGAUUCACUUCAUAAACCAUUGCUGAUAGGUUAAUGUUUGAAACAUUUUAAGUGAUGUUUUCCACUACAUUUGCCUCUCACUUCUUCUUAGGCAAUCUGCAAUCUGAAGACUUGUGGCCUAUCUUGUCACAGUUGAAGUACUUUCCUUGAAAUUUUGUUUGCUUCUUGAAGACUCCUCAUUUUGGACUCAACUUUUUAUUUUUCUUAUUUUUAGGUCCAUGUUCAAUAAAAAUUUGCCUUAGCCAUAGAAACAGCCCCUUUAUUUAUGCAAUUAUGUUGUCUUCCUCACUUCAAAGCUUAACAACCAGCCUUCAAUGUUCAUCUCCUUGAGUUUGUUCUUCAAAUAACUCUUGAAAUCUUUUCAAGAAGGAGGAAACUUUUCAAUAAUAGCAGACACUUGAAAGGUUUCACUCAACAUCAUCCCUUCAGCAAGGAUUUCUGAUAGUAUGAUAUGAAGCUCUUGUAUUUGGCUCAUUACAGUUUUAGAGUUCACCAUUUUAUAGUUUAGGAAGUGGCCAACAAUAAACUUUUUAGUACCAGCAUCCUCAGUCUUAUAUUUUCAGUCUUAGGACUCCCAUAGCUCCUUGGCUAUUCUUUUUCAAUAUAUAAAUUAUACAAGGUAUCACUCGGCUCAUUCAUUACAUAAUUCUAACACAAGAAAUCUGAAUGAUGCUAUGCAUUAAUGGCACUGAUAGCUUGAACAUCAGUGUCACCCUCUUUGGGUUUAUAAGCAUCAUUCAUCAAGAACCUUGCAAGGUUUAACAUGGUCAGAUAAAAGAACAUCUUUUCUGGCCUUUCUGUGUGAUUCAAAGGAAUACCCACAAAGGCUGAUUCUUUCACAACAGAGGGCCUAGCAGCACAAGUUAAAACAGAGGCAGUCUCAGUUAUAGUUGGUACUGCAUCAGUGCUUUCAAUUACCAUCUCAACUUAAAUAUGUUUUAAGAUUAUUAAAAAUUUGUAGUGAAUCAACAAUUCAAAGUAUAUUGAUAAAAUUGUAACAAAACGUAAAUUCAUAUAGGUAAACAACAAGUAAAAGUUAGCAAACAAGCUGCAGUAAAUCAUUGGAGCAGCAAUAAAAUAAACAAUAGAAAAGAAAAUGAAAAACAGAAAGUAUAGAAAAAAAAAACUCGAGGCCUGUUAAACAACAGUUUCCUUAAAACAGAUUUAACACCUACUACAGUACUUUUAGGUUUGUUGGUAUCUGUUUCCCAAGAUACAACGGGAAUAAAUUUUUAGUCAAGACGCACAAAUAAUUCUAGCGAACAACAACAAUGCAAAAUCUUUAUCAAAACAUAACGUCAGAAGAGGAAAUUUUUUUUUCAAAUGAUCGGUGUUUUGUGUAUAAAACAAAAGAGGAAGGUUGCCUUUUAUAUAAAUGAGGGUAUGUAACUGUUGAAUAAUAAAAUUCAAUAUUUGAAUUGAAUAUUUGAUUUAAUUUGCUUUCGUAACAGCCCAUUGAAUUUAAAAUAUUUAAUUCUGUAACAGUUCAAAAUAUAUUCACGAUGUAACAGCCCAUUGAAUUCAAAAUAUUUGAUUCUGUAACAACUCAAAAUUUAUUCACAAAUCAAACCUGCUUUUGAUUUUUAAUUGUGAAAAACUGUUACAAAAUUUAAAAAGAAAUGAAAUAUAAAAACGUGGCCAUGCAGGCUUGGGUGAUUUUAGGCCGACAUUUGUGUACGCAGAAUGCGUGGGUGCAAAAUCUUAGGAUAGCUGAUAAUCGAGCUUAAAUCAAAGAUAUGAUUGAAGAUAUGUUUAGAUUAAAGAUUGUAAUGCAGUGUAGUAUAAUGUAGGUACUAUAGUGAAGCUUUGUUUAUUUUAUGAUUGACUGUUCCCUAAUUCGACACCAAAGACAGUUAGAGAAUUCGAAGGAUAAAUCACAAAUUUUUAUUAAAGAAAGUUCAUGAACAUUAUAAGAACAAUUUUCAUACUCUCACAUAUCACUCUCAGAAGUUUUGUUUUGCUUCUUAUGCUUUCUUCCUCUUAGACUUGAUGCACACAACACAAAUUUCAAGGGUAUUUAUAGUACCCAAAACUUAAUUAUAACCACACACAUAAACUAAACAAAUUUAAUCACAACUACUCAUUUAUUCUCAAUCGCCACACUAACUAUCAACUUAACUCAUUCCACUUCACCAAUCACACGAACCACACCAAUCACACCAACCUUACCUACUACCUAAGCUCACAUAAUUUAGAAAGUUCUAUGAGAUGGGCCAGGCUUUGUGUUUUUUGGACUUGGAUUAAAACUAAGUUUUUAAUCCAACAACCCCCCUUAAAUUUGGUUUAAUAAUGCCCAAUAAAUUUCUAACCUGAAAGAAUCUUCUUGCUUUAGCGGCUUGGUAAGAAUUUCAACAGUUUAAUAAUUUGAUUUGACAUACUUUGAUUGUAUUUCCUUUCUUUUGAUGCACUCCCGUAUGAAACGAUAACAAGUAUUGAUAUGUUUGUUUCGAUCAUCGAAUACUAGAUUCUUGGAUAGAGUGAUUUCUUAUUUGUUAUCGACAUAAAUCUCGGUUGGCUCUACUUACGACAUAGCCAACUCCUUCAACAAAUUCUUCAGCCAAAUUGCAUGACAAACACAUAAAGUAGUAGCUAUAUACUUAGCUUCACAAGUUGACAGUGUAACAAUAGAAGCAGUAUCUCCCAUAAAGAACCCAAAUCAUAUGGUGCUCUUUCGAUCAUCUAUAUCUCCACCCCAAUCACUAUCACUAUAUCCAAUAAGCUUGUAGUCAUUAGAAAAUGAGUAUAACAAGCCGAAAUCAUUGUACCUUCAUGUAGCCAAAAUUAAUUGUAAUUAUAACAUGUCAAGCCCCGACCCCAAGCACGUGAGAAUUGCAGGAUUAUUAUAAUGAUAAUUAGGGAUAUCAAAUAAAAACUCAUGAUUAACAAUUAAAAUGGCAUAAACUGAAUUUUUACCACAAACAUAGACAACCUAAUUUUCAAAUUUUAUUUAGAAUUCGAUACUAAUCCAAACACAAUGAAAUUUUUGGAAUAAUAAUAAACUUGUAAAUAUACCACAUAUAGAAAUUUUUAGUCAUUUGAUAAUAUCUCACUAGGUUUUCACUUAAUUAGACUGCAUCAAUCAAAACUAUCAAUAACAAUACAGCAAAAAUUUGUGCAUUUAUUAAAAAUAAAGUGCCCAAAAGAUUUUGAUACAACUACCAUCAAUGAUAAGCUCAAGGGAAAAAAUGAUCUUUUAGCAUUUUGAGUCCCAGAAGAUUAAACAAAUGUCAUUUUUAGAAUCCAGAUGGUUGAAAACCUUACGAUGUAUGAUAAUUGGGCUUAAAUCGAAGAAAUGAUUGAAGAUAGGUUUAGAUUGCAUAUUGUAAUGCAGUGUAGUAUAGUGUAGGCAUUAUAGUGAAGCUUCGUUAACGUUAAGGUUGACUGUUCCCUAAUUUGACACCAAGGACGAGCUCUCUAAAUGUGCGCAAUUGUAAUCUCCUAGUAGUAAGGUCCCACAGAUCCACCCAUCGCUCCAUUAGUCAACCCAACCCAAGUCCAUAAACCACAUGACUAGGAGUUGACCAAAGUUGACUUUUGAUUUGUAUCAAAUCGAGGACCUAGAUCAUGCCACAUCACUACAAAUUUAAACCCUCGGUCGUUUGCAAUUUUAUGGUAGGUUUUAUCUUCUAUGGUUACUUAAAAAUGGGCAAUCCUCUUGCCAAAAUGGUAAAGAUAGUGAAGGAUAGCAGUUGCAAAAAUUGAAAUUGGCAUUGUGCACUUUGUAGCCCGUAUUCAUGAAGAAAAAUUAGUGAAAGGGCUACAUCUUUAAAAGAUAAAAGUCCAAUGGAAGCUUGGACAAUUCAUGCUUGGGAAAUAAAAUAGUAGGUGAUUCUAUUAGUACUUUUAAUUUUAAGCCCUUAGGUUUUUAAAGAUAUGAUUUGUUGAAUCCUUAAUCCAGUAUUGUUGGAUCUUUAAUCCAACAUUAGGCUUAAAAGUAAAUUAUUACAUGUUGCAGGUUGUCAUAUAAGAUUAAACCUAAUUAAAAGUGACCUAUUAAGGUUUUCGGUAAUUUAGGCUUUAAUACAUCAGAUAAAAUGUGGGAAUUUAAUGUGUAGAGACUUAAGGGUAAUUGUUUACUUUCAUAAUGGGCUGAAAUAGGAAUACGUAAAGACGACAGGAAAAAUUAUCUAUAUAAGUGGUUAUAGUCCCCAAAUCAUACGUAUUGUUCUAUUCUUUUUGACAUCUCAUCAUCAUAGAAAGAGCACAAAGAAACUUAAAGGACUCUCUAAGAGAACAUGUUGAUCUGGAAGGCUAACCACAUGACUUUAGAGAGUAAUUGCGUAAUUAUGAAUUCAAGUACACUUUCACAUAUUCAUUUAUUUAUUUUUAGUGAUACAACAUAAUGUUCUUGGACUAUAAAUGAUGUUUUUCACCAAAUGCUUAAUUAUGUUCUAACAAGUGGCAUCAGUGCCUCUUCAUGUUAAAUCAUUGAAAUCAAAUUUAUUUUAAAUUAAUGAUUAAAGUUUUUAGUGCUCUCAAAUUUAAUAAUUAUGAAAUUAUUGAGUUUGAGACCAAAAUUGGUGAAAGAAAAAAUAUUGAAGAAAACACAUCUGAUGGAAAUAUAUGGCAACCGCAUGGAAACAUAUAUAUUCGGUAUCAUAAAGACUUGCGGUCAGCGGUUGCCAUGAGGUUUCAUGGCCAUCGAUAAAGCUAGUAAGGCUGAAGCAGAUAGAGAAAGUGGCGACCAUGGCUGUCGCAUCAAGAAUCAAGAUAGUAAAAAAUAAAAAUGGAAACAGGAGAGGUGCAACUAUUAGGCUGUGCCAGAAAAAAGCUACGGCCACAAGCCAUGAUAGAUUUAGUGAAGCGGCAGUAAGAAGAAGCGACUGUCAUGGCCAGUGCAUGAAGAAGAAGAAAAAUUUUUAAAAAUUAGGGUUUUUUUAACAUUUGGGGGCUGGUUCAGGGUCCAGUUCACCCGAUUUGGGUCUAGCCCAAACCAAUCAAUAGUUGACCAUUGACCGAUCAAUAAUUGAUUGUUGACUAUGACUUUGACCCUAAUUUUUUAUUUUCUAUUAUUUUUUGGUAAUUUUAGUACAACUUUAAAUUCAAAUAUUGGAAUGUUUAUAUAUAUUUUAAAAUGAAUCAAUUAAAGCAACAUAUCACCAAAGUAACCUAAUUUGUGGAAAUUAUUUUGUUUUACAAUAUAAACGGUUGUGUGUAUGUAAUUUCUCUAAAUGUCAAUCGGCCCAAAGGAGAAUUACAUGUGGGUCUGUAGUAUCAAAUGCGUGAUGAUUAUUCUAUUUUAUAUGUCAACAAUAAAUUGGUCCAAAGGAAGAUUUAUUGUUUUACAUUUUCUUAUUAUCAAUUUUUUAUUACUAUACCAAGAUAUCACUUACAGGUUAAUAUUUUGUCCAAAGAUAAAAUAUUAAUGGAGUGUCCGGUAUCUUGAGAUGGGGUAUACAUUUAUUUGAAUUUAUUUUUAUUUUAAGACUUAUAUGAGCUCGUAUUGUUUGUUUGUUGUUCUAUGUUCAGUUAUGACUCCUACUAAUAUCAUUGCCAACAUCAAUUCCACUCUUAUGCUAAACGGCUAUAAUCUCACAAUCAUAGAUCUCGACCUUGCAUUAAGGGUUGCUUCUCCCCCAUCCCUUACGAAGGAGAGUACCCAUUAAUGACAAAAGAGAAGUUGAAAGGUAUGAGAAAUCAAAUCACAUGUGUAUCAUAAUCUUAAAGAAGGCCAUUCCGGAAGAAUUCAGGGGCUUAAUGUCUAAAAAGAUAAUUAUAGGUAAGGAAUUCCUUAUAAAAAUUGAAAAGAGGUUUGCCAAGAACAAAAAGGCAAAAGUAGUACAAUCUUAACAAUUUUAAUUUCAAUAAUGUAUAUGGGCAAAGACAAAAGAAAAAAAAGGAAUAAGGAUGAGAAAACUACAGGUACGACACCUCAAAAGAAAUAACAAAAUAGAUUGGGUAAUUUGAAAGAUAUUAGUUGUUUCUUCGGUGGAGCUGAAGGGCGUGGUUUGAUUUAUUCUGAGGUUAAUUUAUAUUCAGCUUAUUUCAUGAUUCAAAACUAGUUAGUUUCGGUUUCUUGUCAAACAAUGAUAAUCUUUUAUGAUGAAAUACUAGCUAAGUAACCCAAGCGAGGGAGAAUUGAGUUUCUAAAAAUUAUGGAGAACUUACAUCAAAACAUAAUGCAAAUAUCAAAUAAAAUUAUGCAAAUAGCAAAUAAAUCACAACAAUCAAGAUGCAAAGAGAUAAGGGAAAGAGAAUCAAACACAAUAUUUUUAUAUGGUUUGGCAAACCCCGCCUACGUCCACGCCUCCAAGCUCACCGGGCUUGAGGAUUCCACUAAUAAAGCCUUUCAACCCAAGGCUUCAAAAUCUUUACAAUUGACUUCCAAGGUGUCAAUCAACUUUGACAAUAAAAGGUUAUCCCAAACCUUUUAACCCAAGUGUUUCCCAUACUCUCAAACACUUAAUUUGAUGUUUAAAAUGAAAAUUACACAAAUUUUUCUUCACACAAUAUGUGUUUACAAAUGAAAGGCCAAAGUGUGAAUUGAUGAAAAAUCAACAAGAUUUAAGCACAAAUAGGAUUGAAUACAAUAAUAGGUCAAUCACGAUUGUAGAAUUCGUUUUUGUUUGAAUUUGAUUGAGUCUUUUUAUAUUUGGAGAAGAAAACUAGGCGUCAUUGACUUUCUAGGAAUAAUUAAAUCGCCGUUAACUGUUAUCGAAUCAUUGUUUUGACUUUGUACAAGUUAUCGUUAUGUUGAAUUUUAAAUAUUUGGUUCACCGUUUGAAGUUGUCAGUUUUUCAUUUAAUUCCAGAGACCUACAGGAUAUUUAUCGGCUAGCCGUUUGUGCUAAACGAUUCACCAGUUGCAAACUAAUUCCUCUUUGGAAUUUUUCGGUUAGCGGUUAUCAGUAAACGGUUUACCAAUUCUAAAGAAUUUGCUCUCUGGAAUUUUUCGAUUAAUUGUUUCUAAUAAACGAUUCACCAUUUUCUUCCAGAAUCAAAAUUAUAAAACUUCCUUUAGAAAACAGUUUGCCAAUUUAAAAUUAACGAUUAUCCGUUUAUUUUCAUAAUCUUAUUUAUGUCUAAGAAACUUCAUACGGCCUAAGAAUUUGAUCAUUUAAAGACUCCAACUUUGUUAAUUCAGUUUGUUAUCAUCAAAAUGAAAAUUUAAAGAAAUAACCACAAUAUUUUAGCAUUUUACAAAUUUGACCGCAAGUUUUUUUUAAUCAAAAUUAGCCUAACACUAAAUUUGAGGAUGAAAUUGCCCUUGUCAUUCUCACCCUUCUCUCUCGCUGCAACCUCUCUCUUAUAGAAAGUUCUCUCUCACCAAAAUCUCUCACACAUUGUCGACAGCUUAAAGUGGCGUUCAAAGUCCACAAGCAUCAGCGAAUAUCACUGCAAUCAUAUGGAAAACUACCUUGUGUGCUAAGUUUUUCUACUUGUUAUAGUUUAUUGUGAUUCCUAAAUGACUGAUGGAACUAGCCUUUAAUGGAUUUUGCAAAGCUCACAUUGAUAAGUUCCUGUAGUCUUAGAAGAUUUUUGGCAUGUGUAAUUAAAUUUUAGUACAUUUUGGGAUCUAUUAAGUGUAAUAUGCCUUUAAAUUUUGGGAGUUCUACUGUUGAGCUUUAAUUUUUGGGAGUUCUUCUGUUGAGCUUUUAUUUUUGGGAGUUCUUCUAUUGAACUUUAAUUUUAACACUUCACAAAUGUUUAAAUGGUCUCAUUAUCAAUAUGUUUUCCACACUUUUGAGAUAUUGAUUGAUAGAAAAAUUACCCUUAGACCUUUUAAGGUUUGGAACACGGCAUGACAAGUGUGUAACUGAAGUUCUAUAAUGAGCUAACAAACUCAGUAAUUAUUUACAACUAUCAAAUGAAGCAGAACACUCCAAUCUUAUCAUUAACCAAUUGCCAUUAUAUGUUAAGAGUAUAUAAAUGUGCAAGCAUAUAUAAGUAAUAAACUUCUGUUUCUUUUCUUUUAUUUUUAUCAUCUUUGGCAUCAUUCAAGUGUUGGGGCAAGAGAAAACUUUUGGUGAAAACCAUCACUUAUAACCCAGGAACAUUCAUGUUGUAUCACUAAAAAUUAAUAAUAAAAUUAUGCGGAAGUGUACCUGAAUCCAUAAUGUUUAAUUCCUCUCUAGGGUUGUGUGGUUGGUUUUCCAAAUCUACACAUUCUCCUAGAGAGUCAUUUAAUUCUCUCUGCGCUUUCUCUCCAAUGAUGGGAUGUCAAUAGAUAAUAGAAAGAUACGUGUGACCUGAAGAUCAUAACCACUUAUAUAGACAACAUUUUCCUGUUGUCACUAGGUAUUCUUAAUUCUGCCCAUCAUAAAAUUAGAAUACUAUUGGGUCUCUACACAUUAAAGGUUUACACCCUAUUAAAUACAUUAAUGCCCAUAAUACCGUAAAGCUAAAUAGAUCACUUUUAAUUAAGCUUAACCUUACACGACAGUCAGCAACAUAUAAUUAUUCACAUAUAAGCCCAACGUUGAAUUAAGGAUCUAACAAUAUUGGAUUAAAAAUCUAACAUCAAGUUGUCGCUCAAACAAAUGAAUGAUGUCGCUAAAACAAUUAGAAGCUAUAGAACUUAAACGAGACGUGAGCUUAAAAUGGAAUCAAUAAACUAGAAACAUAUUAUAAUAAGUAUUCGAAUAGAAGAAGAAGAAGAAGAAGAAGAAGCUAUUAACAUGAAUUUGAACAAAGGUUACGAAACAAUAGCAUUGGUAGGACCUAGCUACUAAUGGAACUCUUACAAUUGAAAAACUACUGGCAUAAAAUAACUUUUGGUCAGCGAAAGAGUAUCUAUGCAUCAAUGAAAAGUAAUAAAUAAAUAAAUAUUGGAUCGACAAUUAUAAAUUUCUUGAAAAAAAUAAUAGAAUAUAGAAGAAAAGCCAUAGCACCAUUUGCAUAAAGAAACAAGAAUAACAACUGAAUCUUUCUGCAUUAAUUAACUAAUAACAACCAAGUUUCGAUAAUAAAAAGACUAAUUUUUCUGCAUCAUAAAAAGUAAACCCGAAUGAGGCAAUUCAUCAAGCACUAAACCUGCAUUCGAAACACAAACAAAGAACACUCAAGAGAAAGCGGAUUUCACCAAAGCACCUACGAAAUUGGUAAAAAAUAUUAGACUUUCCCAGCCUAAAAGAAAAACCAAAGCAUUAUUACCAAAUUCAUUCAAAUCCAAAAGUAAAUACAUAAAAUCAACAUUCAAUUCGCCAGUACACCUAAAUUACUCUAGAAAUUCAAAUUUAUAGCUAAUUAAACAUUAUAAAAUAUUAAAAAAAUGAAUCUAAAAGCAAAAAUAUGUCGACAAUCAAAUCAAAAUCAAUUCCUCUAAUUCGAUUCCAAAUGUCUCAGGCACGGGUUGCACGAUAGAGUGAACGAGCUUGCCAAUUGUGGUACCUCUAUUUACAAGCUUGAAUAUCCUCUCCAGUAACUAUUCUUUUGCUCAAGUCAAUGUGACCUUUUAGCUUGUCACACCGACCAUGACGGCUCGAUGCGGCUGACUUUAAAGAACUCCAACAAAAGGAUAAUCCUGACGAUGUUGUUGUACUUGAGCAGGCAAGCUUUUAGGGUUUAGACUUUGAUGAAAUCAAAAGGGUCUUUUGACCUAGAGCUUCAAUCUUCAAUCUUCGAAUCAACUUUUUGCUUCUGGUUCGAUCUAUCAUUAAGAUAGGGAUGGCAAUGGGGAGGGGAGGGGAGGGGACCAAUCUCCCCGUACCCAUCCCCGAUAUUUUGCGUAUGUCCCCGUCCCCUCCCCGUCCCCGUCAGAAUUACUUGAAAGAAUCCUCAUCCCCUCCCCGAAUAAUAAUAGGGGAUCCCCGAGGGUCCCCAAUCCCCGAAUAACUAAUACAAUUUUUUUUUGUUUUUGAUUUUGAGUUAAUCAUAUUAAAAUAAAAAAUUCAAAUAAAAGUAAAGUUCAAAAUAUAUCUUACAUUAAUAUCCAUUACAAAAGUCACAUACAUUAAAUUAGUGUGUAACGCAGCAUGCAAGGGAUACAAACUUCUUUUACAAACUAUUAUGAACAAAUUAAUAGUCUAAUACAAAAUUGUUACAAAUAAAAUCGAAUUUAUAUUCAAAAUUAAUUUUUUCAAUGGUGGCAUGGGCACUUUAUAAAUGUGGACUAUUCCCUUUACAACACAAUAGUUAAAUCGGAGCAAAUCAAGAGCAAAUAUUAGAUUAGAUAUUAAAAUUGUGAUUCGUUGUGGGUAAUUAUAACAUCUAAAAAUAAAUAAAAAAUAGAUUUAAGUUUAAAAUAUUUAAAGAAUAUUAAAAUUAAAAAAUUUUAGGCUAAUAAAAUCUACUCAGUCUUUUUAAUGUCCUAAAUAAAAAUUUAGAACUUUAAUUAGUUAAUUAGGCCUAAAAGUUUAAUAAUAUAAAUAUUUUGAUAUUUUUUAUUUUUAUCAAUAUUUAUAAUUUUAUAAUUUAUUUACUAGUAAUUUUAAAAAAUUAAAAUAAAAUUAAAAAUUAAAAUGGGGAAAUGGGUAGGGGAUGGGGAUUCCACCUCAUCCCCGUCCUCUCCCCGAAUAAGAAAUUGGGUAAAAAAAUUUCCCCGUCCCUUCCCCGAAUAAGAAAUUGGGUAUGAAAUUAUCCUCAUAUCCUCCCCGAAUGGGGAAAAUCCCCGAGGGUACCCGUCCCCGUGGGGAUUUUUUCCAUCCCUACAUUAAGAGGCUAGAGAGGUUGAGCCGUUUGAUCUGUUUUUGCUUUUGGUUUUGGCCUUUGUUUUAUUUUGGUUUUUUGUUUUGUCAAAAAAGAGAGGUAAACGAUUUUGUGAAGAGAGAGAAAUGAAGAGUUAACAAUUUAUCCAAAUUUGAAGUCCAAAACGACAUCGUGAACAAUAAAUAAAAUAAAAUAUAAAAUCUUAGUAUGAGUGAAGAUUUAUUAUCUUAUAAUAUCAAUAACUGUUGAUACUGGUACGUUAAAAGUGUUAAAAACUACUUAAGUCAUUAAAUACUGAUAUUCCUUUUUUUAAUAUUAAACCUAAUAUCAGUGAAUGGAGAAAUUGUAUAGUAUAUCAGAGGCAAUACAACCAAUCGAUGCAUGUAUGACAUGUGUAAUUAAAUUUAGGAUGGGCCUAUUUGCAGUCUAAAUAUUUCUUUGAACACUCUAUUACUUUACACACUCAUACACAAAUUAUAAAAGAUUAAGUUUUACUUUGUACACUCUUUAAAAUUUCAAAAAUAUCCUUACUUAAACUAUUUAAAUUAUUUAACUUUAUUUACUUAAAAAACUAAUAAAACUAUUCAGCACACCAAUUUUAAGAGAUUUAACAUGUACUUACAACAAUAUAAUUAAGUCAAGUUGUAAAAAAAAAAUUAAUAUAAAAUUAGUUAUUAAUUUUUUAGUUAUUUAUGUUCAAUAUUGAAUUUCACACCCAAAAUAACUUGCAAUGAGAAUAUAAUAAAAAGAAUCAUAUUCCAUAGAUACUACCCAAAAAAUGAAAAAAGUCAUAAAGAUGAAGGAGAUGAGAAGAAGGGAGAAGCAUAAAAAAGAGAAGAGGAAGACGUAGAGAUGAAGCACAAGAGAAGAAUGGUGAAAGUCAAAAGAAAGUUCGUUCAUAGUACUUUUUUAUUUUAUUUUAAAAAAAAUGUAUCACACAUAUUGUGUAAUUAAAUUUUUUUUAAUAUUGAUUUCCUUAUUAUUCAUCUAAAUGUUAAAUUCAUAUAUUGAAAAUAAAAGUUUUAGGGUCCAAAAUAUGAUAAUUAAAAAUGAAUAAUGAGUGUGUUAUAUGUAUGUUCAAAACAAUUAUAUAAUAUUAACUUAUAAAAAACUGUCCUUAAUAGUAAUUCAUAGUAUGGGUAUUUUUGUAAUAUAUAUUUUUAUUAAAAUUAGAGUGUCCAAAAUAAUUUUUUGAGUGCAAAUAACCCCACCCUUAAAUUUAAUGUAACCACCAUUUGCAUAAUGAUCUUUCACAAUAAAUACAUAAAUAUCACAGUGUCAUUUGCUUGUUAUAUGGUUAAUAUAAUAUCUUUAUGCUGCAUUUACUUGUCAGUAAUUGGAAUUGGCUGUAAUCGGAAUGGGCAAAAAUUGGAAUGAGCUGGAAUGGGAAUGGGGAAUUAGAAUCAAAAUAAAUUAUUUACUUGACCUACAGGAAUCGGAAUUGGAAUGGACUGGAAUCACAUUGAUGUGUUUAUUUUAUCUUGGAUUCGGAAUCGGGAUGAGUUAAAUUGUAACAAAUUACUAAAAAGUACUUAAUGAAAUAUUAUCAUAAUUAUUAUUUUAUAUUUUAAUUAUAGUGAUUAUUUAUUCAAAAACUAUAAUUAUUAAUACAUUAUUGUUAAUAAUAUAUUAAUAUAUUAAUUAAUGGUAAUAAUUAUAUUAAUAAUUAUUAUAAUAGUAUAUUAAUUAAUUAAUUAUAAUAAAAGUAUAUUAAUUAUUGUGAUUAUUUAUGAAAAAUUACAAUUAUUCAUAAUUAUUGUGAAUAGGAUCACCCUAUAUUACGUUUAACAUAACGUACACACACUCACAACAACAAUAGCGGACCCCACCAUUAGUACUGUUGCUGUGAGUGUGUGUAUGUUACGUUAAACGUAACAUAGCACUGGCCUUGUGAAUAAUAUGUUAAUUUACUAAUUGAUUAAUAAUUAUAUUAAUUAAUUAAUUAAUUAAUUAUAAUAAUAAUAAUAUAUGAAUUAAUUAUAAUCAUAAUAUAUUAAUUAUUGUGAUUAUUUAUUCAAAAACUAUAAUUAUUAAUAAUUAUUGUUAAUAAUAUAUUAAUUAAUUAAUUAUGAUAUAUUAAUUAAUUAAUUUUAAUAAUAUAUUAAUUAAUUAUAAAUGAAGAUAAUAUGGGCAUUAUUAAUUUCUGGGAGAGGGUAAAAUAGUCAUUCCUAGGAAUGAGAGACUCAUUCCCACCUCUCCCUUGAGAAUGAGUCUCCUCAUUGCCAAAUUGUGGUAGGUCUUAUGAUUCUAAUUUUAUUUUAUAAUUUUAUUUUGUAAAGUAAAUAUUGUCAAUGAUUCCGAUUCUGGAUUCUGGAUUCUGGUUCCCUAAUUCAAGAAGUAAACGCAACAUGAAUGUAUUGUAAAAUUUCUCGAACAAAUGUCAUUUUUCUUCUACCAGCAGUGUAUACUUGAUAUUAAUAUUUUCGUUCAAUUCUAUAAGAUUGCCCUUUAUGGUAACUUUAAUUACAGUGACUGAUUCUGAUUCAGUAGAUGUUCCGUUAGAAAUGUUUUUCACUGCAUUGCAUAAAUCGAUGAAGACCCGUGUUGGGCUUACAUAUAGUUUCCAUUGGGCUGGACUGUAUCUAAACAGAAUGCGGCCUAUACAGCAUAAAUCAAACCCGGCUCCCUCCUGUUUUCAGACAGGUUUGCACUAUAUUUAUUUGAUUAUAAUAAUAAUAAUAAUUUAAAAACAUUUGUUUAUAUUUUUCAAAUAUUGUAUUGGUCAGCAUAUCUUUGCUCGCUCCUCAACUAAACUUUUCUUACAAUUGAUCUUUUGCAUGCGGUCGUUAAACUCAUUUCACAGCAAAUUUGGUACCACUUCAAUCUUCCUCUUGCGAGCUGCGUAGUGGUACAAGAAUCUUCCGUAACAAUUUUUAAUUUACCAUAGAUCUACCAUCAAAGUAAAGAGUUUAUUCUUCCCCUAGAAUGAUUGAGAAUAGGCUUGGUCUUUCAGAUUUUCUAUUAAAUAAAGUGUUGACCACUUUGACCAAAUAAAUUAUAAUUUUAUCCUUUAACUAUAACGAAUAAUUAAUGCAAAAUGACUUAAAUGUCCAUAAACUUUAUUUUAAUUUUCUUUUCUUACCCUUUUCUUUCUCUCUCCCCUUUCUAAUAAAUGCUGUCCAGUUAAAAAAUUUCGAAAGACUUCAUUUUUAAUCGAUUAUAUAUUUUCACAGUCAAUCUUUUCUUUUUCUGGUCUAGUGAAUCGGUUGGUUCGAAAGAGAGUGCUUUCAACACACGAACCAUUUAAAGAAGCUUUGGACUACUAGGAUUAGGCAUUACUUGAACAUUGGGUCGUUAUAACUUGAAGGUACGUGAUUCAGAAAUGUAUAAUGGAGGUUUUCUAAGGUUGAUAAUUCAGUACUGUAUUUAUUUAUUAACUCUUUAGCAACAACAAAGGCAUCAAUUUUUUUUUUUUCCUACCUGAAGUAAAAUUCUUUGAUUAACAAAACAAGGAUCUGACAAAAGGGUACAAUUUCCAGCCAAAACAAUCACGGGUUGAACUAUUAAUUUUUCGUGGCUUUUCAAUUACUCGAGGCACCAAAUCAAAAAGUGAAAAAAAAUAAUUACUUAAGGCACAAUCCUGUGACUUUUCAACCUAUCAAUCCAUGUGAUAAACGAAUUCUUAGAAUUCCUGAAACCCAAGAACCCGUGCUCCUUACUCUUGUUCAUGCUAACAAAAUAACCCGCACCAAUAUUCAACACCACAUCUGCAUAUGACCAAACAGCAACCUCAUUCAAUUUUGUUGGCUGCAGCUGAUUCUCUCUCACAAUCUCCUCCCACACACUUUCUUUACCCUUCAUAACUUCCUCAAAUCUCACCCUCUCACAACCCAUUUCUUCUCCAAACCCAUAAUUCUCAAUCUCAAACUGCUCAGCCAACACUUUCCAUAAAUGCUUCCACUUAAAAACAUCUCCAUUGGUGCAAUUGAAAGCUUCNNNNNNNNNNNNNNNNNNNNNNNNNNNNNNNNNNNNNNNNNNNNNNNNNNNNNNNNNNNNNNNNNNNNNNNNNNNNNNNCACAUCUCUGGUCCCAUGAAAUACUAGAGGAGCACCUUCGUGUUUACAAAUAGCUGCGUACACGCAGAGAGUGCCUAUAAUAUGCAUCAAACUAUAAGGUGAAAACCCAAAUAUUCCGGAAGGCCGGUGUAUGGACCAAGCUAAGCCCUCUCUUUUGUCAACUUCUUCAAACAAUAUAUCUUCCUGAUUAUAGUAAAAAAGCGGCACGUUUAGUCUUGGCAAAUCCUCAGUAAAAGGCGGAUCGUGAGACGGUAUCUUGCCAAUACACUCGAAUGGACCCACGUAAUGUUUGCCUCCCGUUUGGAGACAGAUGUGGCGGACAUUAGGCGCAUUCGGGAUUACAGAACGGAGCACGUUACGAAACAUGGCGCCGUUGAUCUUGCAAUUCUCGGCUUCAGUGGGACGGCUGGCCCACGUCACAUAGAAGAUGUGGGUGACGUCAGUGAGUUUUGAGAGCUUGGCUUGCGUAUCAUCCCGGUCGGAAAUGUCGCAUUGGAUGUAAUCAAUAGGGUACCUGGCGUUCCAAUUAGGCCUGGGGCGUCGGGCCACCCCGUGGACCUUCCACGGGCCACCGGGGGUAUCUGGUCGGGGCAAAAUCUCAGCUAGGCUGUUGCCUACAAUUCCUGUCACGCCUACUACAAGUCCCACGUUCUGGUAGUCUUGAGGUCGCGCAUCUUCUUCCAAUUUGUUCUGUACAGCGAAAAUUAAACAAACAUUAUUUUAAAUAUCAGCAUGUUACGUGUAUGUAUAAGCUUUUCAAGUGAAGAGAGACAAUUAGGGGGUCGAUCUUUACCUUAGCAGCGCCAAUACUACCUGCCCACCGCCAGCUCAUUUUUUGAUGAAUCUGGAAAAUUGAUGAUAAGUUUAGAGACUGCUUAUCUAUAAACAAUUAUACGAGCACUUUCUAGAAGGUAAUUUUCAGUUGAAGUUAGAUAAUGUGAAUAUGUGAUCAAUAAUGAAAGAUCCAAUAUCAUAAUGUGUGGUGAAAUGUGGUUCCGGCUAAAGGCCAAGCUUCACACUGUCAUUGUCAGUCAGUUUGCUUUCCCGCAGUUUUCAAGCUCGGUGCCAACUCAAAUAAAUAAGUAGGCCAGUGUCGGUGACCAUUGCAAUAAAAUCGCCCUAUGAUUAUUACGGAAGCUUCAGUACGUGGACCCUGAGUUUUAAACCUAAAAUCAAAUAUAUGUCUCUUUACUUUUAUAAUUUGCUUAAGGCACACCAGUCAGUUUUGGGACAAAAAGAGUCUUCGAUUUGUAUUUUCAUGGAAAUAAUCAAAACAUUUGAUAUUGAGGUACUGUAACUUUGAAAUUAUAAGUACAAUUAAAAAAAUAAUUGUAACUAUGAAUUAAAAAUUAAUAAUUUCUAGUAAAUAUGACUAUUAAAUAAUAAUUUUGAUAAAAAUAAUAUAUAUAUUAUAGUUUAUUCGUCAUACAGGUAUGAGAUUAAAUUAAUUUAAUUUAUAAAUCAAAGCUAGUAUAUACUAAAUAGUUGUAACUUUUAAGCUGUAGCUACUUAACUUUAAUAUCAAAAUAGGCCUUAGAGCCCGUUUGGAAUUAUUUUUAGGAGUUCCCAAAAGUAAUUUUGAAAAAGUAAAUGUCAAUUUUGGUGUUCGGAAAAUUUUUAAAAAAAUUACUUUUAGCAAGAUCACCCCAUCCUAUAGCAAGUUUUUCAAAAUAGGGAUGCAGUAUCUUUUUAGUAUCGGAUUUUGAAAAUCAGUUUUAUAUUUAAUACAAUUUCAUAAAUCUUCAAAUAUAUUAUAAAAAUCUAAAAUUAUCCUUAUUAAUUACGAAAUAAAAUAAUUAAUUUUAAAGAGAUUGUUAUCACCAAUUAUAUUAAGAUAACCAAAUAAAAUCAAUAAUUUAAAAUAUUUAUUUUAGUUAUCAAUUAUUAUAUAUAUACAAUAAAAAAUAUUUUUCAUACAUGUUUAUAAAAUGCGUAAAUAAAUUAAAUAAAUUUUAUUCAACAUUGUGUCCAAUUAAUUUAUUUAUAUUCUUACAACAGUUUAAUAGUAAUAUGAUUAUAGAAGCCAAAACAUCAAUUUUUUUGGUUAUCAAAUGGUGUAAAAAGUCAAAUGAACACAAAAUGCAUUUGUAGUCUAUUGAAAUAUCAAAAUUGUAAAUACACAUAGGAACCUCGUACAAGCGAUUGUGAAACUCGAUAUAUGAAUAAAUGAAGAAUUCUUUUUUUUCUCUUAAAUUUUAGGAAAUAGUUAAAGAUGUUCAUAUGAAUGAAUGGAAGUUUUUUUUUUCUCAUCUCAUUAAUUCAUGUGAAUAUCCAUGAAGUUUAUUUGAAUGAACAAUUUUUUUUUCUCAAUAAAUAUGCCAUAAUGAAAAAAGUUUUGGCUCUUGUGUAAAAUUUGAAAAUCAUAAAAAAAAUAUAUCAAUAAAAUAAUUCUACAUAAUCUAUGCUCACCAAUUAUUAGGGAGGGUAAAUGCUCAUUUAAUCCAUAUAUUUUGACAUAACUAACUUUUCAACCAUAUUAUUGUUGGAAAAAAAAAACAGUCCUUUGAUUUGUAAUUUUUAGCUAGUUAUACAAAUUUUGCAAGUUUCUAAAUCUCACCUCCACUAGGCAAACUUACGUAAAUAAUCAAAAGAGAGACGUCAUAUUUAAUUUAGAAGUUGCUCUCGUUUAGGCCCUAUUUGAUAUUGAAAUGUUGUAGCAUAGUAAGAAAAAAGAAAAACAAAGUUGCAACUAUUAAAAAAAAUUUGAUAAUGUAUAAUAAAAUAAUUAUUAAAUAAUAAUUUGACAAAAAUAAUAAAGACACUAUAGGUUUUUUCAUACAAGUGUGGGAUCAAAUCAACUUAAUUUCUAAGCUACAAUAGCUAGUGUUUACUAAAUACUUUGAUACUGUAACUUUUAAGAUACAGCUGCCCAACCUUAGGUUUAAAUCGUUUAUAAGGUAAUAAUAGACAUGACUCUAGAAGCUAAAACAUCAAUUUCUUUUCUUUUUUUAAUUAUCAGAUAGUGUAAAACAUCAAACGGAAACAACUAAAUAUGUGAUCCUAUUGUUGUGAAUAUAUCAAAAUUAUCCUCAAAUUAUGAAUCUCUGCCAUUUACAAAAAAGAAUUUAGUACAAGUGAAUGUGAAAGUUGAUAUGCAAAUAAAUGAAUAAUUCUUUUUUUGAAACGACCCGUCCCGCACCCCAGGGCGAGUCUAUCUAAACUCGUAUAAUCGAAUCGAUAAUAAUUAUGAUAUCUAAGAAUUCUAUCAAAAAUUCGACAGAAUCUCCCCUAUAAAUAAAACAUCCCCAAACCUGCAAUUUACAAAAUAAUUCAAUAUCCAUCCAUCCUUCAUAACCAACUUCUCAAGUCAACAUAUCAAAUAUCACCCAAAUCAUUCUAAUAUUAAAAUACAAUGGUUAUCCUUAAUUACAAAAUUAAUAAAUAAAUACAAUUCGCAAUAUCCCAAAUAUCAAAAUAUUAAAUCUACGACUCCUAGCACCAUCACAUGGCCACAAUUUCAAAUCUAACUAUCGUUGCUGGGUCGACUGAUAUACCUGCAAAUCUCCUGUGAGGGGGAAAAAUAUAAUAAAAAUUGGGUAAAUAUAAAACUCAGUGAGCUCAGUGAGUGUAUAGUAGUUUUUGAAAAAAUAAAUUUAUUUAAAAUAAUUUAAACUUUCUCAAAUCAAUUUCAUCAAAAUAUCAUAAGAACUUAUAUAAACAUAUUCAAUUCAAAUCAUUCAUUGAAAUAACUAUAUUACAUAAAUCUGCAUAAAAUCAAUGAAAUCAUAAUAAUUAUAAUAUCAAAUGCUGAAUAUAAAAAACUAUCAUCAAACAAGUACCCAGGGAAAUGAUCUCAUCAUAUCCGGACCUCGACGGACGGGCAAUCAGGGAACCAUCAUGCCCUGGAGCUACAACGGAUAGACGGGGAAAUCUCAUCUCAUAUCUCAUGUAUUUGAACAUCUGUAUCUCUAUAAUCAUCAUACUGCAUGCAUAAGCCCCCAAAAGGCAAAAGCGCCCAAACACACGGCCCAAAGCCUCUAUGUGUGUUCAGACGGGCCCCAAAGGCCUCUAUCUCAUCUCAUAUGUAUCUCUGUAUUCAUCUCGUAUUAUCUGUAUCUCUGUAUCUGGAGAGGAAGGGUACUGUCCAAUGAUUUUUCAAACAACAUUUUAUACACAUGUACAUAAACAUAUAAUCACAUCUGAAAUCUCAUUUUCUUUUUAUUCAACAUAUCUCAAAUCCACUCAAUUCUAAUAUCAUGCAUCUACUAAAAAACAAUAAUAAAAUCAUUAAUCAAACUCAUUCUUAAUAACAAUAAAUAUCAACACACAGAUAAAAAUCAAUUUUCUAGAAAAUCAUUAAAUCGAAGCAUCAAAUACUUAUUUAUCAAAACAUACUGCACUGUAUCAUAAAAUUAGCAUAUACUAUGAAAAUAGAUUUUGUAUAUUCCACUCACAGUGACGAAGUCUAGACUCGGUAUCAACAGUGUCUGCGGGUUAAUUCUCAUUCACGGAUCCUCCUAAUUAAGGAAAUGACAUAAUUAUUCUCCAUAAAUUUGAAAUACAACUAAUUUUACAUAAUAAUUCUCGAAGCGAAUAUCUAUCAACAAUAAACUAUUCCCACAUGCACAAAAUUACCGAAAUACCCCUACAUGCCAAAAUUACCAAAAUGCCCCCAACAUCAUUAUUUUACCAAAUUAUCCUCAGAAUCUUCAAUUAAUAAAUUGUCCUCAAUUCAGAUCACGAAAUUAUCACAAUGUCAGAAAUUACGAAAUUACCCUCGGCACGUAAAAUUACCAAAAUGUCCUUAGCGACUUAAAUUACCAAAUUACCCUCGAAAUAUCAAAUUACCUCACUGCCCUAACAUAAAAUUACCAAAUUAUCCACUGAUUCCAUAAAUUACAAAUUCACCCUAAAUUUUUAUGAAUUUACCAAAUUGCCCGUACCGGUCAACGGUGACCGGACUUCAGUCAACGACAACGGGAAGCUUAGGUCUGAUAGUUCAGACCUCGGUGAGUCCAAUGGUGGUGCCCGUGAGUCCCCACGCGCGGCGAUAGCGGUAGAUCGAAGCUCCAAAAUCUGUGAGCUUUCCGGUGGUCGUUUGCAGCAAAGACGGCGUCCCUGGUGGUCGUGGUCAGUCGGAAAGUGACGAGUGUGAGUUAAGGAACAAGAUCCGAGUGGUGGCGGGAUUAAAGGCGGCGAAAACAGGUCUUGGCCGCGAAUUUUCGAGCUCAAUCGCCGGCUUUCUGGUAGGUUCCCGGCGGCGAGGAUGGCAGGGUUAUGACGGCCGGCUUCCAAGCUUCAUAUCGGUACCAAGCUCGGCCGGUGCGGUGGCCGGAAUCGCGAGAUCCAUUCGGGUCAAAGUCGCGGGUCGGGUCGGAUUCGCGGGUCAAACCGGAUCAAUUCUCUUUCUCUCUCUCUCUCUCACGUGCCCCUAGGGUUGGCAGAAAAGCCCGGGCCGGCCCAGGCCCGCGGGCUUUAAGCCCGGCCCGUGGCUUGAAAUUAUGGGUAAGGGCUCAAAGUUAAUAAAGCCCAUAACAUAUGGGCUCAGUCAAGGGCCUAAAUGAAAAGCCUGGGCUUUAUAAUAAAUAAUAAAUAAUAUAUAUAUAUAUUAAAAAAUGUAUAAUAUAUUAUAAAAUUGGAAAAAAAAUUAAUUGCUUUACAAAAUAAAUAUAUGUAUUAUAAAAUAUAUAUAUGUAUAAUAUAUAUAUAUAUAUAUAUAUAUUAAAAAAUGUAUAAUAUAUUAUAAAAUUGAAAAAAUAAUUAAACAAAAUAAUAAAAAAAUCGGGCAAAGGGAAAGGGCAAAGGUUUUGUCACAAAAUGUCAAAAUUCCUAAAUCGGUAAAUCUCUAUUAGUUUUUUUUUUAUAUUAGUGGUUGAUUUGUACGUUGUGUACGGUAUUUGUAUUGUUAGUAUUUUUAUAUUUUGUGUUGCUAAUCAUGUAUUAGAGAAUUAUAUUUAAGUUUUUAGCCUAUUGUAGUAUUAUGUAUUGGUUAAUUAUGUUUUGAAAAUUUAUAAUUUUAUUUUUUUAAAAAAAAUUUAAAAUUUCGUAAAAGCCCGGGCUUGGCCCGCGGCCCGGCCCGGCCCAGGCCCGUCAAGGCCCGGCCCGCCCAAAGCCCGCUCAACUUGGAUGGGCUUUGAGAGGGCCUGGACUUAUUUAACAUUAUAUGGGCCUGGUCCUGGGCUUGGCAAAGCCCGGCCCAGGCCCUUAAAUUGCCAACCCUACGUGCCCCCUCUCUCUUUCCUUUUUUGGAAACCAGCUUCCCACUUUCCAUUUAUAGAAACUGGCUUCUUUUUUUUUUUUUUGCACUUAAGCUUAAUACAAAUUAAGCUAAUACCGGACCGUGAGGAAAAUAAAAUCCGACUACCUGAGCUUUUAAUCGGGCUCAAUUUAUCUCGAUUUAAUGUUGUGAUAAUUUUAAAAUUAAUAUCGAAGAGGAAAAAUUAAUUCAUGCACUUAAUUAGGAAAAAUCAAAGUGCAUAUGUUACAUUUUUAUUUUAAUUUCAAGAAAUAGCUAACUUGUUCAUAUGAAUGAAUUGAAGUUUUUUUUUUGGGCUUUCUCAUCUCAUUAAUUCGUGUGAACAUUCAUGAGGGUUAAUUGAAUGAACAAAAUUUUAUUUUCUCAAUAAAUCUGCUAUCAUAAAAAACGUUUUGGCUCCUGUCUAAAAUUUGAAAAUCGUAGCAAAAAGUAUAACAAUAAAAUAAUUCUACAUAAUUUAUACUCACCAAUUAAUCAGGAAAAUAUAUUAGAUAUAACUUUGAUGGAAUCAACAAAGUGAGAUAGAAAGAAGAAAAAGUGUCUAAAGCUUCAAUUUUGUUAGUUUUUUAUGAAUGUCUCACCAUGUUAGGAAAUCAAUAGUGUGUGUGUGUGUAAAAUGAUGAGAUUGAGAAAAAAAAAAUUAAGGUUUAUGGUAUGGAUGUGAUAAAUGGGUUUGUUUAAUUAAUAUUAACAUCUUUGUUCAAUUGUUUAAGGUUUUCCUUUAUAGUUACUUCAAUUUUGGGUAAUUUAGGAAUAAUAAGUUGUUAUUACAAAAUUUAUAUUCAAAGUUGUUUCAAGGGUGAAAAAUCUAUACCCUUAUAAUUUUGUGUGUUAUGGCUCAUCAAGUGUGUUGUAUUACAAGUGAGUGAUUCAAAUUCAAAUAGAUAUUUUCAUUGGAUGUGUUUUUCCACACUAGGGUGGGACUAUAUUGCACAAAUGGAUGGAGAGUGCAGACCCAUAUUCGGCUUACAUAAAUUUUUGUUGGGCUGGAUUAUAUCCAAACAUGAUGCGAACGACACAACAUAAAUCAAACGCGGCUCCCCCUUGAGGUUAGUCAGCUUUGCAUUACAUUUAUUUUAUAUAAUGAUAACAAUUUAAAUGCAUUUAUCAAUUUUAUUAAUAUUGAAAUACACUUUAUUUUAAUUUUCUUUUCUUACCCUUUUCUUUCUCUCUCCUCUCUCUAAGUAAUGCUCUCCGCUUGAAAAAUUUUGGAUUAUUCAAUUUCAAUCGGUUAUAUUUUUACAAUCAACUUUUUCUUUUUCUUUUUCUUUUUCUUUUUCUAGUCCUGUGAAUCGGUUGGUUAGAAAGGAAGUGGUUUAGAAGAGGAACCACUUAGAAAAGCUUUGGUCUUGAAUUAGGCUUUAAUUGAAAAUUGGGUUUAGUUAUAACUUGAAGGCAUGUAAUUAGAAACGUAUUAUGAAUGUUUUUCUCCAGGUCGACAAUUUAGCUAAGUAUAUUUAUUGAACCCAUCAACAAAUAACAAUAACACAGCAAUUUUUUUUUCCCUACCUGAAAUGAAGCUUUUCAUUGAUUAACAAACAAAAGUUACAUUUCUUCAGCAGAACAAUCACAGCUUGAACUAAUAAUUGAAAAUGUUGCUAAAUCGUGACUUUUCAAUAGCUAAGGCACCAAAUCCCAAAAAAAAAUAAUAAUAAGGAAAUUACUUAAGUCACAGGGCUGUGACUUUUUUUUUUUUAAUUUAACUCAUUAACAAUAACAAAGAAAAACAUCUCAUUUCCACGUAAAAUGAAACUUUUCGUUGAUUGGAAAGCAAAGAACAAAGAAAAGCUGUAUUUCUUGCAGCCAAACAAUCACAGCUUGAACUAUCAAUAAAAUGUUUAAGUAAGGCACCAAAUUCAAAAAAGAAAAUUACUUAAGGCACAAUCCUGUGACUUUUUAGCCUACCAAUCCAAGCAACGAAGGAAUUCUUAGAAUUCCUGAAACCCAGGAACCCGUGCUCCUUACUCUUGUUCAUGCUAACUGAAUAACCCGCACCAACAUUCAUCACCAUAUCUGCAUACGACCAAACAGCGACCUCAUUCAAUUUUGUUGGCUGCAACUGAUUCUCUCUCACAAUCUCCUCCCACACACUUUCUUUACCUUUCAUAAUUUCCUCCAAUCUCACCCUCUCACUACCCUUUUCAUCUCCAAACCCAUAAUUCUCAAUCUCAAACUGCUCAGCCAACACUUUCCAUAAAUGCUUCCACUUAAAAACAUCUCCAUUGGUGCAAUUGAAAGCUUCGUUUCUUGCAUUAGGAUCCACUGCCGCCCAAAUUUCCUGCUCCGCAAUCAAAUCUGCAUCCGAAUAUUCUGAGAAGCCUUCCCAAGUUUCUUUCGUCCCAGGAAAUAGUAAAGGAAAACCUUCAUGUUUGCAAAUAGCAGCGUACACGCAGAGAGUGCCUACAAUAUUCAUCAAACUAUAAGGUGAAAACCCAAAUAUUCCGAAAGGUCGAUGUAUGGACCAAGUCAAGCCUUCUCUUUUUUCAACUUCUUCAAACAAUAUGUCUUCUUGAGUAUAGUAAAAAAGUGGUACGUUUAACCUCGGCAAAUCCUCUGUAUAAGGAGGUUCGUGAGACGGUAUCUUGCCAAUACACUCGAAUGGACCCACGUAAUGUUUGCCUCCCGUUUGGAGACAGAUGUGGCGGAGAUUCGGUGCGUUCGGGAUUACAGAACGGAGCACGUUACGAAACAUUGCACCGUUGAUCUGGCAAUUCUCGGCUUCAGUGGGACGGCUGGCCCACGUCACGUAGAAGAUGUGGGUGACGUCAGUGAGUUUUGAGAGCUUGGCUUGUGUCUCUUCCUGGUCAGAAAUGUCGCAUUGGAUGUACUCAAUUGGGCGAUUGGCAUUCCAGUCGGGCCUCGGACGUCGGGCAACUCCGUAGACCUUCCAUGGGCCACCAGGAGUAUCCGAUCGGGGCAUUAUCUCUGCUAGGCUGUUGCCUACAAUUCCUGUCACGCCUAAUAUAAGUCCCACAUUCUGGUAAUCUUGAGGUCGCUGCUUAUCUUCUUCCAAUUUCUUCUGUACAAGUAAAAAUAAAACAAACAUUAUUUUAAAUGUCAGCAUGUUACAUGUCCACUAACUUAACUACAGAGUUGAUGUUUACCUUCGCAGCGCCAAUAUCACCCGCCCACCACCAGCUCAUCUUUUGGUGAAUUUGAAAAUUGAUGAUAGGUUUGGUUUCUGCUUCUAGUUUUAUUUAUAGAGAGGAGUUGACAACUGUGUAAAUAGACUUUCACAAUGUUUUGAAAUAGUUUACAUUAUCAUAAACAUCUAACUCUGUUCACACAUAAAGAGGAGACUGCCAAUUAUACAAGUACUUUCUAGAAGGAAAUUACGUAUUCAACUGAAGUUAGAUUAUGUGAACCAUAUUGAAAGAUCUAAUGCAAUAAUGUCUGGUGAAAUCUAAUGCACUAAUGUGUGGUGAAAUGAGGUUCCUGCUGAAGGCCAACUUCGUACUAUCAUUGUCAGUCAAUUUGCGUGCCCACGGUUCUUCAAGCUCGGUGCCAACUCAAAUAAAUUAGUAGGCCAGUGUCGGUGAUCAUUGCACUAAAAUCGCUCUACGUUUAUUACGGAAGUUUCCGUAGGGGGCCCAGGUUUAAACCUAAAAUCAAAUACGUCUCUCAAUUUUUAAAUUGCUUAUGGCACAGUAGUCUAUAACUUUUCAGCUUUCAAUAUCAAUUUUGGAAAAAAAGGGGGAUUUAAAUUUACUGUCGAGCUGCUAUUUUUACUAAUAUUUUAGAAGCAUAUGGUUGAUAGUUAUUGGAUACAAAUAUAAAACUAAUUGAAUCUUAACUAUAUAUUGUUAUACAUGUACAUGUGGUAGAAGAUUAUGAAUAGUUAAGCAUAGAUCAACUCAGUAUUAAAUCCAAAUUCCAUAAACAGUCCUUUAAUUACUUGUAGUUUCUAAUCUCAUCCUCUCCUGGCAAACGUUAUUAAAAAAAAAGCAAAAGAGAGACAUCCCAUUUAAUUUAGAAGUUGUUUCUCAUUUAAGACUUGUUUGAUAAUGAGAUAUAGUAACUUUUAAUUUACAGUUACGACAAAAAGAAAAAAAGCUAUAAUUAUGAAAUAAUUUUUUUAAAAAAUAAAGAGACUAUUAAUCGACUAGUACUUAGUAUUUUACUGUUGUAGGUUUUAAGUCACUGAUGCCCAACCUCCGUAAGAAAUAGAAUCUUAAUUUAUUUCGCUUCUUUGAGGGUUUGAUAAAGAGAUAUUUGACCUGUUUAUAAGAAAAUAAUUGACAAGACUCUAAAAGCCAAAACAUCAAAUUUUUUCGUUAUCAGAUGGUGUAAAACAUAAAAUGAACACAAUACGCAUAUGUGGUCGGUGGAAAUAUCAAAAUUAUACUCAAAUUGAAAAUCUCAGCCAUUUGCACGCGAACUUUUGGUACAAUUGAUUGUGAAACUUGAUAUACGAAUAAAUGAACUUUUAUUUUUAAUUUCAGGAAAUGGCUAAAGUUGUUCACAUGAAUGAAUGGAAGAUUUUUUUUUUCCUUUCUCAUCUUAUUAAUCCAUCUGAACAAAAAAUUUUAUUUCCUCUAUAAAUCUGCCAUCAUGAAAAAAAAUUUGGCUGUUGUGUAAAAUUUGAAAAUCAUAGAAAAAGUAUAUCAAUAAAACAGUUUACGUAAUUUAUACUCACCAAUUAAUUAGGAAAAUGUAGUAGGUAUAACUUUCACGGAAUCAACAAGCUGAGAUAGAAAGAAGAAAAAGUGUCUAAAUUUAUUAGGCUUUGAUGAAUGUCUCACUAUGUCCGGAAAUUAACUGAGACAACAAUAAUAAAACGAUGAGAUUGAGAGACGUGAAAUUAAGGUUCAUGGUAUGUGAUAAAUGGGUAUGUUGAAUUAAUAUUAACAUUUUCGAUUAAUUGUAUAAAGUUGACUUCAGUUAUGGGCAAUAUUUUUUUUGUUUUAUUGAUAAGGGAAACGAGCCUAGCAAAAGUAGCUAAGGCUUAACAGUAAGAGGGAACGCAGUCCCUAAGGUAUCGCUACGCAGCCAGAAUUCAACACCAGGAGGGGGAAAAAGAAGACUGUGGAGCCCAAGAGGUAACGAGAGAGCAAAAGUAGCAAGAAAAUCAGGUGCGAAGUUUGCCUCACUGUAGAUAUGGUGCACAAAAACCUGCCAAUUUUGAGCGAGAAGAGCCUUGAUACUCUUGACAAGGGGAGACGAAGCAUUAAGCGUAUCAUUUUGAGCCUCCAAAAGCUAAAUCACGCAUAAGCUAUCAGCCUCAACAAUCAUCGAUCUGAUACCCCCGUUCCAUGCCAUGAGGAGACCCUGAUAAAGGCCCCACAGCUCAGCAAUUGUGAUUGAACACAGCCCAAUGUUCAUUCAAAAUCCUUCAACACAUUCUCCACAAUUGUUUCUGAUUAAGCCACCAGCAGAAGCCAAAUCCGAGGCCUUACGAGCUCCAUCCGUGUUCAACUUGAAGAAAGGCUACACAGGAGGCACGAAGCCAUAGUACAUCUCUACUCUCGUGGGCUUGUCCGUUAUGGCAAUUUAAUACAUAUUGUUAUUAAAAAGUAGUGCUAAGAGAUUAGUGUUAAAAAUUGUAUGUUUAUUAAGGGGUAAAAAUGUUAUUUUGUGCUAAUAAUAUAAUUUACGUUUGUAAAUAUGUAACAUAUUAUGAAUUUCUAAUUAUUUUUCUAAAUAUUUGAUUUUGUGUGUUUAUUAGGUAAAAAUAAUAAUUUCACACAAUUUGAGACUCCAAAUAAAUGUACGGAUGUCAAAUUUGGAUUCCGAAAGCCUGAGAAAUGAGGUCCUUGUCGAUCAGGAUCUGCGACUUUUGUUGUAAAUUUAUAAGUUGUUACCAAGGUAAAUGUGGUAAUUGUGAAAUUAUAAACUUUUACUAUAUUAGGUGUGGUAAUUGUUAGUGGCAUGUGUUAGAUGUGCUUGAGUGGAUUAAGUUAGGUUUAUGUUUUAUUAGUAUGACAAAUACAUGGUUAAGAUAUACUUAGCUUUAUUUAUUUGUGUGGUGUGGAUUAAUCAUGUAUUAGUAUAAAUAGAUAGGGGGGAACACACCUCUUCACACAUUUCCUUCUCUGCUUUCCCCUCAAAUUCUUCUUCUCAUCUCUCUUUGUAAUAAAUUUUCAAUAAAUAAAAUUAGUUUUAUUUUCAAUUUUCAAAUACUUUUUUUCAUUAUGUUGUUUUUUUUUAAUUUUAAUAAUUCCUUUUAUUUCAAAUAUGUUUAGCUAAAUACUAAUAGUUAGGGGAAGAUGAAACUCUUAGUAAAAAAAUAGGAUUUAAACAAAUUCUAUUUUUAAUUAUAGAAAUUAAUUAUUUUCCAUCUAAUUUUAUCCAUAUUUUAUAUUUUGAAAUUUUGAUUUAUUGUAGACAAACAUGGGGUUUAGCAUAAUGAAUUUUUAAUAUCUUAGUAUAAAGUAUGGUAAACUAGUAUUUUAACUUAUUGUAAACAAAUUAAAUUUUGGUACACUAAGUACUUAGUUCGUAAUAAAAUUAUUGGGAAAAUAAUUGUAAUUUAUACAAUUAAUCAUUUGGACAAUAACCUAAAAAUAAAAAGAAUUUAUUAAAUUGUAUUUGUUACUAAGAGGGGAUCUAGAACCUAACUAAUUUAAUUUUAUAGUUUUGAUCAAAUUAAACUGCACAUUUUAAAAUUUAUUUUCAUUAUUUUAAAAUAAAAAAAAAUUAAAUAUUUUCUCUGUAGAUCGACCUCAGAUUCAGUGACUCACCGAGCUAUAGUUUAACUAGGCACUCUUACACUUGGGAGUAAAUUAAACACUUUUAAGUCGUGCACUUAGAUUAGCUUUUGCUGCUAUUUAAACCCACUAAUUUCUUCUCUAUAACUAUUUUAAAAAAUAACUUUAUCAUUAAAGUUUUAAAAUUUGAAAAUCUCGAAAUUACCCCACCAAUUACUUUCUUUCUCUACUUUACAAUUACAUACUCUCCCAUUAUUCUCAUAUAUAGUCUACAAACAAAACACUCAAUUUCACUUUCUUUUGAAUUUUUUUUAACAUUUCUUAGUAUAUUAUGAUCUAUAUUUCAUGCUUUCUGUAUAUAAGAAAUUUUUUCCUUAAUAUUCAUUAGCUUUUGUGUUUAGUAAAAAUUAAUUUCUUGAUAUUCAUUCAUUUUCAUGACUGAUAAAAAUUUGUUGAUAUUCAUUUUUAAAUGAUGGAUUUUGUUCUUCUUAGUUAGUAAUACUUAUUCUUUAUAGGUAAAAGAAUAUAUUUGAAUGGAUUGAAGAGAAUUUGUAAAAUUAAGAAGAGAAAGAGAAGAGAGGAUUAAUUAAGAAAUUUUUUAAAAAUUAUUUAGAUAAUAAAGUUCUUAAUUAAAAUGAGGGUUUAGAGAGGAAAUCGAUAAGUUCAUAUAGCUCUUCCUUAGUUUUUAGAGUGCAAAUUUUAAUACCCUUAUAGUUUUGUGUGUUAUGGCUCCUUAAGUAUGUAGUAUUACAAGCAAGUGAUCCAAAUUCAAUUUGAUAUUUGUCUUUCUACAUUCUGGUGGGGUUGUAUUGCAUAAUCGAUGCAAAGGGCUCACUCAUGUUUGGCUUACAUAUAACUCCUAAUGAGCUAGAUUCUAUCUAAAACUAAUGUUGGGGAAUUUUAAUUCCACUCAAGAUCUUGAAAAUAAAAAUAUCAAAUAAAUAAUUAAUAAAAUAUACAGAUGAAGAAUAAAAUCAAUCCACUACAAGAAAAAUGGCCUACUAUGACAGGCAAAAACGGUUAUCUUAGGGGGUGGAUGACGGUUAUCCUUACUGUCAUUGUAGCCAGCGUCAAGAAAAGAUAACAGACAGAAACCCGUCACAAGUUGUGAUAAAUUUUACCUGUCAUAAUUCAGUCAUACAACUUAUAUAAGGGAAAUUGGCUUUUUUUAAUUUUUAUGUUUUAUGAAAUUAAAACUGUAAUUAGUAUUUGUGGAUAAAAGUUGUGUGUCAAAUGUUGUGACUAGUAUUUUCAAUCACAAUUUUUUUUAAAAUUGACUAUUUAUUUUAUUUAUUAAUUUAAAAAAUAAAAAAUAUGCAAUUUUAGUUUCCUCAAUUUAAAAUUUAAAUUAUAAAUUUUAUAUCAAAGAAAAUAAAUUAAUAAAUGCAAUCAAAUCCAAAACUAAUGAACUAAAUUAGUGAACUUUAUUAUCCAUAAAAAUAUCCAAAGUACUUCUAAAUUUCAAAAACAUACAAUUGAAACUUUACAAUUCAAUAGUUAAUCAAUAUUUCAAACUCAAGCCAACAGCCAAAAAAGACCAAUCCAAAACCAAAGCAAAGUACUCAGCAUUCAGCAACAUCCAGCACUAAAGCUAUGCAAAAUGUAGUCCUUUUCUAGCAGCAAAAUCCAGCAGCCCCCAAGCCAAGAAAGAAGUAUCCCAUUUCAUCAAUUGAAAAUAUUAAGUGAAAUAUAAGCAUUUACACAUGAAAAUAUUAAGAAUAACAUCUACAAAAAGGAAAAAAAAUACAAGUAAUAAUAGAAUACGAAAAUACUCAGUGAAAACUAAGGCGAGACCCCUUUUUUCCCUUCUCUGGAGUAAGGCACUAAAAGGGAUUAAAGAAAUUAUGAUUGUGUUCCACACCUGGAGCUGGUAGAGACAAACUCUGGUCAUGUAAUAUUUGCCUUGGCACCGUUUGAAUAUGUCUAUAUUAGUAUCCACAAAUUCAAGGAAGAUGAUUGGCCUACCUCUUACAUAUAUCAUAUUCAAGUCCAAACAGCUUUAUUCCUCGUGGGAUUUAUUUGAUCAAAUUAAUAGUUCAGGAUGAAAAAUGGUUAGAACCUCACAGUCAUCAAAAGUUACUGUCUCAUAAUUCAUUUUAGUGCUUAUAACACAGAGGAAAUAAAAUAAAAUAUCUAAACAUACAUUUAUCAUGUAUGUAAACAUUUUUUUUCUUUUCUUUAAAUACAGAGAGGACAGUAGUUAGUUAUUUAAUUGAAAGGAUGCAUAGAAAGUUUCUUUAAACCAAUACUAGUGGUUAAGUCUCAAAAAGAAAUAUUAGUCCAAAUUCAUUACUUCCAAUCAAGCAAAAGCAUGCAGUAUCAAACAGGAAAUGCAUCCUCAGGACCCAUAAGCCAAUUUGUACUCCAUUACUAUCAAUUUCCUAGCUGGUCAAUUUUUUAUUUUUUAUUUUUAUUUUUUUGUGGGUAUCUCUUAGGUAUCGAAAGUCAAACCCUAAGUAAUCAAACAAAUUCAGAUAGUGCUUACCCAAUACAAGAUAUUGGAGAUUAAAUCCAAGAGUAACGGAAUGCAGAAAGUACCUUUUUUGAAGAAAAUGUCAGUGACGUCUUUCGAAGGUAAGGGUCCCAGUAAACAACAGGAUCCACUUUCUGAUUCAGCACAACAUUUCCACAUUUCCAAUCAAGGGAGCUUGAUAAAUACUGGAUGAUGUUAAGACCAAAAUCAGUUUUAAACGAUUUGUCUUCCAAGAUCGUACAACACGCAGGGAAAAUGCCAGUGAGUGGGUGAUCAUAUCUCUUCCUCCAGCGAGGAUAUUAUUAUAUAUACAUAUAUAUGCACACUAUAAAACUACUGAUCAUACAUUCAUCCAUUAAUAAUUUUUAUUUUAAUCGUCUGCACAAAUUAAAGGGAAAUGAUCAGCCUAUCCUCGACCUCAAGCAUGCACCAAUAGCAUUACAAAUAAUUAAACUUUUCUCCAAUCAAAUUUCUUAACUAGCUAAUAGGAAUGAUAAUUAGUAAUAAUAAGAGAUUAAUUAGAAACUUCAAAGAAAUACAACGUGUGCAUAAGAUUUAAUUCCUCAGUUCAUGUUUUUCUAAUAAUUUCAAGAUAACUAGCUUAUUUAUUUAUCAGCACAAGAUGAAGUCAUUUUAACUAUAUGUAUCUACUUUUACAAGCUAGGUAGGAGUACUAGAACUAUUGUUUAUGAAAUUAUAUUUAUAAAUAAAUACUUGUGUAUGCAUGUGAUCAAUAUAUAUAUAUAUAUAUAUAUAUAUAUAUAUGCACACACACAAAUUACAAGAUUGAUUGAUCGGGCUGAUGGAUAUAUCUAUGUAUGCAUGCAUUUAUUCCUUAGUUUUUUUCUUUAAAUUAAAUUGUAAUUCUCAAAAAAGAAAAAGAAUAAUCACAGCAACAGGCAUUUAGUCCUUAGUUUUGGAGGAUCUGUCCUUCUCCUUCCUCUGUCCUCCAAGAAUACGAGAAAUCUGUAAACCUUUAUGCACUAAAUACUUAGUUGAACAACAUUCUUGUUUGAAAUUCUAAAACAAAUGGGAACCACGCCAAGAAUGCAACCGGGGUGAAUAGAAGCAAUCCCAUCACUAUUUCAUAACCAUGAGCAAGUGUCCUAACUGAUCCCCAAAUUCCACCAUGUUGUAUCACUGGCUUACAAGCUUGUAAGAUCUAUAUACAGUUCCACGCAUCCAUAAAAAGAAAAAAGAUUACUUAUUAGAAAAGCCCCAAUGAUAAGCAAGCCUGGUCAAUAUCCCAACACCCAUCACGAUUAAAUUGGCAAGGAUCUUCAUAGCCUAAAUCAAAUUUAAUGAUAAAACUAUAAUAAUUGAAUUCCAAAAAAAAUCAAAUAAAUGUUUAAAAUUUCAAAAAUAAUUAAACAUAAAAUACCAAUCAAGUAGAUCCAAAUUUAACAAGAGCACACCGAGGAUUUUCAAAUUUUACAUGUAUAGGGUUUAAAUUUGAUGACAACACAUCUAGGGUUUUCAAGAUUUAGGUGUCUAGGGUUCGAAUUUGACAAGAACACAUCUAGGUUUCUCAAGUUUUACAUAUCUAGGGUUUGAGUUUGACAAGAACAUUAAAAUUGAAAUGGAACACAACACUAGAAACAUUAUUUACCUGUAUUAUUCAAACGAUUGCAGCAGUGGGUGAGUGAAUGAAACGACCCUCCCCGAACCCCAGGGUAAGUGUAUCUAACCUCAUCCAAACUGGAUUGAUAAUAAUCUAAUUAGUAAGGAUUUUGCCAAAAAAUCGACAGUCUCUUUUAUAUAUAUAACACUCCCAACCUGCAAAUAUAUAAGACAAGCACUCCCAAUAUAAUUCAAUACACAACAAACUCCAACGUUCAACAUCCUCAACCACAACACUGAGCUUUACUCAAGAUAUCUCCAGAAUCUCAAAAGAUAAUAUUAUAACUAAUAUUAAUAUCUCAGUUUAUUCUUAAUCCCAAAAGAAUAAUAUAACAAAAUUAUACAAUCCCAAAAGAACGAGAUAACCAAGAUGUCCUAACAAAAUCAUCUAUAUCUUCUAACACCAUCACGUGGCCAAUACUCAAAAUAUAUUUACAGUCGUUGGGUUGGUCUAAUGUACCUGCAACCUCCUGAUGGGGGGGAGGAAUAUAAUAAAAAUGGAGUGAGUAUAAAACUCAGUGAGAUCAGUGAGUGGAUAGUAGUUUUUAAAAAUCAAUUAUUACUUCAAAAGAAAUAAUCAUAUCAUUUCCAAACACGAUUUCAUCAAACCAUAUGCGAGAAACCAGUAAUAAAUCAUUUAACAUUUAAAUCAAAUUACUAACAAUGAAAAGCAUAUAGAAUACACAAAUCUGAAAAUCAUCACCAAACAAGUACCCAGGGAAAUAACCUCGUCAUAUUCGGACCUCAACGGACGGGCAAUGACGUACUAUCUAGGUACCGUCACGCCCCGGAGCUACACGGAUAGACAGGGAAAUAUCAUCUCAUAUCUCAUCAUAUCUGUGCAUACAUAAUCUAGUUCCCAAGGGAUAAAAGCACCCAAGCACACAGCCCAAAGCCUCUGUGUGUGCUCAGACGGGCCCCAAAGGCCUAUAUCUCAUAUGUAUUAUAUGUAUCUCAAUAUCUGUCUAUAUCUCAUAUUUGUAUAUUUGUAAUCAUCAUACUGCAUGCAUAUGCCCCCAAAAGACAAAAAUGCUCAAACACACGGUCCAAAGCCUCUAUGUGUGUUCAGAUGGGCUCCAAAGGCCUCUCAUCUCAUAUCAUGUGUAUCACUAUAUCUGGAAGGGAAUGGUAUUGUCUAAUGAUUUCAAAAACAAUCAUUAUACUCAUAUUCACAUACCUUUUACCCAUACUUUAAAUCAUAUCACAUUUGAAUCCACUUUUCUUAUCUUUAAAAUACUAUCAUGCUUAUUCAAAGUCGAUACGCAAAAUCAUUAACCAAACAUUUUAAUAAAAUACCAAUGCGUGAAUAAAAUCUAUUUCAAGGGAAUCAUUAAAUCAGAACAUUUAAAAUACUUAUUUCUCAAAUAUGCUUUACUAUUAUAAUUAACUAUGAAAUUAAGUUUUGUAUAUUCCACUCACAGUGACGGUGUUCACGCUCGUUAUCGUCCACGUCCGCGGACCGAUUCUCGCUUGCGAAUCCCCCUAAAUUAUGGAAACGACAUAAUUAUUUUCUGUAAAUCGAAAUUACGACUAAAUUUAUGCAAUAAACUCGAAACGAAAUUCGAUCCAUAAUUUACAACUCUCGUGUCGAUAAAAUUACUAAAAUACCCUUGAGUUCGUAAAUCAUUAACAUACUCUGAAAUCGUAAAUCACCGAAUUACCCUCGGAAUCAUAAUUACACCCAAUCCUCAAUUCUAGGAAUUACUAAAAUAUCCACAGGCUCAAAAAUUACAAAAUUGCCCUUAUAGUGUGAAAUUACCGAAAUGCCCUUCCAGGUCAAUGGUCACCAAAAUUUAGUCAACGCUGGCCGAGAAGGUCAAGUCUGAAAUUUAUGGUCACACUGAGUCCAACGGUGGCAGUGGUGACCUCCCACGCGCGGUGAUGGCUCCGGAUCGAGCUCCCAAAGUUGUAACUCCUUCAACCGAUCAACGGCAAAACGAUGUCCCUGGUGGCAGUGGAUGGUCGUAAAUGGAAGAGGGAGUCUCGGGGAACAAAAUCCAACCGGUGGUGUUACCCAAAAUCGGCGAAAAUCCCAGUGGAGCAAAGUGGAAAAGUCGAGGGUUUUCAAGCUUUGGUCGCCGGCAUUUUGGUUGUUUUUCGGUGACGUGGACGGCAAGGGUAUAAUGGCCGGUCUUCAAGCUUCAAAUUGGUACCAAGCUUGACCGGAACGGUGGCCAGAAAUGGAAGUUACGACCGAGUCAAGGUCGCGGGUUCCAGGUCGGGUUUGAUAGCUUCUCUCUCACUCUCUCACACGUGUGUCUCUGUUUUGCUCUGUUUUCCAACUUCCUCUUUUACUUAUUCUAACUUUUUAACCACCUCAUUUUAUUCCUUUAUUUAAUUCACAUAUGUUACAGUGAAGGUUCUCAGUUAGGGUAUUGAAAUUCAAUAGUGGCAGAACACGCGUUUGAUAGGCACUCCUUGUAGUUCUUGGUGAGGGCCUAAAUCAACGGUGAAAUACAAGAGAAUGUCGGCGGCAGUUCAGUGCCUAUGCAAGGAUUUUGGGCGAAAAGGGCUUUGUGAGCGUAAGAUUGAUGAGAGUGACUAAGCAAGAGACAAGAGUAAAAGUGCCAAUACUCACUGAGAAAAAAAAAUUACGAUGAGUGAUAACUAAAGAGGGUUUCAUUUUUAUUUAGUUUUAAUCUAAACGGUGUCGUUCCUUGUUUAAAGAGAAAACUUUUAACCCAAAUGGUACUGUUUAUUCUUUAUUUAUCUUUUUCAUUCAUUUUAAAAUUUUCAGUCAACCCUGCAAAAUAAACUCAAAAUAAAAAUAUUGUUUGACGACCAAAAUUAUAUCACAAACUUGUCAUUGUUUUUUGAUAGCCAAAUAAUUUAUCACUAGUCUAUCAUAAGUGCUUGAUAGAUGAAAUUUAUAUCACAAGUAUGUCAUAAACGCAUGACAAAAAAAAAAUAUCAUCGAUCUAUCGUUGUAACUCUCAACACCAAAAACUGUCACAUAAAGGACUGUCAUAAUAGGUCCUUUUUCUUGUAGUGAUCAAACAAUACAAAAAUUUAUGAAAAAAACUCUUGUACCAGAGAAAAUCAUGCAACUAAGGACAAUGAGGGAAAAAUUUACUACAUGGAAAAUUAUUGCAAUUACUUGAGUAUUUUCCUCAAACCCCAAAUCCUAAUAACACUCAUUCUCUCAAUAGUCUUAUUGUUUCUCUUACAUUAGAAAUUGUCUACUUGCUUAUUUUUAUAUGACCAAGCAAACCAAACAUCCUCAUAUACAGUGAUUAUUUCUUAUAGGAGAAGUUUUUAUUUCCUUAUAUAAAUUAUAUUCCUCUUUGAAUAAGUUAUGUCCCAAAUGAGGAAUUUCUUAUUCCUCAAAUAUGAAUUCUCCAAAAUAAGAAAAUAGCCUUGAAAACCCUUAUACUGGAAAAAGGAGACAUAUUUCCUAACAAUCUCCACCUUAACAAGUUUUUUGAUUAAGUGAAAAAAAAAAUAUAUAAUCCACCGUGUAUCCACACAAGCAUGUUGUCUGCAUCUUCUUUCCUCCACCAAAAUCACAUUCAUAUAGGGCUUAUGAGAAUCACUCUAUCAUGGGUAAAAUCUUGUCACGACUAUAAUUCUCCACAUUGAAAAUCAUCAUACUCCACUUUAUAUAGAGUACACAUAUUCAGCACAUCUCGGUCACCUUGCUGAAAAUCCUACUCUCAUGUUUGGCUUCCUUAAGAGUCAUCAACCAUUAACAUAAAAAUUCUACCAUACACCUUGUAUAAAUGUCAAACUAUGUCUUGCGUGUAAAUUUAUGGACCUGCUAGCAGUAACACAUUCUCUUUCAUGACACGCCAAAAAGGAUAAAUUAGUCUCUCGUGAAGAAAAGAGACACACCACUAGAUGAGAUUACUAGUAUUUCCAUCUACUAAUUUAAAUCUACUUGCCAAACCUGCCUCAUUCCAACAAUCUUUAUUAAGAUGCCUUGAUUGUCUACACACCUCUAGGAGUUUCCAUCAGUGGGAACAUGGUUUACAUCGUCUUUACUUUCAUUGUUUAACAUAGAUUGGAUAAACAUAUAUCUUUGACUUCAAUCUGUCCCAAGCCAAAACUUUUUCUCCCAUUAAACUUUCUAUUUUACCUUCACAAGUUUUGAAACCCUCUUUGCUGAUAUAUUUGCUCUGCAUUGCAACCUUAACUUUAAUACCACUUGUUACAAAAUUUUAAUUCGAUCCAAGAUCUUGCAAGUAAAAAUAUCAAACAAAUAAUAAAUAGAAAAUACAGAUGAAGAAUAAAACUAAUUAUACAACAUAAGAAUUUUAAAUGGAAACUCUAAUACAGGAGAAAAACUAUACUGUAAAAAAAAAAGACAUAAAAUUUUAUUAUGUGAAAAAUUAUUUCAACUACUCUGGCAUUUUUCUCACAGCCAAAACUCCAAUAACACUAAAUCUCUCAAUAGACAUAUUGUUUCUCUCACAUUCAAAAUUGUUCACUUGCUAAUUUUUAUAUAACAAGUGAACCCAACCUCCUUAUAUAUAAUGAUUAUUUAUUUCUUGUAGGAAAAAUGUUCAUUUUCCUUGUACAAGUUGUAUUCCUCUUUAAAUAAGUUAAGUCUUAAAGGGAAAGUUACUUAUUCCUUAAAUUGGAGUCCUCCAAAAUAAGAAAAUAAUAUAGAUAAGAAAUUCUUAUUAAAAAAAGAAAACAUAUUACUUAACACCUAUGCAGUGGUAAAGAAUCAACCGCAACACUAUUUUUGUUUACCUUAUAUCUACCAUCAAAGCUUCGGUAGGAUUAAAUAUAAAGGUAAAUUUUUCUGCACACGCAUUAAAAUCGACAUAAACAAUUUACUACUCUUCCCCAAGAAUUAUGAGAAUAGGCUAUGAACAAUCUUUUAGAAUUUCUAAGUAUUGACAGCUCUGACUCAAUAAAAUUACAAUUAUACUCCCUAACCGGAAUAAUUAUGAAAAAAUGACAUAAAUGCCCAAACCUUUAUUUUAAUUUCAUUUCUCACCCAUUAUCUUUCUCUCUCCUCUCUCUAAAUAAUGCUCUCCAGUUAAAAAAUUAUGGAUGUUUCAUUCUAAUGGAUUAUAUUUUCACAAUUUAUUUUUCUUUCCCAUUUUCCUUUUCAUGUCCUUUGAAUCAGUUAGUUACGACGGACUAACAAAUUAAAGAAGCAUUGGACUGGGAUUAGGCUUUGAACGUCGAGUGGUCAUAACUUGAAGGCAUGUAAUCAGAAAUGUAAAAUGAAUGCUUUUAAGCUCGAAAUUCAGUACAGUUUUUGACUAUUGGCACACCUCUAACUUUCUCGUCAAACCCCUUUUCUAUAGAUAUCCUUUUUAAUUCUUAAAAUAACCUCAUUUGCUAUACUUUCUUAAUAAACCACUGCAUAGGACGAAAAAACAAAAACUUCUAUCAAUGAGCUCUCUCUCUCCCCUCUCCCAUUUCAAGCACUUACAAUUUCUUAUUGACUAUAGCAUUCAUGAAUUUCUGAUUUUAAUCUCUAUCUAUCUUUAUUUUUCUUAGUAGGUAAUAACUUGAUUAUGUAUACAAAGACAAGUAUAUGCAUAUCUGAAAGAAAAACUUGGCGUAAGUAAAUAAAUUUCACCGAAUAAUCUUUCCUAAAAUAACUUAGUUUAUAUUUAGAUCAAAUUCUUAUCUUAUGAGAAUUCAUUGUUUUCUCAAAUUUUGUAGAUUUUAAAGUGUUUUAGAAUGGAGAAAAAAACUAAGAAAACAACAUAGGUUAGUUUAAUCAGAUAAGUUUUAUUUUUAAUAUAAUUUAAAAUAUAAAGAAUAAAUUUAUAAAUAUAAAAUAAGUGGAAUUUCAUAAGAGAUAUAGAGGAGUGCGAAUAGCGCCACUCUUUUAUUUAACUCAUUAACAAUAACAAAGGCAGCAGUUUUUCUUUUUUUUUAAUCUUUUUUCCCCCAGAAACGACACUUUUCAUUGAUUGGAAAGCAAAGAACAAACGAAAGCUGCUUUUCUUCCAGCCAAACAAUCUCAAUUUAAACUAUUAAUUGGAAGUUUUAACUAAGGCACCAAAUUAAAAUAAAUAAAUAAAAUUACUUAAGGCACAAUCCUGUGACUUUUUAGCCUACCAAUCCAAGUGACGAAGGAAUUCUUAGAAUUCCUGAAACCCAAGAACCCGUGCUCCUUACUCUUGUUCAUGCUAACUAAAUAACCCGCACCAAUAUUCAACCCCAUAUCUGCAUAUGACCAAACAGCAACCUCAUUCAAUUUCGUUGGCUGAAGCUGAUUCUCUCUCACAAUCUCCUCCCACACACUUUCUUUACCUUUCAUAAAUUCCCCCAAUCUCAUCCUCUCACUAUCCUUUUCAUCUCCAAACCCAUAAUUCUCAAUCUCAAACUGCUCAGCCAACGCUUUCCAUAAAUGCUUCCACUUAAAAACAUCUCCAUUGGUACAAUUGAAAGCUUCGUUUCUUGCAUUAGCAUCAACUGCCGCCCAAAUUUGCUGCUCCGCAAUCAAAUCUGCAUCCGAAUAUUCUGAGAAGCCUUCCCAAGUUUCUUUCGUCCCAGGAAAUAGUAAAGGAAUGCCUUCAUGUUUACAGAUAGCAGCGUACAUGCAGAGAGUGGCUAUAAUAUUCAUCAAACUAUAAGGUGAAAACCCAAAUAUUCCGAAAGGUCGAUGUAUGGACCAAGUCAGGCCCUCUCUUUUCUCAACUUCUUCAAACAAUAUGUCUUCUUGAUUAUAGUAAAAAAGUGGUAUGUUUAACCUUGGCAAAUCCUCAGUAAAAGGCGGAUCGUACGGUAUCUUGCCGAUACAGUCGAAUGGUCCCAGGUAAUGUUUGCCUCCCGUUUGGAGACAGAUGUGGCGGAGAUUAGGCGCGUUCGGGAUUAUAGAACGGAGCACGUU